AUACCAGAUCUACUGUUGUUUCUUCAGAACUUGUUAGGAAAGAUUACUAGCAGGUAAGUUAGACGCAUAUACAUACUACUAUAGGAAAUUGAACAGCUCCUUACAUAAUCGGUGCAACUUCUUAUACAAACAAGUUUCCCUCCCGGCAAUAGAUAGACAUCAAUAUUCAGACACCUGAGGGUGCUGAAUGUUAGAAACUUUACUUCCUCCCAACGUAAGCUCCCAGUUUAGACACAUUAGGAUUCCCAAAUGAUAGCUCAGAUGACCCCGUAACAAACAUGAGACUUCCAGGGGCCCAUUUUAUGACAGGAGGCUCUGUAUGAAAACUCAUCCAACUGCUCUGUAUGAAAACUCAUCCAACUAACAACCCUGACAAGAAAAAUAAACAAAACCAAACAAUGUUUAUAUAAUAACAAUACCAACAUCAAAAGAAUAUAGUCUUUGGAUACAGAACACAUUAUGCAAACUGGUGCAUAAGUUGAAUGCCCAAAUGUAGAUUCAAAAGCAUUGUUGGUUUGCCUAGAAGACAAUGAAUGCUAUGACUGGGGUCAGUGUAAGGGAAAUAACAUCCCUUUGAAUUCUAAGCAUUCAAAAGGCAUUAGAAUCAAGGAAUUUUGCUUAUCAUACCCCUUUCCCGCUCCGUACGCUCCAAGCAUAUCCACUACCAUCAUCAGAACCUUCCAAAACCAAGAAAGUAAAAUUAGCAUAAAGAGUGCAACUGUUGCGUAAAUUAGCAAGUGUACUAGUCGGCACAAGUAAUAUAAUGUAGAGUAGAGUAUUGUCCCACAGAGAUUGUAUAUCCUAUUAGUUACCGAAAUUAUUCUAAUCCUAAUUUAUUUGAACAAUCAAAUAAGCGAAUUUAAAUUGAAAAUUAAAAUAACUAAAAAUCAAAUAAAGAUACAAGCAGUAAUAGAAAUCACCAAGAGAUUAAAACACUAGGACAUUCGAUUUCACCAUAACCAAUCCAAUUUAAUCCUCUAUCUAUGCUAUUAAAGUUUAUUACCCAUGCUGACAGUAAAUUUCCUUAAUUUAUUCAAUAUCCUCUCUCGAGUAAUAUAAAAAAUAUCUCCACAUAUCAACCCACUAUAUUUCUAUGUGAAUUUAAAUAUGCAAAGAUUCAUUAAGUUCUAUGGAAAUUCUUAGACAAAACUGCACGAAUCACGUUGGCACAUCUUUGUCUUUCGUUCAAUUCAUGACAUCCAUUACACAGAGCAAAAAUACAUAAAUCUCAUCUCGGUCUCAUUAUGUAUCCUCAAAUCAUUCAAAUAUUGGCCAUAUAUUUAAAAGCAUUAAGCACAAUAAUGAACACUCAAUCAUGGAAUAAUUAAUUAAAAAUAACAUAGAUUUAUGGAAUUAAAUCUUCAUAGUUAGGCUACAUCGUAGCCCUAGUAAAAUAAAUUAGUUCAUGGAAAUAUAAAGAGAAUUCAUUAAUUUAAUCAGAAACAUUCAAGCAAGAUAAUAGAGAAGAGGAAAAGAAAAACUUAAGAAUUAAUGCGUCUUCCUCCUGCUCCAAAUUAUUCCUGCUACUCUCGGUUUUGCUCAAAACUUGCGGCUGCUGCUCUUCUCUUUAUUUUCUCUUGGCUGCCAUCUUCUCCUUGUGCGGCUGCCUUUCUUCCCUUUUAUAAUGUUGUGGUUUCUUCCAAAUCCUUAAAGGAAAAGGAUUGCAAAUCCAGCCCACGAAUCCUUAAAUGAAAAUAAUUAAAAACAAAAGCCCAACCACUUAUUUCAUUCCUAAGCCAAUCAGAAUUAAAAGCAAAAGCCCUUCCACGUGUUGCAUGCCAUAUUCUCUUUGUAAAUGAAUUCUUCAAUGCUUCCUCACUUGCUGCCAUAUUUGUGAACCAAAUAUUCAAUGCUUCCUCCAUGUGUUGCAUGCAUGCUUAAUGAUUAAUUAAAUUAAAUCCUUUGUGAUUUGUUCCAAUUAAUUCUUCUUUAAUCCCGUAUUGUACCUAAAAUAAGAAAAUAUAAAAAAUAAAAAUAAAAUUAACAUAAUAAAACAUAAAAUUAAGUUAUGAAAGCAUUAAAAUAAUAGAUAAAUUAUGAGCACAUCAAAUACCCCCAAACUUAACAUUUUGCUAGUCCUCGAGCAAAAAUUAAAAUAAAAACUACGAAUAGAAAAUCCUAACGAAACCACUUUCGCAGGUGAUCGCGAUUACAUUUAGCGUAUGCAACAAGCCUUUAAACCCCUAGGCGGCCCUAGUGGACGAGUUAUAGUCUCGUGAGGGUUUCCAGCGAUGAUACCCACAAACAUUAUCAAAAAUGCCUCAAAGAUUGCAUAAAGUAUAUAGCUCAAAGAAAAUUAAAAAUAUUAGCAAAGUUCUAACUUUAAUUCAAUGGUCAGCCUCAUCUCAUAUUGGAUUCUUGUGUUGUAUGUGAAUCAAUUCAAUCAAUACUCAUUCUCAAGAUCUUCAACAUCAACAGUCUUUGUCUCGAAUAAUAAACAGAGUAGGUCAAACUAACCUCAUCAUCUUGAUCUUUUUUUUUUUUUCUCAGGCAUAAAUUGCUUUUUUUUCUCUUUUUUUUUUUUUUCAUUUCUUUGUCCAUAGUCAGAAGCUUUCACUCUACCCCUUAAGGUAGCAUUCUUCUCAUGGUAGAUUAUCCUCUACAUAAUGGUGGUACAUAGGCCCAAAUUACUCAAGGAUAGCUUCACUCUUAAGGGUUGUAGGUAGCUAUUUCUGACUAUGGUGCCUGGGUAAACUUAAGUAAUAUAGAAUCAAGUCAAACAGUCAUUACUCAAUCUAAAAUUCUCAACUCAAGCUGUACCAAUCUCAAAUCUCAAGUCAAAAUUCUAAAAGAAUCGAUAUAAGUGCGCAAGAUAUUUAAAGAAUCUCAAUCAAGACGAAACUAAUACAAGAAUCAAGUAUAAACUAAAAUAAUAUUCAUCCCUUUCUAAGAACCAUAUUCAUUUUCAAUCAUAAACUCAUCAUAGGCAUUAAAAUCUUUUUUUUUUUUUUGGAAUAAAAUGAAAAGCAAAUAUUCCCACCCCCAAACUUAAAAUAAACAUUGUCCUCAAUGUAAAGAAAAAGAAAAGGAAAAGAAAAACUCCCCCGGUUUUGCACUUGAAGAUGGAAAGUUGUAGCUGAGUCGUUGAAAGGCAUGUGGAAAGUUGAUGUUCAUCGACCCCCAAACUCGUGCAAAAUCUAGAUAAAACAAAAUAAAAUAAGUAAAAGAAAAGAAAAAGAAUAUGAAAAAAAAAUUUGAUAAUAAUAAAGUUUAGAAAGCUUGGGUUGCCUCCCAAGAAGCGCUUAAUUUAUAGUCAUUAGCUUGACUGUCUCUGGAAAGAUUGUUCAAGGAGGCUCGUGGAUGCAAUGAGAUGAUAUAGAUGGACCUUGCACAAAGUUCUUGCAAUUAGGCCUCUUCCCACGAAAAUUAGGAGAUGAAUCUUCAUUAAUAGAUUGCUUAUGUAUUGUAUAAAUGUCAGGAGGGUCAGAUAAAUCUUUAUCCUUCAAUGUUUUGGCCAUUUUUUUAUCCAUGGUGUCUUCUUGAAAACAAUCUUUGAGUUCAAUUGGAUACUUGAUAGGUGUGUACACAUUGAAAAUGACUUGCUCAUUUUGAACUCUUAAAAUCAAUUUCCCUUCUUGAACAUCAAUCAAAGCUCUUCCUGUAGCUAAGAAUGGUAACUCUAUAUCUUCAGCCAUAUCCAAGACAAUAAAAUCUGCAGGGAAUAUAAACUUGUCAACUUUCACAAGCACAUCCUCAAUUAUGCCUCUUGGGUACUUUAUAGAUCUAUCUGCCAAUUGUAAGGUAACAGUUGUUGCCUUAGGUUCACCCAAACCUAAUUUCUUGAAAACAGAAAAAGGCAUCAAAUUAAUGCUUGCACCUAAAUCACACAAAGUUUUAUCAAAAUAACAAUUUCCAAUAGUGCAUGGAAUAUUAAAACUCCAUGGAUCUUUCAGCUUUGGUGGCAAUUUAUUUUGUAAGAUGGCGGUGCAAUCCUCAGUCAGCAUUACAGUUUCAUGCUCCUCAAGUUUCCUCUUGUUGGACAACAUUUCUUUCAUAAAUUUGGCAUAAAGCGGCAUUUGUUCCAAAGCAUCUGUAAAAGGAAUAUUAAUAUGCAAUUUCUUAAACACAUCAAGAAAUUUUAAAAAUUGCUUAUCUAUGUUAUUUUUUCGGAGACGCUGAGGAAAAGGGAUUGGAGGAACAUAGGCCUUGACUGGUGUUGCUAGUUUAGGUUGUGGUAUUUCUGAACUUGCUGCCUUUGAAACCUUAGUGGUGUCUUCAGUUUGUUCUUCAUCAACUUUCUUUGCUUCUUUUCGCGGCUCAUCAAGUUGUUUACCACUCCGAAGUAUAAUUGCAUUAACUUGCUCCUUUGGAUUUGUCUCGGUGUUGCUUGGCAGAGAGCCAUGUUGUCUACUGGAUAGCAAGUUUUCAAUCUGACCCACUUGUACCUCGAGGUUCCGAAUUGAUGCAGCUUGAUUUUGAAAAGUUGUCUCUGUUUUGGUCAUGAAUUGAGACAUGUUUGUUGUAAGCUGGGUAAGAGCAUCUUCUAAGUUUGACUUCUUUUCUUGUGGUUGGAACCCUGGAGGUGGUGCCAAUGUAUUCUGAGUGUUGCUCCAUGACAAAUUCGGAUGGUUUCUCCAGCCAGGAUUGUAGGUAUUAGAAUAUGGGUUAUGUUGCUGUCUCUGGAAGUUUGACACAUAAUGAGCUUGUUCAGCAGAUGACGACGCAAAAGGACUUCCAACUUGGCAGUUGACACCGGUAUGGUUCCCUCCGCAUAAUUCACAAACUUGAGUUUGAAUAGUACUGAUAUUUAGGUGUUCCAGCUUAUUAGAUAAAGCAGUCAUCUGUGCAGAUAAAGCAGUGACAACAUCAACAUUAUGGGCUCCUACAAUUUUCCUUGGCAUUGAUCGCUCUGAAGUCCACUGGUAAUUGUUGGAUGCCAUCUCCUCCAAUAAUUCAUAAGCUGCUUCUGGUGUUUUUCCCAUUAACGUUCCUCCUGCUGCAGCAUCAAUCAUUGUUCUGGUAUUGGAUCCCAAACCAUUGUAAAAUGUCUACACCUGAAGCCAAACUGGUAGACCAUGAUGUGGGCAUUUUCUUAUUAGGUCUUUGUAUCUCUCCCAUGCUUCAUAUAAUGAUUCCAUCUCGAACUGAGCAAAGGUUGUGAUGUCAUUCCUCAACUUGGUUGUUUUUGCUGGAGGAAAGUACUUUGCUAAAAACUUUUGCGCUAAACCAUCCCAUGUAGUGAUUGUUCCAGCAGGGAAUGAGUUCAACCACUCUUUUGCUUUAUCCCUCAAUGAAAAUGGAAAAAGCCUUAGCCUGAUAGCAUUGUCUGAAACACCAUUUUGCUUAAAUGUGUCACAAAUUUCCAAGAAAUUUGCAAUAUGAGCAUUUGGAUCAUCAUUUGGCAUUCCAGCAAAUUGAACUGAAGUCUGAAUCAUCUGGAUUAUGGCUGGCUUAAUUUCAAAAUUAUUGGCUUGAACGACAGGACGUGCAAUGCUUGAGCGAGCACCAUUAACUGUAGGUAUAGCAUAAUCUCUUAAGGGUUUUGCAUCCUCAUUUCCAUGUAAUGCUUCGUCAGCCAUGAUUAGUUGUUGCUCCUGUGAAGCUUCUCUCCUUUCUUUAUUAAGCUUUCUACACGUACGUUCAAUCUCUGGAUCAAAAGGCAAUAAAUUAAAACUUCUUGAGCGUCUCAUAAAAUUAAACAAGAAAAUAAAAAUUCAAAUAAAAACAAUAAAAAUAAAAUUCAAAUUAAACUAGGUUAGUUGGUAUCGAUACUAAUCCAAACAAUCCACGGCAACGGCGCCAAAAACCUGUUGCGUAAAUUAGCAAGUGUACUAGUCGGCACAAGUAAUAUAAUGUAGAGUAGAGUAUCGUCCCACAGAGAUUGUAUAUCCUAUUAGUUACCGAAAUUAUUCUAAUCCUAAUUUAUUUGAACAAUCAAAUAAGCGAAUUUAAAUUGAAAAUUAAAAUAACUAAAAAUCAAAUAAAGAUGCAAGCAGUAAUAAAAAUCACCAAGAGAUUAAAACACUAGGACAUUCGAUUUCACCAUAACCAAUCCAAUUUAAUCCUCUAUCUAUGCUAUUAAAGUUUAUUACCCAUGUUGACAGUAAAUUUCCCUAAUUUAUUCAAUAUCCUCUCUCGAGUAAUAUCAAAAAUAUCUCCACAUAUCAACCCACUAUAUCUCUAUGUGAAUUUAAAUAUGCAAAGAUUCAUUAAGUUCUAUGGAAAUUCUUAGACAAAACUGCACGAAUCACGUUGGCACAUCUCUGUCUUUCGUUCAAUUCAUGACAUCCAUUACACAGAGCAAAAAUACAUAAAUCUCAUCUCGGUCUCAUUAUGUAUCCUCAAAUCAUUCAAAUAUUGGCCAUAUAUUUAAAAGCAUUAAGCACAAUAAUGAACACUCAAUCAUGGAAUAAUUAAUUAAAAAUAACAUAGAUUUAUGGAAUUAAAGCUUCAUAGUUAGGCUACAUCGUAGCCCUAGUAAAAUAAAUUAGUUCAUGGAAAUAUAAAGAGAAUUCAUUAAUUUAAUCAGAAACAUUCAAGCAAGAUAAUAGAGAAGAGGAAAAGAAAAACUUAAGAAUUAAUGCGUCUUCCUCCUGCUCCAAAUUAUUCCUGCUACUCUCGGUUUUGCUCAAAACUUGCGGCUGCUGCUCUUCUCUUUAUUUUCUCUUGGCUGCCAUCUUCUCCUUGUGCGGCUGCCUUUCUUCCCUUUUAUAAUGUUGUGGUUUCUUCCAAAUCCUUAAGGGUAUGUUUGGCACGUGGUAUUGCAUUGUAUUAUCUUGUGGGCCCAGCAUUAGUUAAAAUAUACCUGUGUUUGGUGAUCAAAUGGAUUGCAUUGAGCAGCAUUAAAAUGCAGCUUUUGCCGCAUUAUCAAAACCCGCGCCCCCCCUCGUGAUUAGGCUGUAUUACUGACUUUUGUGUUUUAAAAGUCAGUAGCUUCCCCUUUUUUUAACUUUAUAAUAAUAGUAAUAAAUAAAUAAAAUUUUAAUUUAAUAUAAUAUUAUACAAUAUUAAUUUUUAUUUUUACAUUAUAAUUUAUUAAUAAAUUUAUAAUUGAAUAUAAUUAAUAAUAAAUACUUAAAUAGUAUAUAAAAAUAUAAUAUAGCAUUACAUUAUUUAAUUAAGUUACAAUAAUUAAUAUAAAAUAUUAAUACAAUUUAAAUAUAUUAAUAUAAUAUAAUAUUUAAUUUAAAUUAAUAAAAAAAUUAUUAUAGUACAGUAUAGUACCAAACAUUGUACAGUAUUAUUAUAAUACAAUGUUAAUACAAUACAGCAUAAUACAAUACAUCAGUAUUAAAAUAAUACAAUACAGCAUAAUACAAUACAACAUAAUACAAUACGUGUACCAAACGCACCCUAAAGGAAAAGGAUUGCAAAUCCAGCCCACGAAUCCUUAAAUGAAAAUAAUUAAAAACAAAAGCCCAACCACCUAUUUCAUUCCUAAGCCAAUCAGAAUUAAAAGCAAAAGCCCCUCCACGUGUUGCAUGCCAUAUUCUCUUUGUAAAUGAAUUCUUCAAUGCUUCCUCACUUGCUGCCAUAUUUGUGAACCAAAUAUUCAAUGCUUCCUCCAUGUGUUGCAUGCAUGCUUAAUGAUUAAUUAAAUUAAAUCUUUUGUGAUUUGUUCCAAUUAAUUCUUCUUUAAUCCCAUAUUGUACAUAAAAUAAGAAAAUAUAAAAAAUAAAAAUAAAAUUAAGUUAUGAAAGCAUUAAAAUAAUAGAUAAAUUAUGAGCACAUCAGCAACAAACCAAUUGUAUCACAUAAAACUAAUAAGACGUGCUUGGCCACACUAGGCUGCUUCCACAUGUGUGGGUGCACUUGCUAUUUGAGCAUUUCAUUGAUUUAUUUUGAUUAACAAGCACAACCAGAUGAAAAUAUAUACGCAUUUGGAUUUGCAUGGAUGGGAGUGGGUUUUAAACCAAGUCAAUGAAGAAGAGAAAUUGAAUUUCUUGCAAAGAAUUCUGUGGGAACAAGCUUGAUGCUGAAUGCUUUUCUUCUAAUUGCUAUGUUUCUGUUAGCAAGGUGGUAACAAAUUUGAGAAUUAUAUACAGCACAAGUGCAAGAACUUUAAUAUAAAAUAUCAAAACAGCCGAAAGCAAAUAUUAACAAACUAUCCACAAGUCACUGUGCCCUAAGAACUGAAAGGAGAAACUCUAUCGGGGCUGAAAGAUGCCUCCAAUGUGGAAUUGUGAGAAACUGGCUUGGCAUCAUAAGUGGAUAAAUAAAAAGGGUAAUUUUUAGGUACCUCCCCUGAGGUUUGGUGUAUUAACACUUAGAUAGAAUGUAUUCAUGUAAUUACAUAUACCUCCCCUACAGUUAGUAUAAAAAUACGUAUAGCGUCAAAUAGAAGGGUAAAUGUGUAAAAAUAUAUUUAAAAUUAAAAAUAUUUGCUUUUACCAAAUCAUUAAAAUUAUGACCCACUUGCCCGCUGUCAGCCCAAACUUGACCAGUCGGUCAUGGCUCCACCAGCGGCUGGUGGUGGUGCGCCGCUACCGAAGUCCUCUCCUCACACUAGCAACCAACCCCAUUCAUGGCAGCCUUUGAAUCAACUGCGUCCACCAACACACAUUAACCCAAGUACACGGCUUUUUGAAGUGUCUCUUUUGCUUUGUGUUUUCCCUUCAUUGAGAAGAUUCGUUAGCUAAUAUAAUAAGCUUUGUUGCCUUAGAUUUGAGAUUACAGAGGCCUGAGCAGAUGUGGCAGUGAUGUGGGCUUUAUUGUACUUGUCGAACAGGCAAAACACAUUUUAUUGGCCUACGGCGCCUUUUUCUUCUUGUUGGGGAACUUCGUGAAGAAUCCAGCUUGCUUCUUUCUUCCUUUUCUUUCUUCAUUUUAAUUUUUUUUUAACUUAUAAUAACUUUUUGAGAUUGAAUUAUUGGCUUCACGUGUAAAUGAAUGGUAUUUGGUAUGUCAAGUGCAUAGUUAUUCUUUUUUUAUUUAUUUUUUCUGAUGUUUUUGUGUUGGAAUUAAUUUCUCAAGGUUUUGGCACCACUCCCCAUUGGAUUUGCUGUGUUCAUGGUACACUUGGCCACAAUCCCAAUCACACGCACUGGAAUUAAUCCAGCAAGGAGUCUCGAGGCUGCUGUUAUUUACAACAAGGACAAGGCUUGGGGUGGCCAAUGGCUCUUUUGGGUGGUGGUGCUUUGCCACUGUCGGAGUCCUCUCCUAACACCGGCGACCAACCCCAUUCAUGACAGCCUUUGAAUCAACUGCGUCCACCAACAAACACUAACCCAAGUAGGCUUUUGUCUCAUCACAACCGGCACACCCCCACCGCCCCUUUGGCCAUCGCCGAAGCCACCCAACAACAACUAACAUCACCAUUAAAGUGGGUUCAAUGGAAUUCCCACUGCCAACGGAAUUCCCAAAGUUAUAACUAAUAAUUUUUUAUUUCAGCAUGAAGGAUAUUUUAGUAAUUUUAAAUGUUUACUAACGGUCAACUUAAUUAAUAACUAACGGCAGGGGAGGUAUAUGUAAUUACAUAGAUACAUUCCAUCUAGGUGUUAAUACACCAAACCUCAGGGGAGGUCUCUAAAAAUUACCCUAAAUAAAAACAAGAGUAAAUAGAAGCUCAUUAACAGAGAUUCCACUGUAUAGAGGGGUAUAUAUGUACAAUAUGUUACAUUUGGGAGAUGAAGAAAGAAAAAGUAAACUCACAAGUGUGCCUUGGAAUGAGUCAAGCACACGAAUAUGUCCUUCCAUAGUGGUCGGAAGUAUAAUUCUCCCAUCAUUACUGAGCUUUAUGACAUCAGAAUCUGAUACAUCUUCCCCAUUAGAGAAGAUGUCAAAAGGACCCUAACAGCAUCCAAGCUUAACCAAAUUAGUGCAUGAUAAAAGUACUACGAUAUAUAAACUUCCAAGAUAUUCUUAUAUUAAUUUUAACCUUCUCAUACUUACGAGCAUCAAACAUUCUUAUGUAUCCUCCAAAGGCAACUGCAAAGACAAGCCCUUGAUCAUCGUAUGCUGUAGCAGGCCUUCCUUGAACAUUCAAAAGACCCGGAUUUGCCAACAGAGAUCAUAAACACAAUUGAAAAUGGGGGAAAAAGACACUUUGAAUGUGACCGUGGAUGGCAUGAUAUCCACCUAGCAUUUCUCAGCCCGCUGAUCCCAGAGCAGAACAGUUUGAUCAAGAGAACCAGAGAUAAAGCAAUCUUUCGAGGAGCACAGGCUAAACAACCCUAGAAGCAAUAAAACAUAUAUACAGAUGAUAAUAAUUACAAAAUAUUUACAAGAAUCAGUGAAUUACAAACCUGUCAUGGUGACCUUUGAAGUAACGCAAGUACUUGUUAUCGUGCAAGGAAAGAAACCGUAGAGAUUCUGAAUAAAUGAACGUAUCAAACAGCACUACAAGUGGUUUCGUAAUCCAAAAAGUUCUAUCCAUGAAAGCAGAUAUCAAGCACUUCCCCAGAAAAACAAUUCAAGGGUUCCUUUGAUUUCAAAAGACACUUUAUUAUUUCUGCAAUUUCAAACAAACAUUGCAAAAUUGAAACCAGCUUCUUAUACUUAUUCAAAAGCCAUUUCUUAGUUAAAAGCACUUCCAAAGAGACAACAUAAAAUCCUAAGAAACAGAGGAUCAACUUACGUGGCAGCAGAGACAUCGUACGGCCGUAUAGAUUCAUCAUCACUAGCCGUCACCAAAUAACUCGACGAUUUAUGAAAAUCCAUGGAACUAAUUCUCCCAUUCUGUUGAAACACAAAUCAAUACAAAACGACACUGAAUUAACAAACAGAUACAUUUAAAACGCAAAUCGAGUAUGUUCCUCGAAUAGAAACUUAUUAGAAGAUUCUCUUACAUAAUCUCUAAAAGAAAUGCCCACUUCCAUGCUCUGAAGAAUUUCUUCAAAGAGUUCCAACGAGACCUUGUCUUCUCUCUCCGAUUGUGACCCUAAAACCCAGAAAUAAAAAAAAAAGAAAUAAAAACACAAAGCAAAUAAGUAUAUCACAGCAAUUAUGCCAAAAACGACAACAUUUCAAGUAAAAUUUCCACAUACCAACAAUUUUUUUUUUUUUUUUUUUUUGAUAUAAAAGGGAGCCAAACAAGGCUAAACCGAGACAAAACGUGGGAAAGCAUUCCCGUACAUGUCAUAAGUUAAACAAUUAACAACACCAUUCGGAGGGUUGUGGAGGACAUGAAACCCAAGAGGUUGCCUCAUUGCGAAAUUUGCAAGAAAAUCCGCUGCAAAAUUUGCUUCGCGGUAAAUGUGGCUAAUGCACACAUGCCAUUCUCUAUUUAUGAGCCUUCGGAUACUUUGAAUCACAGAAGAAAAUUUGCUUGGGUUAUUGUUCGUGUCUGCAAGAAGCUCAGUGAUGCACUUGCUGUCAACUUCAACCAACAAAGACCGAAUUCCCAUCUUCCAAGCCAGGUCAAGACCAUAGAAUAAACCCCAAAGCUCAGCAUUUGUAACCGAACUAAUUCCAGUGUUCGCACAGAAUCCAGCAAUCCAGUUCCCAUUUGCAUUUCUUAUCAAGCCCCCUGCAGCUGCCAUGUUCAUCUUUAGCAGGCCCCAUCAGUAUUCAAUUUGAAGACAUUUUCAGGAGGAGGUUUCCACCCAAAGUAUUUAACCAUCUUUGAAGCUCCAGGCUUGAUCAAGGCCAUCAUGGUUUUAUGGGCAUUUUCAGCUCUGGUCAUAAUAUCUAAAGUGAUGCUUUGACUGCUCCUCUGUACUUUCUUAAACAGAGCUUGGUUCCUCCAAAACCACAAUUAUGCCAAAACACAAAGCAAAUAAGUAUAUCACAGCAAUUAUGCCAAAAACGACAACGUUUCAAGUAAAAUUUCCACAUACCAACAUUUUUUUUUUUCCUUCAGAUUAAUUCAAUUCCACUGCACUGAAAACAAUUUUUUCACGGAAACGGGAGGAAGUUGAGAAUUUAUUUAUACUUCUGUGUCAAAUAGCAUUAUUUCCCAAAUAAGGACGGUAGUUUUCUAUUCGUCCCAAAUGGGUGCCUAAACCCAUACAAUGACUACGAUACCCUUAAGCGUCAGAUCCUGUACACUUAAAUGUCAAGGGUAUUUUGAUCAUUUAAUAAUUAGUGACCUACUUUCCGAUGCUUAUAAAGUCAAACUUCACGAAGAAAACGCUAAUAAGAAUGAUUAAGAAAAACGCUCAAAUUGGAUCAAAGCUUUGAAUGCCAACGUAAGUCUCGAGUUUUUUUUUUUUUCUUUCUUUCUAUUAUGCGUUAUUUUAUUCAUCAUCUAGUAGUAAUUUAAUCUGCAAAAUUCCAAUUUUUGACGCGCGCGCACCUAAAAAAUUUUUUGAAAGAAUUUUAUUUGAAUUUUAUAUGUGUUCCUAUUUGUUUUAUGAAUCGAAUCUGAUAAGAAAUUGUGGGGAUGCAAAUAUCACACGAUGCCUCCGUUCAGUCAAUUUUUUUCUUGAUUUGUUGAAAUUGUGUAAAUAGAUUUAUAAUAGUUUUUAUGAUGUGGCAGGGUACGCGCUCUUUGGAUAAUCAUGGAAGUAUGGUGAUUUCUAUUUAUUGUUGUGGGGAAAGGACACCGAAUUCUUUGCCUGGUUUUAGAAAUGAUCACAUAGACUUGUAUUAGGAUAAUUAUACCCUUUGACUGUAGUGAUUUCAUCUUGGCAUAUUUAUCAAAAUGGGUAUUUUCCCUUUCAACUACUCAUCACACGAGCUUUAACCUUCCACCAGUGAUCUGUUGAGGCUGAAUGAUGAGCGGAGGAUAGCGUGUUUGCCUUAUUCGUGCUUCAAGGUGAAGCAGAUUAUUGGUGGCAGGAUUAAGCUCGUCUGAUUUUGCAACCAAUUACAUGGAAAAUGUUUGUGAAUGGCUUGAAGCAUUGAGAUAUCAUUCUAUUAUCUCCGUGUGUUUUCAUAAGCAAAAUUGGGAUGUUAAUAGUGGUGUCGUAGCAGGAAGUUGAACAUGCAAGAUUCCAGCAAAUCCCUUUGAGAUCCCAUCCAGUUGUUGCAGCCCAGAUCCCACCAUCAAAUCAGGUCAAAUUACAAGAUAUACCUAACUUAUGGAUUAACUUUCAUGUCUUUUAGUUUGAGAUCUAGUGAGUACAAUGCUCGUAAUGGCCAAUACCAUAUGGUUCAAGAGGAUAUGAGAGCAUAAAGGUUCAAAUUUAUGAGUUUAACCGGUUGAAAAUGGUGUAAUAUGCCUCUGUGGUUUGUACAUAAUGGAUUAGAUAAUCCUCUUUUUUGGCCCUCCAAAGAAUUAUUCGUAGGAGACUGAAAAUUGAAUCUCUGAUGCAGUUUAUCCUUGAACUGGUAAGACAAUGUAGCUGAAGUAAUUUUUCAUAUUUCAUAUAGUAUUUGCUAUCACUUAAGUGGAAGACUAACUUUUGUAUCUCUACUUUUUUCUGGCGACUUCAAACAGUCUCAACCUUUUGGAAUGUGACAAACUUUGAACUACUAUAGUAAUAAGAAGAUUACUAACCCUGUGUGCCCUGUACACACUGCUAUGAUUGAAGAAAGGCUAACCCUGUGUGCCCUAUACACACUGCUGUGAUUGAAGAAAGGCUAAUAUUACUUUUGCUGACUGACUGAGUGUGAAGGUGUGGGAGUGAAAGCUACAACAUACACAAACAAUAUGGAUGGACCUUGCCAAUGCUGAGUUGAUCUCUGCAAAUGAAGAUUCACCUAAAUAGAUUGGGAAUGCCAUUGUGGAGCAAAUUAGUAGGAACCAGGAUGGAAAUUCCACAGUGGUUAUGCAUCUUGAAGGAUACAAGAUGACUGUGUUGAAGCUGACCCAGCUACUUGAAAUAACCGAGUUAGUGGGGUUUGACUACCCAAUCACAAAGAAAAAGGUAUGUUGAUUUUCAGAAUUUUUCUUCCACUUAUCUCUUUGCUGUCAUACAGAGUGCCAUUCUGAAUAGUGAACUUUUCAUGUAAUGUGAAUUUGAUUCUUAAAGCACCUGAAUCUAGAUAAGCUUGCUGCAUGCUGAGCAUUGGGUCUUGUGUCUCAUGUGGGCUUUUUUCUUGAGUUCUUUGUGCCCAAAGAUGCUAGUAGGCUGGUUCUUACCACUGACCAACCAUCUAUUUAUACUUAGUCACAGCAAUUGCAAACAUACCCCCUUGGUUGGUUCAGGCAGUAAAAUCUCUUGAGGUAGUACUUAAUUGCCAUUUCCAAGUGUUUAACCCUAAAUUUUUAAUAUCUUUUUGGUGGAUUCAUAUACAUUGAACUAGUCUUCUUUCUAUAUUACAUGGAUUAAAUUUUGAAAUUAGGCCAACCUGUUGUUAAAUCUGCCUUUCAAAUUAUUGACUUAAUAUUGCGAAAAAAGAGAGACUUUUUACUAUUACAGAAUUUUUCAUUGUUGCAGGAAACUGGAGUCGUAGCUGACAGUGCUCAAGGGCAAUCCUUAAAUUAAAUUUCAUUGCAAUAUUUGAAAUUUAAAUUAUUUGAGAAAAAAAAAAUAUUUGCAUAAUAUUGAACAACGCAUUUUCUUGUAUAAUAUCAAUAAAACAAUGCAUGUGAGGGAAUAAAAAGAAUAAGACGAAAUUUGACGACAGUAAUUAGCAUUAUUUCAAGCAAAGAAAUCUGGACACUAAUAUGUUUUCUCUGUUACUUUUCAAAAUUACUGCGUGUGCAUGAGAUGAUUGCUUGCUACUGUAGUACUGUGCAAGGUGAAACAUUUGAAGAAGCCCCCUUCUAAACUGGUAGUGGUGGUCGUUGUCCUCCUGCCGAGGAAGUGUCAUUAGAUUGAAACCUACUGCAAAUAUUGAUACAAAAUGGCUUCAAGGUUUCGUUAUAGAGCUGACUGCAAAAUGGCUUCAAGGUUUCGUUGUAGAGCUGACGACAAGCUUCUGUAAACAGCGCCCCAUAUUGAUGCACAACAAUGAUAAUGGACGAGCAAAGCCAUGCAGUGUACAAUAUGAUAUGACCAAUAUCAGAGCGGGGAACAAAUGUGGAGGCUAGCGAGACUGCAGAAACAGAUCCAGAGACUCGUGCUGCAAGGGCCCAAGAUUGGGAAAAAUUCUCUUGAUGAGCUAAAUAUGCAUAACAAUAAAUGGCUGUGGUUAUGAGAAAAGACCAUAUAUUUGUUGUGUGUUUCAAGCAAGCGCUCAUUUGUGCCUUGCAUAUUUGCUCCCACAAUGCCGAUGAGAGCUGGAAUGAGAUAUCCAAACACGUUAUGGUAUGCGUUUGACAUCGCAGAUAAAUAAAAUUUGUUCUUGCAGAACCAUUAAAAUACUAUAUUAAGGAAAGUAUUAGAUCCAUUCCUUUAGAAAAACAGGAAUUUAAGAGAUCAUUAUGUAUUUAGUCUCAUUUAAUAUUAGUUUAAUUUUUUCGAGUCAUAGUUAUUGUGAAAAAAAAAAAUUAUCAAAUACUUUUAUUGAUUGGUAAGAAUUUAAAAAGGAAAUUUGGGAUUUUUUUUUUGUUUUCUUGUGAACAUUGACGGUAUAUAUGUAGGGUAAAGUUUUAUUUUUAAAUACACGUUGUGGCUCAGCUCAGAGAGAGAAGGGAGACGGUCAAGAUUGCUGGGUUGACUUUCUUUUCCCGUCAGCCAUUUUGUAAUAGCUUGAUCAGAGCAAUCAUUACCUGCAAAACUUAACACAACACCAAAUUAACAACCAACAUUUCAAUUGAAACAAAUCUACUUGAAAAUAAAAGAAAAAGCAACUCCAAAUCAAAAUCGAAAUGAAACCUUAUCAGAGAGACAGCCGCAAGUAUGAAGAGACAAGCACGAUCCUGAAGGACUAUUACUCCAAAUCAAAAUCGAAUUAUAAGAGAGAAAGCCGCAAGUACGAAGAGAGAAGCGCGAUCCUAAAAGAUCUGAAGUCGUGUUGUAUAUAUGUCUUGUAUAGAUUGACAGAGCAAUCAAAGGCCGUGUCGACCAGAGCAAUCGAAGAGUAGAAGAGAUAAGAGAGGAAAAAAGAAGAAGAGGAGAACUGCAGCAGCAAAUGAGCAAAGGGCAGUAUUUAUAGACAAGACAUGUUGUACGAAAUAAAGUAGUGGACCCUUUGUAGGCCUCAUCAUUCUUAAAAAUUUCUUCCAUCAUCACUGCCAUGCAACCUAGAUAUUCUUUUUCAAAUAUAUUAAACAUUUUAUUCGUGUUAGUUUGUACUGCAUGGCUUAAAAUUCCACUCUUUACUAUGAGACAACGAACGAGUGGACCCUUUGUAGGCCUCAGUUUUGCAAUUACUGACUUAUCACAGCUUACUCCAAAUCAAUUUGGAGUAAGCUGUGAUAAGUCAAUUUGGAGUAAGCUGUGAUUUGGCUGUUGUAAGCAUGGCGUUCGUUGAAAAUUCCGCGAAUUCCCCCAUCCGCCAUCGGACCGACCGUCGGUUGAAUUAUCACAGCUUAAGAGCUAAAGUUUUUGUGUUAAAGAGCUUAAAUAACAUAUUAUAAGACUCAAGAUAUUAGGUUCGAACCACGCAUCUUCGUUUUACUUAAUGCAGAUCCAAUUUUGGUGGCAGCGAAAUUAAAACUUUUCAUUUCAUGUAUUAUCUCAAGAAAUAUGACAUUGAUACAAAUACAUCAUUCAUAGAAUUUGAAACUUGGAACAUGAAUUUGCAGUACGUACUUUUAGGUAAUCCCAAAAAAAAAAAAAUUUAAACUAUUAGGUAAGAGUUCAAUAGUUGUACUUGAAAUCAAGUCUAACAAAUAUUUAGAGCAUAGUAAAAUAAGGACCGAUUGAGAACAAAAUUAAAGAUUUAGAUUAAUUGAGAUGAUAAUUUAUGUAAACUUACUAAAAUAAAACAAAGAUGCAUAGUAAGUUUACAUAAAUUAGGUUCGAACUACGCAUCUUUGUUUUAUUUUAGUAACCUUAAACAUCUACCUCGAAAGUUGACGAAAGUUGUGAGCAAUAUUCUAAUAUUGCUAAUAUGUGUUUCAAACUAGAUACUUAGAUUCUAAUUAUCCUCCUCGUUCAAUAAUCAGUCUUUCUUGUGAAAACACAUCUUAUAAUAAUAAUAAUAAUAAUAAUAAUAAUAAUUAUUAUUAUUAUUAUUAUUAUUAUUAUUAUUAUUAUUAUUAUUAUUAUUAUUAUUAUUAUUAUUAUUAUUAUAUCUAAAAAAAGAGUAAGCAGUGCUACUGGUAGUCUGCAGUCUGCCGUGUAAUGAUAAUAUAUAAUGAAUAAAUAAAUAAAUAAAAACGGAAAUACGUAUCACAGUUGACACAUACCUUCAUUGAAAUCAAUAUAUAUAUAUAUAUAUAUAUAUAUAUAUAGGGUUUGGCUAUCUUCUUAUUAUUAUCUUUCCUUGUUAUCAUGCAAGGAAAGAAGCCGUAGAGAUUCUGAAUAAAUGAAUGUUUCAAAUAAGUGCCUAGGAAAGUAAUCCACCAACAUACACAACACAAAUGUUCCGAUAAACAUACCAUCCCAACCAUUCUUUGAGGAGUAUAUGACUGUUGUAGGAUGAGAAGUAAAACAAACAAGAUCCACGCCAUAUUUUUUGCUAUUAAUUGUCUUCAAACAUCUGAAAUUCAAUUAAGGGUCUCAGUAACAAUUGUAAUACCGAUUAUCAUGAACUCAGCUAAGACAACUGAAGUGCAUUUGGGAGUGCUCUUAUAGAAAGAGCAUAUGAAAGCAGGAGGGGAAAACGGCCUUUUCACAAAGUACUUGAAAAACAUAUGAAUUACAUUUCCCUUAAGCACUUCCCAGAAACCACUCCAAGGUUUUUUUUUUUUAAUUUUUUUCCAUCUUAAAAAGCAUUUUUGUCCAUCUUAGAGAAACAGCAACUUUCAUGAGCUCCUGAAACACGCAGAGCAUACAUUCAGAAGUGCUUUAACUGAAAGUACCCUUGAGUAAAAUCACUUUGAAACAUAUAUGAAGUACUUCUUCAAAUGGCACUAGAAGUGAUUUCCUAAUCCAAAAAGUUCCACCUAUGAAAGCGGAUAUCAAGCACAUUCUCACAAAACCACUUCAAGGGUUCCUUUGAUUUAAAAAGACACUUUAUUUUUCUGCAAUUUCAAACAACUACUGCAAAAUUUAAACCAGCUAUUUACACUUACUCAAAAGCCCUUUCUUAGUUAAAAGAACUUCCAAAGAGACAACAUAAAAUCCUAAGAAACAGAGGAUAAACUUACGUGGCAGCAGUGACAUCAUACAGACGUAUAGAUUCAUCAUCACUAGCAGUCACCAAAUAACUCGACGAUUUAUGAAAAUCCAUGGAACUAAUUCUUCCAUUCUGUUGAAACACAAAUCAAUACCAAAACGACACUCAAUUAACAAACAGAUACACUUAAAAUGCAAAUCAAGUAUAUUUCUCAACUCAAAAAAAAAAAAAAGGUAGAAGGUUCUCUCACGUAAUCUCUAAAAGACAUGCCCACUUCCAUGCUCUGAAGAAUUUCUUCAGAGAGCUCCAAUGAGACCUUGUCUUCUCUCUCUGAUUGUGACCCUAGAAACACCCAGUAAAAAUACACAACACAAAUAAAAUAAAUAAAUAAACCACAGCAAUUAUGCAAGAAAACUACAACGUUUCAAGUAUAAUCUCCACAUACCAACCAUUUUUUUCUCCUCCAGAUUAAUUCCACUGCAUCGAAAAUAAAUUUUCCACUGAAACGGGAAGGAAGAUGCGGAAGUUGUGAAUCAAUCAGCAAGAUUUCUCCAAUAAGGACCUAAGUUUUGCAAUCGUCUCAAAUAGGUGCCCGACCCCAUUUAAUGAGUAAGAUACCCUUAGGCGUCGUAAAGAUUAUUUAUUUAAACACCAAGGGUAUUUUGGUCAUUUAACAUCACUGAGGGUGCCGCUACGCUACACCUUAUUACGAGCCGUAGACCCCCGCCGGUGGGAUGGUUUGGGUUUGUCGGUUAACGCAUUAAAAUUCAUCUCAAACACAAAAUAAAUUUUGACAUCCAUUGUAUAGUACACACAUUAAUAAAAGAGAUAGGUUUAGUUUCAAAAAAGUAAGUACAUGAUAUGUAGUGUUAUGGAUAUACAAAAUCAUUUUAAAAGUUAAAAUCUUUACAGUUUUUUUAAUGCUUUUCUCUCUUAAUGUAGAUUCCAUAAAAUACCAUAUAUUGUAACAAAGAAAAAAUGUUAUGUUCUAUUUUAAACCUUUAAUAAAACAUAGUAUAUAUGUUUUGUCAUAUACAAAUGAUUAUUAUUAUGUGGAGGUAAUUUUUUUAAGAUAGAAACUAAAAAAGUAUAGUUUAUUACAAUAUGAAGUUUAUUAUUAUUUAUAACUGACUCAAAUUGGGACAAGAAAUUUUUAUGAUUAUAUGGAGGUUAUUCUUAUAUAAAGUAUCACCAUGAAGAUAUAUUAUUGUAAUUUGAAGAGGAAUCCUUCUAGACUGGUAGUGUUGGUCCUAGCUGUCCUAACUGGUAGUGUUGAAACCUAUUGCAAGUGUCAAUACAAAAUGGCUUCAAUGUUUUUUGGUAAAGCUUAAGAGAAGCUUCCAUAAACAAUGUGCCAUAAUGAUACACAACAUUGAUAAUGGCAGCUCCAAUCCAUGCAGUGUACAAAAUGAUGUGACCAAUCUUAGAGCGUGGGACAAAUGUGGAAACCAAAGAGAUUGCAGAUACAGAUCCUGAGGCAACAGCAAUAAGGCACCAGAACUGGGAAGAAUUUUCUUGAUGAACUCGAGACUUCACAUCAGCUGAAUAUGCAUAACAGUAAAUGGCUGUGGCUAUAAGAAAAGAGCAUAUAUUUGUUGAGUGUGUUUCAAGCAAGGACUUAGUUUGGCCUUGAACAUUUGCACCCACGAUGCCGACGAGAGCCCCAAUAAGAUGACCAAAAAUAUAGGGAUAUGACAUUGAGGAGAAGAGAUUUCGCCCACUGCAAAACAAUUUUAAAAAAAAAAAUCCAUCAUAAUCUAAUAUUUCUCCUGAGCAAACUUCACUCAAGCGAUUAGUUGUUAAUAAUUUAAAAAAUAAAAGUGGUUAAGUUUUAUUCGUACACUAGCACUAAAUAAUAAGUGACAAAAGAUUUUUAAAGGUUUAAAAGAGCUCAAAUUAUAAAAGGAUCUUAAUCACCAUUUUAAACACAAAUUUAGACACAAGUUUUAGCCAUUGAAUUACAAUCAUUUCAAUAACUUAGAUUGAAGCUAACAUAAAUUUCAUUUUAAAAAUAAAAUAGUGGUCACAUUACAUAUUAUUAAUUUUAUCUCUUUUCUCUCCACUUUAAAUCUCUUUCUUGCUAGAAAUUGAGAGAGAGACUAAAAACUUCAGAGAUUAAUGUACCUAGUUUAGAGCUUAAAGAAGCUAAAACACAAGAAUCAAUGGAGAUAAUGGUUCCUUUACGUUAUACACAAGGCUUCCACCUUAUACUUCAUCUAAAUAAAUUGGUGAGAUCCCAUUACGGACAUGAAAAGAGAGAAAAAGAUUUAAAACAAAUUACAUCAUUUAUCUUCUGUACAGUAGAAAAUAGGAUAAAUUAACAAAUUACAUCAUUAAACUUCUGUACAUUAGAAAAUAGGGUAAAUUUUAAUUCAUCUCUUAAGAUAAUAUGACAGUCUUUAAUUUAUCUCCUAAAAGUGUGAAAAUUUCAAUUUACCCCGUAUUCUUUGAGAAGAUGAUUGCAUGAGGACCACUAUUGAUGGAUUUAUUUUUUGCCUUCUUUAACAGCAAAUGGAUGUAAAAUAAUAUUUUCACACUCUUAGAGAUAAACUGAAAAUUGAUAAUAUAAGUAUGAGAUCAAUUGAAAUUUACCCUAAAAAUUAUAAUUAAAUCUCACCCAUCUAUCAAUCCAUAGAUUUUUACACGCUUUCAAAAUCGUCAUUCUAAAAUCAAGUCAACUCUCAUUCAGAGAAGCUACGUAGAGGUGUGACUUUUAUCAAAGCCAAAAUGAACCACUGUUUGUUGGCAUCGAUUUUUGACAAAGUAUAUAGUAACCCCCUCAAACAUUAACAAAAGCAAAAAAAUUGAAAAGGAAAAAAUUGUUUGUUAUACGUUUUGAGUCCCUUUCUCUUGGUUUUGCUUCUUGAGGAAAUUGUAGUUUUAUUUGAGUUCGUAGAAGUUAAAACUUUGAAGGACAAAAGAUCUUGGGAAAAGAUACGAGGAGAGAGAAAAAGAAAAAAAUUAAAUUAAAUAUAAAAUUGAAAGAGAAAGAAAAAUAAUUAAUAGUUACUAAUUAAUUUUGCAUCAAAAGGAAAUUCAUGUCAGUCUCAAUCUAAGCGAUUGAGGCUAUUAAAAUGAUUCUGAGCUAAUAGCUAAAAGUUUGUGUUUAAGUUUGCAUUUAAAAUUAUAUCUCUUAAACCUGCAUUUCAUCUUACAUAUAUUUUGUUUUAGUGAGAGAAUGAAAGAAAAAUUUCAGAGGGACAACUUAACCAGUUUAUUCCCGCAAAAUUGGGAGAACAAAAGUAAUUUGAAGUAGACUGCAUACUCAAAGAUAAUGUACAACUAGAGUGCAAAAAAUAAAAAUAAAAUAAAAUGACCAUACACAGGAGAAGGGUUUGGACUUGGAUGAUGAAGAAUGCACUGGCAGCUUUGCAUUCGCAUAUAUAUCUCAGGAAAAUCUUCAGUUUUCAUAUUAAAUGAAAUAGAACUCAACAGUUAACUCACUCAGCUUGAACUUGGAAGGAAAAAAGAAAAGAAAGGGAAAGAAAAAUCUCCCUCUCACUUCCAAAAAUAAAAAUUACACACUCGAUAGAAACAUCUUACUUAUCUCCGCUUAAAAAAUUAUCUCAUGGCCUCGGUAUUUAUGGGCUAAACGAGCCACUGUUUAAUCAAAAUGUGAAAAAAAACAAAUUCAAAAAGUUUUUGUUUGAUGGAAUGAGGAUGGAAAUGGACAAAAUUCAAAAGGGUUAUUUUUACUUUUACUGGCUUCCAAUAAACUAGGCCAUAUUGCACGUAAUUAUAGAAACCUCUCCUGCUGUUUGUACAACGUUUCGUAAUGGUCAAUAGAAAUGUUUUGCUCAGUUGCGUUAUGUGCUGAGUGAGGGAGACAGCGAAUCGUAGAGAGGAUUUUCAAGUUCAAAGUAAUAAAUGAGAAAGCGGCGAAGGGCCAUCGGUAGCUAGUAAUGAAAGAAUAAAGUUUUCAAAAGUUUACUUUUAUUGAUGAAAAAGUAAUGACAAUUAAGGUUUGAUCCUUUUUUAUUCUAGAAUCCUAACACACCGUUUUACUAAUUAUGUUAUUUCAAACCCUACAAAUUUUUUUUCCAAUAAUGAACAAUCUUGCUGGGAUAUAAACGAGUCUAUGCAAGGAAAGCCAAAAUACAAAAAAAAAAAAAAUAUAUAUAUAUAUAUAUAUAUAUAUAUGAGCAUGAUUUAUAUACGUUUCCUGAUUGAGUUGCUAGCGACGAUAAACUCAGUUUCGAAAGUGUAUAGGCGUAUCUCAAAGUAUUAGUGGUUGAGAAUAUGCAGAUAAACUGAAAUUACAAUGAAAUUAUUAUAAAGCAAAUAAAAAUUUACAAGGGAAUGAGUUUCUUUUAACCAAUUAAAUAACAAAUCCGAUGUUUCAAAUGGAAUAAUACACGAAAAAACCAUGUUCACAGAUAAACAAGUUAGCAGCAUUAUAGACAAACUUCGGAAGCAGAUACCUGAGAUGGCCAACAGUUGAGUGCAAAUUUAUUAGUGAGGUUAAUUUUAUUUUUAGUUGUUCUUAAAUAUAACUUCAAUAAAACAAGAGUUUUAUGAUAUUAAUGAAGUGAUGCCAAUUGUCCAACUCUUUAUUUUUAUCAUUUUAAAGGCUCCUUCUUCUACUUACCUGUUUGUUCUUCUAACUCACUAUUUAUUUCUUUAUUUUUGCAUUUAAAUUCUUUCUUAAUUAAUAUGAGCUUUCCCAAGCAUUUAAAAAUUUAAUAUCAUCAACGUUAAUGUAUAAUUAAAAUCUAACUAAAUUUAUUUUAUAAGUUAUUAAAACACCAAUCACUUAAAUGAAUUUUACAUCUUUUUUCUGCCAACAUAACAAAUGUCUUUAUUUAAUUGCUUUGGUAAUGUAAAUGGCGAUUACCUGAGCAGCCGGUCGCCCAUUCUCACAUGUGUGACACACAUAUUUCCUCUACUCGACAUUUUCAUGUUUCUACAGUGUAUAUUAUGCAAGACCCUACAAUUAUUGGUCAUUUGUUUCAACUCAGAGAAAAAUUUGCACAACAUUUUAUUUAUAUUCGUCAAAUUUAUUAUUUAAAAAUUAAUGAAACCUACCAUUCUAUUAUAUUCUAAAGCAUCACCAACAGACCGUCUCAGGUUCUCUCUCCAAGUCAAUAGCAAGCAAUGUAAUCUCGGUACCGAGGUACAUUCAAAGGUCAAAUCACGUUCAGCUGCUGGCAGGAAAAUCAAAUAAAUUAAUUAGGCAAUGAGUCCCUUUUUAAGCAAUGGUGAGGAUUACUUUUUCAGGAAACUUUCAGUGACCGGUAAAGACAAAUUUUGGUUAGGUGAUGGUAGCAAAUAAACGUUGCAAGUUAAAUCUGAACGCUGCAUUUAACCCAAACUCUGUUUCAAUUGAAUGUGGAAAGGACAUAUACAUAUGCUGCUGUGAAGAAGCUCGAAGCAGUCAGCCAUGAGAGGCCCUGCUUUCCUUGUAAUCUUUCCGUAAAGUAGCACCAUCAUCAUGCAAUGAAGGAAAAUCCUCAUGAGAAGCCUCCAUUCCCUUUCUGCAAUUGUGUCCUUGCUUAAUAUACCUUGAUAUUUACAAAGAACUUUCACCAUAUCAAGUAAAAUGAACAAACACAAAUUACAGAGCCGCGGCGUUUGAAUCAAAGGAACAAGAGGGUUACUCUUGAACAAUGAUAUGUGUUACGUCGCACAUAAAGAACGGAACCGCUAAUAUUUUCUGACAUACUAUUUUCUUACUAAAAUUUUAUCUACUUCUACCACAGUGGAGGAAAAAAGCACCAUACCAGCUGUUUCCGUGAAAAUAGGCGUGAGAAAAAAAUAUUUGCAAGCAACAGAAUUUAUGUUUAAGUGUAAUUUCACGCUUAUUUCAUCUUUCUUCAGUUAAAUCAAUCAGCAAAACUUAAAAGCCCACUUCAAGCUUUUCUUUGAUUUCGAAAGGCACCUUUUUUUUUAAUCCCAUUUCCGAAAACUACUACAAAAUCUAAAAGAAUGAUUUACACUUAAAAAGCCUUUUCUUAAGUUUUAUUUGGUAUUGGGGGUAGUGUAACUUCUAAGUUAUAGUUGCUGUAAAAAAAAAAAAAAGUGUAAUUAUAAAAUACAAAGUUAAUAGUGUACAGUAAAAAUAAAAUUUAAAGAAAUAUUUUGAUAAAAUUAAUAAAAAUAUUAUAAUUUUCUCAUCACAUGAGUGAUGAAUUAAAUCAACUUAGUUUGUAAGCUAUAGCUAAGGAUGAUAAAAAGUUUGGGCCGGCCCAGUAUAUUCUUGCAAACUUUGGCUUGGGCUUCUACACGAGGGCCGGACGAGGGCUCAAGGAAAAAAAGACUGAGCCUAACCCAGUCCUCUAUUUUUUUAAAAAUAAAAUUAUGAAUUAGGAUAACAAAUUAAAAUUCAAAAAAUAAUGAAAAAUUAAAAAAAAAAGCUUAAAUCCCUAAUUCAUAUAUCAAUAAUGAUUCAAAUAACCUAAAAUUAUAAUACUAAACUUAUUUUAAGCAUUAAUUAAUUGAGAGGGUACUUGAAUUAGAAAAUUCAAUAUUAAAACAUUAAAUCUCUCAAAUUUUAUUUGCUUCAUUUUUGUUAUUUAUUAUUUUAUUUGAAAAUAUUUAUUUUCUUUAAUUUAUUAUUGAUUGUAACAACUUAUUGAUUAUUAUCUCAUGUCAAGUUUACAAUAAUAAAAAAUAAAAAAGUUUGCAAUAAAAAAAAUUUAAAAAAUAAGUAAAAGUCCAAGCCCAGCCCAAGCCUGGCUCACCCUGCAAUGGCCUGGCCCAAGCUCCCAUUCUACCAUCCCUAGCCACAACAACUAGUAAUUUAUAAAAAAAUGUAAGUGUUGUAGGUUAGUUUUUAAGUUACAGUUGUAAAACUUCAAUACUAAAUAGAUAUUUAGGGGUUUUUAUUUUCUUUUUUUUUCCUUUGAUAAAACAGGGCUUUUGUUAAAAGCACUUCCAAAGACAAUAUAGAAUCACAAGAAACAAAGGGAUCAACUUAUGUGGCAUAGAGACAUCAUAUAGAUGUACCGAUUCAUCAUCACUAACAGUCACCAAAUAGCUCGAUUUAUGAACUUGUAAAAUCUUUUUUUUUUUCUUUAAGUGUAAUUUCAUCGUAUAGAUGUAGUUUUUUUCCCCCUUCCUUGAAUAAGCUUAUUCACAUCCCAACAAUAGAAUUUUACAUUGAAUAAUGAGUGUGUGUUUUACAAGUAUUAAGAGUAAUUAUGUCAUAUUGGUUUAUAAUAGAUUGUCUUUAACAGUAAUUCAACUUAUGAGUAUUAUGAGUAUUUUUAUAAUGAAUUAUUUUAUAUAAAUAAAUGUGUUCAUAGCAAUUUUUGAAAGUACAAAUAUCUCCACCCUCAUAUUAAUUAUUGUUAUUGAUAUUAUUAUUUGUGCAUGGUAUAUACACGGAUGGAUCCAGUAUUAGACUAGUUGGGGCACGGGCCCUCGCUGACUUUUGUAAUAUUUUUUAUGAUUAUAAAAAAAUGUAUUUAAUUUAUUAUUUAAAAUAGUGCCCCAAUUGAAAUUAGAAUUAUGAAAGUGUUCCAAUUAACUUCAAAAGAUUUUAUGUUGCCCUUAAUUGAAGUGUCUAAUUUUAGAUGAUUUGAUUCACUAUUAAAACAUUAUGAAACUUAAAUAAAGACAAAAGAUAAUUGAUAUUUUAAACAAAAUAAAAAAUAAUUAAAAACUAAAGAUGUAUACUUUGCUCUUUUUAUUUUUCUGGUCUCUUUCCAAUGCUUUGAAUCAAAACCACUUUCUUUAUUUGUUUGUUAUGGUCGUAGUGUAAUAAUCGAUCAGAGUAAUGCACGUGCAUCAGUGCAUGGAUUUCAUCCCAAUUCCCAUAAAUCAAAAGCACUUUCCUUUAAUUGUUUAGUUUUUCGAUAUUGAUUCUUAAAUUAUAAGUCUAGCUAAUUUUAAUUUUCAAUUAUUCCUAUUAAUCUUUUAUCUAGUUUCCAAAUCUCAAUUUUACUAUCUAUUCAUAUUUUCUCUUCGUGUUGCACUAUAUGAAUAUUUGGGAAAUUUACAAAAAUAACCAUAAAAGUUUUACUGUUUUCACAAUUAAUCCUUUAAAUUUUUUUCUAUCAACAUUAGCCAAACACACGCUUUUCUCCCCAAAUUACCCUUGUUUACAAAUCAAAAGCAACAGUCGUGGGUGAAUCUGGCGACAGGCGUCUAUCGCACCAAGCUUGGUGCGACAGACUGCCUGUCGCACAAAGCUACGUGCGACGGGCUGCCUGUCGCACAAAGCUACGUGCGACAGGCGUCUGUCGCACCAAGCUGCCUGUCGCACAAAGCUACGUGCGACAGGCGUCUGUCGCACCAAGCUUGGUGCGACAGGCGCCGGUCGCACCAAGCUUGGUGCGACGGGCGCCUGUCGCACGAAGCUGUAAACUGAUUAUGGAUUAUGAAGCAAAUUCCAGAAUCAGGGAUCCUGUCUACGGCUGCGCCGGCACGGUUUGCCAUCUGCAGAAACAAGUCAGUGAGCUUCAGGCUGAGUUAGCCAAGGCACAGGCCGGGCUCGCUUCCAUGCAAAGCCAGCAACAAAAUUUGAUUGCUUUGAUUUGCAUGGAAAUGGCUCAAUCUCAAGAACAAGUCCUGCAUCGUCAUCAGCAGCAGCAGCUGCAACAGCAGUUCAUUGAUACAAGCUGUUUUUUGGACGAAUACAGUCUUGGCUCUACCUGGGAACCUCUCUGGACAUGAAGAGAAGUUAAAGCAAUAGGAGUGGUUGAAACUUUUGAUUUGAAGUUAAAGCUAAAUAACCAAAUGAUUUGAAUAAAUCUCGUUGAAGAGAAUAGAAGAUAAGAAAGAGGGAAACAUUUUUGCUUUUAUCGGAUUCUGUGCAGAAAGCCCUGCACCAUUCCACCUUCUUUCUUUUUCUUAAAAAAAUAUAUAUAUAUAUUUGUUUCUAUAUCUUUCUUAGUUUCCUUCACCUCCGUUCACUCUUUUUCUGGUUUUGCCUUCAAACUCAUGUUCUGCAACUUUCUACACUAGCUCUCCUCAGUAGCUUAUUCUUACGCAGGGAUUGACUUCAAAGGAUGAAGAAUCCUAUUUAUCUAUCCAAAUUCGUUUAAAUUUCGCAGAAUUCAACUCUUGGAUAUGCAAACUUCAGUUACGCGUAAUUCAAGAUGAUAAAUUAUAACCAGCAUAUCAUCAAUAGACCAAAAGCACAUUGAAAUACUAGAUAUCUACAUAAAUUGGAAUUUUUUUUUAAAAAAAAUUAUAAUGCUUUAAUGUAUUUACAAAAAUAAAUUUCUUAUUUUAGUGGAAUCGCUUGUGAAUUAACAUAUCAUUUGCUUGAGAAAAAGACCAUUAGUGCCGCCGACGAUGGGAGUUUCUUCGGUUUGGGAGAGAUGGGUGAAAGAGAGAUUGUUGGUGGAGAGAAGAGAGAGAGGGGUAUUUUGGUCUCAAAGGUUUUUUUAUGGCUAAUGUUGAUAGAAGUUUGUUUGGGGGGUUAAGAUGGAAAAAGUCAAAACUUUUAUGGUUAUUGGUGUAAAUUUCCCUGAAUAUUUUUGCUAUUCAGUCACAUCAUACAGACGUACAAAUUCAUUAUCACUAACAGUCACCAAAUAGCUCAACCGUUUUUUAAAAUCAAUUGAACUAAUUCUCCCAUUCUGUUGAAAAAUAAAUUAAUACUAAAUGAUACUCAGUUAAUAAAUGGAUACACUUAAAAUGGAAAUCAUCAAGAAUGUUAGAACCGAAGAAUUCAAUCCAAAAUCAAACUAAAUUUUAAUAUGAAUCGAACCAAACUGAAUGACUCAGACAAUUUGGUUUCUAACAUGAAAACCAAGCCAAACCUGUGAUUGAAUGACAAAACAGAAACGUAAAGAAGGUAAAAGAUAGAGAAAUAGAAAUUUCUGACAAAAGUAAAGUUUUAAGUAUCUUUUAUAUUAACCCUAAAUAAGUGAAUUUAUCAAAAGAGGCAAAUCCAAAAUAUUUUAAAAUAGUAAAAUAUUAUCAUUGGAAAUAAAAAAAAAAUAAAAAAUGACACUUAGAUACGAUAUUUGGAAAAAUAAAAAUCAAAAUUUGGAAAGAAACUAAGAAAAUAGGAAAUUAAAUAUCUUUUGCUUGCAAACAUGGCCCAAAACAAUGGGAUUUCAAAAUAAUUCGCUAAGUUUUUAUGAUAUUGUGAUAAACCUCCUUAUUCAUCUUUUCAUAAGCUUCUAUAUAUAUAUAUAUAUAUAUAUAUCUCAUUCCCUUGAAAAAAAUUUUAAAAGACGAUGUAUUAAUUUCCUCUCAAAUUGUCAAUCAUUUGAUUUUGACUGAAUUAUUUUAGACCAUUAAUCAAUAUACAAUAAUGUAUCGAUAUAACUAUGGUAUGUUUACUAAUUAGUAAUCGGAAUGAGCCGGAAUCAGAAUGGAGUGGAAUUGGAAUGGACUUUAUUACUAUUGAUGUAUUUACUUUAUCUUGAAAUCAGAAUGAAUUAUCACAAGUUACUAAACCGACCUUAGUUGAUUAUUUCAUUAUUUAUAAUAAUAAUAAUAAUCAUCAUCAUCAUCAUAAUAUGAAUAAUAGUUAUUAUUAUUGUUAUUAUUAUUAUGGUGAUGAUGAUGACGACGAAAAUUUCAUUGUUGAUGACUUUAGGGAAUGACAUUCUUACUCCCAUCUCCCCCAUAGGAAUGGGAACUCUAGUAAUCAUUCCUAAUUUUAAGUGAGGCCCACAACUUUGAUUCUUAUUCUGCCUUUUAUUUAACUAGGUAAAUGUAUCAUUUAUUCAUAUUCCUUGAUUUUCAUUCCCAUUUCCAAUAGGUAAAUACAACACUAAUGUAUACAAUAAUGAAAUCGCAAUAGAUACGAAAUAGGAUAGAAGGGAAUAUUAUUCUUUGAAUAUAAUUUUUCUCUAUAAAUUCAAGGGAGUACUUUCUUUAACACAUAUAGUUAUUUUUCCUCUGCCCCCAAAUAUUUCACCAAUUUUACUGCAUACAUACUUGCUUCAACAACCAUCACGUGCUUUUAAUUUAUGGGAACUGGAAUAAAAUCCACCUACUGAUGCAUACACAGUUCUCUAAUCGGCUACUGCACUAUCAUCACGACAAACAAAUUAAGAAAGUGCUUUUGAUUCAAAGCACUGAAAGUAGAGUGAAUAUCUUUUGUUUUUAAUUGAUUUUUUUAUUUUAUUUUAAAUAUUUAUCGUCUUUUGUCUUUAUUUAAGAUUCAUAAUGUUUUAAUAGUUAAUGAAAUUAUCUAAAAUUAGACACUUCAACUAAGGGCAAGAUGAAAUCUUUUAAAAUUAAGUGAGGCAGUUUCAUAAUCCUAAUUUCAAUUGGGGCACUUUCUAAAAUAAUAAAUAAAAUACUUUUUUAAUUUAUUUAUAAUCAUCAAAAAAAUGAUUUCAGAAGUCAGGUAGGGCCGUGCCCCAACUAGUCCACUAUUGGAUCCAUCCGUGUAUAUACCAUGUCCAAAUAAUAAUAAUAAUAAUAAUAAUAAUAAUAAUAAUAAUAAUAAUAAUGGUAAUGGUAAUUUAUGUGAGAAUGUAGAUAUUUGUAUCUUUAAAAAUUAUUAUGAAUGCUCUUAUUUAAAUAAAAUAAUUCAUUAUAAAAAUAAUUGUAAUACUCAUAAGUUGAAUUACUAGUAAGAAUAAUCUAUUAUAAAAGGGAAAUUUACAAAAAUAACCAUAAAAGUUUUACUGUUUUCACAAUUAAUCCUUUAAAUUUUUUUCUAUCAACAUUAGCCAAACACACGCUUUUCUCCCCAAAUUACCCUUGUUUACAAAUCAAAAGCAACAGUCGUGGGUGAAUCUGGCGACAGGCGUCUAUCGCACCAAGCUUGGUGCGACAGACUGCCUGUCGCACAAAGCUACGUGCGACAGGCGCCUGUCGCACCAAGCUUGGUGCGACGGGCGCCUGUCGCACGAAGCUGUAAACUGAUUAUGGAUUAUGAAGCAAAUUCCAGAAUCAGGGAUCCUGUCUACGGCUGCGCCGGCACGGUUUGCCAUCUGCAGAAACAAGUCAGUGAGCUUCAGGCUGAGUUAGCCAAGGCACAGGCCGGGCUCGCUUCCAUGCAAAGCCAGCAACAAAAUUUGAUUGCUUUGAUUUGCAUGGAAAUGGCUCAAUCUCAAGAACAAGUCCUGCAUCGUCAUCAGCAGCAGCAGCUGCAACAGCAGUUCAUUGAUACAAGCUGUUUUUUGGACGAAUACAGUCUUGGCUCUACCUGGGAACCUCUCUGGACAUGAAGAGAAGUUAAAGCAAUAGGAGUGGUUGAAACUUUUGAUUUGAAGUUAAAGCUAAAUAACCAAAUGAUUUGAAUAAAUCUCGUUGAAGAGAAUAGAAGAUAAGAAAGAGGGAAACAUUUUUGCUUUUAUCGGAUUCUGUGCAGAAAGCCCUGCACCAUUCCACCUUCUUUCUUUUUCUUAAAAAAAAUAUAUAUAUAUUUGUUUCUAUAUCUUUCUUAGUUUCCUUCACCUUCGUUCACUCUUUUUCUGGUUUUGCCUUCAAACUCAUGUUCUGCAACUUUCUACACUAGCUCUCCUCAGUAGCUUGUUCUUACGCAGGGAUUGACUUCAAAGGAUGAAGAAUCCUAUUUAUCUAUCCAAAUUCGUUUAAAUUUCGCAGAAUUCAACUCUUGGAUAUGCAAACUUCAGUUACGCGUAAUUCAAGAUGAUAAAUUAUAACCAGCAUAUCAUCAAUAGACCAAAAGCACAUUGAAAUACUAGAUAUCUACAUAAAUUGGAAUUUAAAAAAAAAAAAAAUAUAAUGCUUUAAUGUAUUUACAAAAAUAAAUUUCUUAUUUUAGUGGAAUCGCUUGUGAAUUAACAUAUCAUUUGCUUGAGAAAAAGACCAUUAGUGCCGCCGACGAUGGGAGUUUCUUCGGUUUGGGAGAGAUGGGUGAAAGAGAGAUUGUUGGGGGAGAGAAGAGAGAGAGGGGUAUUUUGGUCUCAAAGGUUUUUUUAUGGCUAAUGUUGAUAGAAGUUUGUUUGGGGGGUUAAGAUGGAAAAAGCCAAAACUUUUAUGGUUAUUGGUGUAAAUUUCCCAUUAUAAAACAACAUUACAUAAUUACUCCGAACACUUGUAAAACGCACUCAAUGUAAACUUAUAUUAUUGGGAUGGAAUAAGCCUAUAAACAAGGAAAGCCAAAAUACUAAAAGAAUUAAUGAGCUACAUAGGUGUCUUGAUUGAAUUGACAGCGAGGAUAAACUCAAUUUCAAAAUUGAAUAUGCGUAUAAAAGUAUUAGUGGAUGAGAACAUGCAGAUAAAAACAGAAACUACAAUGAAAUUACUAUAAAAGCAAAUAAAUUAAUUAGGGAAUUAGUUUCUUUUCACCAAUUAGAUAACAAAUUCGAUAUACUUCAAAAGAAAUAAUACUUUAAAGAAUAUGAUCCUAGAUAAACAUAUUAGCAACAUUAUAGAUCACAAACUUUGGAAGUUGAUACACGGAGUUGAGUGCACAACUAUAUAAGGGGUUAAUUUUAUUUAUAUUUGUUAUCAAAUAUAAUUACAAUAAAAUAGAAGUUUUAUGAUAUUAAAGGAGAGCCUAACUCUUUAUUUUUAUCAUUUUAAAGACCUUCCUUCACCUUAUCCGUAUGUUCUUCCAAGUCAUUUUCAGCCGACCACUUUUAAGAUACUUUCACCACUGUUUACCGCCAACACAACAAAGGUCACCGAUUACUUUUAUUUAGGCAGCUGUUACCGGAGCAGCCGGUCGUCCUUUCUCACAUGUGUAACACACACAUGGUCCUCUACUUGUCAUUCCCACAAUUGGUCACUCAAGUCAAUAGCAAGAAGCAAAGAAAUCUGUCAAAAUCACUUCAGCUGCGUCAUGGCUGGAAAAACAAAUAAAUUAAUUAGGGAAUGAGUUUCUUUUAAUCAAUUAAGUAACAAAUUUGAUACUCAAAGGCAAUGUAAUGCACAAAAGAACCAUGAUCGUAGGUAAACAUGUUAACAAUAUUAUGGAACAAAAACUUCAGAAGCAGGCACCCGUCUGAGAUGGCCUCCUCACAUUUCAAACAAUUAUGCAAAUUUUAAAAGAGUGAUUUACACUUAUUCAAACGCCAUUUUCUUAGUUUUUUUUUUAGUACAUGAGACUAUUACUUAUAUUACAUGAGAUUAUAACUAAUAUUUACAAAUCAAAUUAUUAUUAAAAUUAGUUUACAUCAAUUUUUAUGAAGCACUGUCCAGAUUUUUAACCAUCACUAAUAUUGAAGGGAUGUAUACUCUACUCGCACUUGAUAAGAGAGAAGACUGUUUCCACUCAAUUAUACAUUAUAAAUAAGGAAUAAAUUACCCCCACAAUACGUUUGUGGGGUUUCGAACUACUAUCCUCACAUAAGGGCACCAGCCCUAACCUCCCAACCAAAGUCGAGUGGCUAAAAACCCAAAAAGUCAAUCAAUUAAGAAACACGUAUACUUAAAACACAAAUCAAGUACACUUUGCAAAUGAAAACAUGCCUGAACGAGACCUUUGCUUCUCUCCCCGACUAUGACACAAAACACCCCCCUCCCAAAAAAAAAUAACAAAGAAAUAAAUCACAACAAUUAUGCGAGAAAACGACAACGCUUUAAGUAUAAUUUCCACAUAUAUACCAACCAUUUUAUCCUUCUUUUUAUUUUUGUUCUUCAAUUUUUCUCCACUGCAGCCUGAGGAAGAUGAGAAUUUAUUUACAACGAUUAAGCCACAAAUAUUAUUAUACAAAAUAGUGUGCACAAAAUUCUUUUUUGGGUAAAAAAACAAGUCUAGUAUGUAUAAACUAAUGUGACAUAAAGAGAUUGACAGAAAAGGGAUAAUAAUUAUUUUUUAAAUUAUGUGGACUCACAAUAGUUUUCUACAUUUAAUCUCUUUAUGCUACAUCAUUUCGUACAUAUUUGUUUUUACAAGGUGAUUUUGACUUGUGACUAUCUUGUAUAUCAAAUAGCUUGAUUUCUCUAGUAAUCAGACUAGUUUUAUAUUAGUCUCAAAUAGGUCCCUAGCUCCGUUUAAUGAAUUACAUACCCUUAGCCUUAAACACCAAUUCUUACACCAUCAUAUGUCAUUGCCAAUGGUUCUUUGGUCAUUUAGAAUUAAAUAAGGACCUAAUUACAUGAAUGGACAACUAAAUCAAUACAUUACACCUUAUCACUUGAGCCUUAGACUCCCACUAAAAGGGGUGGACAUUUUGAUUUUAAAUUUUGGGUUAGUCAAAUCAUGAUUCGAGUUGGAAUCCGUUUGGGUUAGAGAAUUUAACCCAAACACAAAACAAACUUUAGCCCGAACCGAAUCAAACCAAAUUAUUCAAAUUGUUUGGUUUCUAAUUUAAAAACUAAACCAAACUUAAUUUUAGGAUCGAUUCGGUCAGAUCAAUCCAAACCGUUUGCCUACCUUAUUGAAUGGAAUAAACUUUUUACUAUUAUAUUAAUAAGAAAAUUAUUAAUCCUGAGUGUAGAUGUUGCUGACUGCCUUGAUAAAUCAUUUGUUCACAUCAAACUGAGGCAUGAGAUAAAUAAAGGUGUAGGAGAUCUAGAGGAAGCUGCAACAUACACAAAAGCAAUAUUAUAUGGAUACGCCAUGCCGAUACUGUGUGUGAAUGAAGAUUCACCAAUGGACUGGGGGAAUGCUAUAGCGAAACAAAUUAGUAGCUGACAAGGAUUAACAUGUCACAGAGUUAAUAGGGGGUUUUGCACAUCUUGAAAGAUCAGGCAAGACCACAAUGUUGAAGCUGGCCUAGCUACUUGAAAGAAACGAGUUACUUACUUCACUUUGGUGGAGUGCAAAUAUACCACCUACACUAUAUAUUGUUGAAAAGUCAAAAUGAGUCUCACAUGCACUGUCAAAUUGCCGAAAAUUUUGGAAGAGUUGGGAGUGUUGGAGUUGGGAUGUUACAGGUAUUUGUCGUAGCAGGAAUUGGAACAUGCAAGGGCUCCAUCAAGUUGCCCACCAUCAAAUCAGGUCAAAGCACAAAAUGUAUCAACAGAUGGAUAUGCAUUUCCUUUUGUUUGAGAUCUUGUGAGUACAAUGCUCUUAGUCCUUAAUACCAUACACAUAAACAAUGGCCUAUAUAUAAACACUGCUGUGAUUGAAGAAAGGCAGUAUUGUUAUCGCUGACUUUUACCAAUGGCCUUGAUGGACCAUUUCUUCGCAUCUAACUGAGGCAUAAGGGGUAUAAAGCCUAAGUGUAGGAGAGAAAGCCACAACAUAUGUACAAAAACACAAUAUGGAUAGACCUUAUUGAUCAUGCUGAGUUAAUUGAUCUCUCUGUGAAUGAAGAGGAUUCCCGUUAAUGCCACAGCGGAACCAAUUUUUAGGAACCAGGGUGGACAUGUCAAAUAGUGAACAGGGGUUUUAAAUCUUGAAGGGAUACAAGACCACAGUUUUGAAGCUCACCUGGCUGCCUGAAACAAGCGAGUUAGUUAACGACGUUGGUGGAGUUCGACCCUAUAAUUAAUUGACUAAUAUCACAAAGAAAAAGGUAUAUUGGUUAUCAGAAUUUUGCAUCCACUUGAGCCAUUCUGAAUAGUGAACUUUUCUUGCAAUGUGAAUAUGUUUUGUUUUGUUUUUUUCCUCCCUUUUUCUGAAGGCCUGAGAAUUUGUUCUUAAACCCGACUUAAUCUAAUAAGCUUGCUGCAUGCUAUAGUCAGCGUAGGAUCUGGUGUCUCGACCAUGUGAUCUUUUUCCUCGAGUUGCUUGUGCCUAAAGAUGCAAGUAGCUAUGCGGAUUCCAACCUCUGAAUUCUAAUCAUCCAUGUGUUUUUGUUCUUAGUCACAGCAAUCACGAACAUACACUAAUUUGGUUCAAGAGGUAAGACCACUUGAGAUAGUACGCAAAGCCGUUAAACCCAAAAUUAUUAAGACUUAAGGUGGAUUCAUAUACUUUGAACUAGUCUGCUUUCUAUAUCACAUGGAUUCAAAUUUGAAAUUGGGCCAACCUCUUUUUUUUUCAAAAAAGAAAAGAAUUAAUUUUCCCUAUUAAGGUUUUCUCAUUGUUAAUGGAACCGGAGUCUCUGACAAGAGGAAUUUUAAAAUACGUCAGAUGUAAUACAAUCAAUCAAUGCAUCUAUAAUAUGUGUGGUUGAAUUUUAUAUAGCCACCAAUUAUAUGCUGAUUCUUCAAAAUAAUUACACAUAUAUCAUAACAUCAUUUACUUAUUGUAUGACUAAUAUAAUACCUCAAAGAUAUUUUAAAAAUUUUCCAUAGACAACAGUCAAUCAAGGGUAAAUCUUAAAUUACGUCAGAAAAAGUCUUUGAAAAAUAUUGAAGAAAGCAUUUACUUGUAUAAUAAAAAAUGCAUAUGAGGGGACAAAAAGAGUGAAGGUACGAGUUUCACUAUUAUCACAACAUUUAUUACUAUUUCAAACAUAGAAAUGUGAACAAUAAUGUAUUUUGUCGAAUUUUCUCUGUUGGUUAUUAAAAUUACUAUGUGUACAUGUGAUGAUUGCUUGCUACUGUGCAAUCCGAUAAUUUGACUUGGAGAAGUAAUCAUAGAAAUGUGAUGAUUACUUGGAGGAGAUUACUCCUAGACUGGCAAUAUUGGUCGUUAGGUUUCUUUGUAGAGCUGACGACAAACUUAUGAAAAUAACGUGACAUAUUGAUACACAACAACAAUAAUGGCAGUGCCAAUCUAUGCAGUGUACAAAAUGAUAUGGCCAAUUUUAAAAUGCGGAACAAAUGCGGAGACCAAAGAGACUGCAGAAACAGUCCCUGAGACAACAGCAAUAAGACAUCAAAAUUGGGAAGAAUUUUCUCAAUGAAGUCGAGACGUCAGGUCACCUAAAAAUGGAUAACAAUAUAUGGUUGUGACUAUCAGAAAAGACCAUAUGCUCGUUGAGUGUGUUUCAAGCAAGGGCUUUGUUUGGCCUUGCACAUAUGCACCCACAAUGCCGAUGAGUGCCGGAAUCAAAUAUCAAAAAAUGUUGAGAUAUGAGAUCGAGCAGAAGAGAUUUCGCCCACUGCAAAAUCAUUAAAAUGAAUAAUCAUCUUCUGUAUAUCCCAUUUCUUUUGAAAAAAAAAAUUAAAAUUAAAAAGACGCUAUAUUAAGUUCCACUCAAAUUGUCUGUCAAUUAUUUGCUUUCAACAAAUCCAAUUCUCCUAUAAAAAUUUGAUGAAGUGCUUUUCUAGUUUCCUUAACAUAUAUGAAAUAUUUUUCAUCUGUAACCCUGUUUCAUCAAAAUUUUACUAUAUACACGCUUGUUUCAACAACGAUCACCAUCACCCUUUAGUGUUACAUAUUGUUGUUGUCGUUAAUUUUGACAAUUUUGACGAUAAAAUAUAAAUUUACCCUCAUUUGAAUUUUGAAAUGUAAAAUUAUCAUAAAACCAUAACAAUAGUUUCAAAUUCCAGUUGACCUGUGCGGAAAUUAAAAUUUCUUAAAGGUUAGAAAAAAGUAAAAAUGUUUUGUUAUGGAAUCAAAAUAUCCCCUCUACCAUCAUCCAUAAUUAUCUAUUCUUGAUAACAAUCUAAUAAACUUGAAAAAGCAAUACAUCCAAUCCCUGUCAAUCAAACAGCCAAACUUCUUCAUAAAGUUUAGCUUUUACUUCUGAAAAUUCUAAUUCUUGAGACCCUAAAUAAAUGGAUAUUCAAAGUUACAUGUUUCUAGAACGAAAAUCUUCAAUUUAGUCCUUUUAAAUUUUGAAAACAUUAAUUUACAUCUAUUUAUCAGUCAAAGGAUUAGAAUAAAUGGAGGCACAUUGAUGACAAACUUUUUAUCUUAUUAAUGGUAUUUGAUAAAUAUAAAUAAAUUGAAAAUUGUCAUUUUAAGUGGAGGUAAAUUAAAAUUUUACUCUGUAUUUAUAGUGCUUUAGUAAGAGAAAGAAAGAAAACAGAAAACAAAUCUCUUCAACGGGAGGCUGAACAAAAUUUUCAGUAGGGACUCAACCAAUUUUUUUCACGGAAAUUUAAUUAGGAGAACAAAAACAAUUUGAAGUGGACCGCAUAUAUUUACUAAAAUAUAAUAUACAAAUUUGAGUCAAUAAUGAUAAAGAAAAUGACCAUACACAGAAGGGUUUGGAUUUGGAUGAUAAAGAAUCCAGUGGCAGCUCCGUAUUUGCGCAUAUAUAUAUAUAAACCCUGGAUUGAGUUUUCUUUUUAGCGAAUAACGUAGGGAACAGAAAACCUGAUCAAUUUGAAAAAAAAAAAGUAAUAAUAAUAAUUAAAUAAAAAAAUUAAAAUGUAACCUCAGCUUGAAACUUGGGAAUGGGAGGAUAAAAGGAAAAGGACAAUAAAAAAUAAAACUCUCACUUUAAGAACAUCUCAACUAUCUCUGCUUAAAAAAAUUAUCUCAUCUCGUGUGUGUGUGUGUGUAGGUAAAACGAGCCUCAUUUUUUAAUUCAAUUUAAUCUCCAAUCGUGAAAAUUUGGUUAAGCUAAAAUGCGGUGCGACCGGGGGGAGUUUCGUCGGAAGGUAAUCGGAUAUUAAAACGAACUCAAUAAGUUAUCAUGAAGCCUAUCGGCAUCAUACUGAAUUACUGAUGCAAAGACAAGCGUUGAAAAUGACUUCUCAGUUUCCAUUUCCCUGUUCCCAUCAAGGGUCAAAGGGCUCCAUUAGCUGCGCGUAAAGGGCCCCAGUGGGAAAUUUAAUCGGUAAGGGGUCCCAGUCAAAAAUGUGAAGGCAUUAAACAAUAGGGGUAAUUUGGGUAUUCGUUUAUUUAAUUUAAUUCGAUUUAAAGUAAAUAAGUUUGAGUUUAAAAAAAAUUAAUUUAUUUAAUAAAUGGUGAAUUCGACUUCAUUUUCACUUUUAGGUUAAUCUGUAUUAAUUAUUUUUAUACUUAUUUAAUUCUUUAUUUAUUGUUAUUGAAGUUUGUCCAGUCAUUUAUUUAUAAGUUUUUCUUUUAUGGAUAUAGUUUAAUAAUUUGGUUGAUGAUUAUGUUAAUCAAUUCUUUUAGGCUCAAUAUUUGAUUCUCUAAUCAUUUAAUUUAGACUUUGAAUUAAGUGUCUAUUUCUUUUUACAGUUCUAAGAGUUGGUUUUGUAGGUUGGACUUGAUCCUUUCAAAACGGUGUUAUUUAUUCAUUAAGUGUACAUGAUUUCUUUAAGAUACUGACAGCCAAAGGGAGAAAAAAAGAAAAAAAGAUUGGAAUGCAUAUAAAGAUACAAAUUAACGAUGAAAUAUGUAGGGAUAACCAAAAAUAAACAAAUAGUUAAGCAACUUUUCUUGAAUCUAUAGAUUUUUUUUUUUUAUCUUCUCAUAUUUUUUACAAAAUUAUUUGAAGAAUUAUUAUAUUUUUUAAUAUAAGAAUUUAUUAAAGUUGAUUAAUUAUUAUGCUCUCUCAUGCAAGCAAGAAUCAUUAAUGAAUAUGUGAUGAUUUGAUUAUUAGGUGUCCAAUAAUAUCCUACAAUAGCUUUUUUUUUUUUUUUUGAUACACUUAUAUAGUACAAUUAGAAUUUUUACUGAUAUUUACAAUCAGAAAUUAGUCGGAACCAUCCUGAAUAAGCCUAUUACAGCACAACCCGAAGUCAACGCUCACUUAAAAGCUGGAGGUGAUCAAUCCUACCCCAAUGUGGGUAGAUAACUAACCCCUAUUAUAUAGGGGAGUCAAUCCUACAAUAGCUUAUUGAAUUGCAAUACUUGGAUUAAAUCUCUUAAGAAAUUGGCUUUCUCAUCUUGUUGCAGAACUCAGUUAGCAACUUAAACACUAUUUCAUGUUGUUUGUCAAACUUUAUCCCUCUUAUUUUGCCUUGUGUCUUCUUCUUAGUCUAAUAAACUGCAUAUAAUAUUAUUACGUAUGAAUACAAGAAAUAGGAAAACAUAUAUAUAUAUAUAUAUAUAAUAAAAAAAUUUAAUAUUACCAGAAAUGUCUAGAGCACUAGGUAGUGCAACAUAUUUGUCAUUUAUUUGUAUAUACAUCAACUGUUGGAGAUGUUUGAAAGAAAUAUGAUCCAAGAGCCAUGCUACAAUGUAUUAUAAUUAUAUAAACCAAAUGACUAAACCAACUAUAUAAAUUCUUUCUCGCAAACAAGAUGAAGCACUAGAAAGUCAGCCAUAAGAUGUGCUUACCAUUUGGUUUCUUUUUUUUUUCAAAGUGAGUUUCAUAGUCUUUUUAUGUUAAAAAUCAACUUUAGUAUAUUAUGUGAUGAUUUUUCAAGUUGGAUUAUUUUAUUAUACUUUGAUUAAUUUUAUUAGUAUCCGAUCAUAUUAUGCAUUGUCGCACAAAAGGUUCUCGUACACAAGUUAUUUUUAAUUUAAAGUUUUUGUUAUUAGAUUUCAAUUUGUAGGACUGAAAUUUGUAAUCACGACUACUUAUUCUUAACAAUGAGACAAAAAGUUUUCUAAUACAAUAUAUAACUUGCCAUUUGCCAAAAAGGUAAUGGUCAGAAGAUAACAAUUUUUCGACUAAAAAUUUUUUCAUCACUGGAUAUCAAUUUACGUGACUAAAAUACGUCAUCAUAGAUGCUUGCUUUAAAUGAUGGUUAAAAAUAGUCAUUAAACUUUUCAGUUAUAAUGUAAAUAGUCGUGAAAAAAAAAUAUUGUUGUUAAAAAUCAUUUAAGACAAUAUUUAAUCUACUUUGCAACAAAAGAAACAGUCACAAAAUAACAUUUUUCGAUUCAAAAUUGUUUUGCCACGAGAUAUCAAUUUAAGUGACUAACCAUUGUAGUUGUGGAUGUAGGGAUGGCAAUGGGGCGGGGUGGGGGUGGGGAUGCCUACCCCAUUCCCCACCCCAUUAAAAAAUUUUGCCUCCAUUCCCCAAUAAAUUUAGUGGGUUGGGGAUGGGGAAUCCCCACGUGGGGAAUGAUUCCCCCAUCCCCACCCCAUUCCCCAUUUACAUAUUUUAUAGUAGAUAUAAAAAUAUGAUUUCAGUAAAUUAAAAAUUAGAGACUUAAGAUAAAAUCAUCACAAUAUUAUAAAGUAUUUAAUUUUUUUAAAAAAUCUCUAAAAAUUUGAAACAAUAUCUUAAAAUGAUAUUAAAAGUGAAAAAUAUUUAAAGAAAACAGCACCUUAAAAGAGAAAAGAAAAUAUAUUAAUGUUUUAAAGUUAAAAAAUAUUGUAGAAUUUUCUUUUAUUCAUAUUCUAUUUAUAUUACAUAAAAAUUAAAAAAAAUUAUUAAUUGACAUUAUAGUUGAUAAAAUACAAAUUAUUAAAUAAGAAUUAAAAACAUAUUUAUAUAUAAUGGGAAUGGGGAUUGGGGUGGGGGUGGGGUGGGGAGUGCAAUACCAAACCCUACCCCGUUAACAAUUUGGGGAUUACUUUUCCUCCACUCCCCACCCCAUUCCCCAAAAAUUAUUAAAAAAUUUCCCCAUUUGGGGUGGGGCUCCAUGGGGCCCCAAACCCGUGGAGGAUUUUGCCAUCCCUACGUGGAUGUUUGCUUCAAAUACCGAGAAAAUAGUCACCUGGAUUUUUCUGAUACGAUGUUACUAGUCAUAAGUGACAACUUGACAAUAAUAUAACGUCGUGAUAGGUAUACUUUAGCGACAAAAACAUAAUGUUGCUAAUUAUAUUUUUGAACCUCUAAAUUGAUGAUUUUGAGUAGCAAUUACUACUAUUUUUACUUACCCUUGAGACAAACAUUUUAGUCACUAUAAAUCACUAAUAGUAACGAAAAUAUAAUGUCGCUAAUUGCACUUUUGACUUUUGAACAUCUAAAUUGACCACUUUGAAUAUCAUUCACGAUGUGUUUAAUUUAAAUUUAGGACAAAUGGUUUAGUCAUAAAAACAUAUUAUUUUAUGUGACAAAUAAUUUUGGUUGCUAUAACCUAAUGUGACACACUUAGUGUGUUACUUUUUGUUAUUCCUGGAUUUGAAAGACAAUUAAUGGUGCACUUACUAAACGAGAGUCGGAAUGGGGUAGAAUCAGAAUGAAUUGGAAUCGAAAUGAGGAAUGAGAAUCAUAAUAAAUUGUGUAUUUUAUUUGUAGGAAUCAAAUUUGGAAUGAGCUGAAUUGCAAUUGAUGUGUUUACUUUGUCUUGGAAUUUAAAUAAGAAUGAAUUAGAUUGUUGUAAAUUACUAAAAAAAAAUUAAUUAACUAUUAUCAUAAUUAUUACUUUUUAUUUUAAUUAUUGUGAUUAUUAUUAAUAAAUAUUGUUAAUGAUAAUUAUUAUUAUUAACAUUAAUAUAAUAAUAAUGGUGAUGAUGAUGAUCAUCAACAAUAUCAUUGUUGGCAUAAUCAUCAUCAACAAUAUCAUUGUUGGCAUAAUCAUCAUCGUCGGCAUUAGAUUAAAACGCGACGGCUACUGUUGCUGCUUGUGACACAACGGCUGCUCAUGACUACUAGAUGUGACGAUUGGCAACUAGUUGUUGCUCCACAAGCAAUGACCGACAGCAACAAGGGAGCUCAUCCACGGAUUGCGUGCUUUUUUUUUAACUGAGGACAAAGUUGGGAUUAUUGAUUAUGUUGGGGGGCAAAAUUGUCACUCCUGGGAAUGAGAGACUAAUUCCCACCCCCUUGGGAAUCAGUCUCUCAUUUCCUAUUCCUAAAUUUGGGUGGGCUCCAUGAUUUCAAUUUCAAUAUUCGCUCUUUUUAUAAAGUAAAUGUUAUCAAUGAUUUCGAUUUUGGAUUCUAAUUCCCCAAUUUAGAAAUUAAACACACCAUAAGUGUAAUUUAUAUUAUGGCAGUUUCAUGGUCGAAAAAUUUCGGUUCGAUUUGGAAUGCCUAUCCCUCUAAUGUUUCACACACACAUGGUCCUCUACUUGUCAUUUCUACAAUUGGUCAUAUGUUUCUAGUCAAUUGCAAGAAGCAAUGUACUCUAGCUAAGUACAUGCAAAGGUCAAAAUCUUAAUCUUAAUUAAUUAAGAUUUAAUUUAUUUUAUAUUUUUAUCUAAUAACUAUCAAUUAUUUUUUCAUAAUAAUUAGAAAAAAAAAUUAGUUUAGUAUUGAAAUCAAAUCCACAUUAGAGUUGGGAUGUUACAAAUAUUUGUCAUAGCUGGAAGUUGAACAUGCAAAGGUUCCAGCAAGUGCCUACCAUCAAACUAGGUCAAGGUACAAAAUGCACCCAACAGAUGGAUAUGCAUGUCCUUUUGUUUGAGAUCUUGUGAGUACAAUGCUCCUAAUCCUCAAUACCACAUACAUAAAAAAAAUGGCCUAUAUAUAAACGCCGUUGUGAUUGAAGAAAAGCGGUAUUGCUAUUACUUACUCUUGCCAAUGGCCUUGAUGGACCACUUUUUCACAUCAAACUAACGCAUAAGAGGUAUAAAGCCUAGGUGUAGGAGAGAAAGCCACAACAUAUAUACAAAAACGCAAUUUGGAUAGACCUUGCCGAUCAUGCUAAGUUAAUUAAUCUGUCUGUGAAUGAAGAAGAUUCACCCUAAUUAAUGCUGAGUAAAUUAUUAGUAACCAGGAUGGACAUGUCAUAUGGUUAAUAGGAGCUUUAAAUCCUGAAACUCACCUGGCUACCUGAAUCAAGUGAGUAAGUUAACCACUUUGGUGGAGUUCGACUAUCUAGUUGACUAAUAUCUCAAAGAAAAGGGUAUGUUGAUUAUCAGAAUUUUACAUUCAGUUAAGCCAUUCUGAACAGAGAACUUUUCUUGCAAUGUGAAUUUGUUUUGUUUUUUUUUUUCUCUUUCCUUUUUCUUGAAGGCACGUGAAUUUGUUCUUAAACCCAUCUUAAUCUAGAUAAGCUUGCUGGAUGCUAUAGUCAUCACAGGAUCAGGUAUCUCAAUCAUGUGAGAUUUUUCCUUGGGUUGUUUGUGCCUAAAUAUCCAAGUAGCUAUGCCUGUUGUUGCCUCUGAAUUCUGAUCAUCUAUGCGUGUUUUUUCUCAGUCACAGCAAUUGCGAACAUACACUUAGUUAGUUCAACCAGUAAGAUUUCUUGAGAUAGUACGUAAAAUCGUUAAAUCAAAAUGAUUACGACCUAAGGCGGAUUCAUUUACUUUGAACUAGUCCUCUUUCUAUGUGGAUUACAAUUUGAAAUUAGACGAACCUAUUUUUUCAUUCAGAAAGAAAAAAAAAAUAUUUUUUUCCCUAUUACAGGUUUUCUCAUUGUUGAAGUAACUAGAGUCUCUCACAAGAGAAAAUCUAGAAUACAUCAGAUGUAAUACAACCAAUUAAUGCAUGUAUGAUAUGUGUAGUUGAAUUUUAUAUAAUCAUCAAUUACAUGUUGAUUCUCAAAGUAAUUGCACAUAUGUUAAAACAUCAUUUACUUGUUGUACAUUAGAUAUAAUACAACCAAUUAAUGCAUGUAUGAUAAGUGUAGUUGAAUUUUAUAUAACCACCUAUUACAUGUUGAUUCUCAAAGUAAUUGCACAUAUGUCAUAACAUCAUUUGCUUGUUAUAUGACUGACAUAGUACCUCAGAGAUAUUUCAGAAUUUUUCCGCUAACAAUACUCAAUCAAUGGUAAAGUUUAAAUUAUGUCAGAAAAAACAUUUGCACAAUUAUUGCUAUUUCAAACAUAGAAAUGUGAAGAGUACUAUAUUUUAUGGAAUUUUCUCCGUUAAUUCUUAAAAUUACUACGUGUACAUGUGAUGAUUGCUUGCUACUGUGUAAGGUGAAACAUUUAAUUUGAAGAAGAUUAAUUCCUUCUAGACUGGUAGUAUAGGUCGUUGCUGCCCUGUCGAGGAAUUCUUAUUAGCUUGAAACCUAUCGCAAAUGUCAAUGCAAAAUGGCUUCAAGGUUUUGUUGUAGAGCUGAUGACAAGCUUCUAAAAACAACAUACCAUAUUGGUACACAACUACAAUAAUGGUAGUCCCAAUCCAUGCAGUGUACAAAAUGAUAUGGUCAACAUUAGAACGUUGAGCAAAUGUAAAGACCAAAGAGAUUGCAGAAAUAGAUCCUAAGACAAUAGCAACAAGGCUCCACAACUGGGAAGAAUUUUCUCCAUGAAGUCGAGAUCUCAGGUCAGCUGAAUGUGCAUAGCAAUAUACGACUGUGGCUAUCCGAAAAGACCAUAUGUCCGUUGAAUGUGUUUCAAGCAAGGGCUUAGUUUAGUCUUGCAUAUUUGCACCCACAAUGCCAAUGAGAGCUGGAAUGAGAUAUCCAAAAAUAUUGGCAUAUGACAUGGAGCAGAAGAGAUUUUACCCACUGCAAAAUCAUAAAAAUGCAUGAUUAACCAUCUUAUGUAUAUCCCAUUUCCUUUGAAAAAAAAUAAAUGAAACUUAAAAAGACCCCAUAUUAAUUUCCAGUCAAAUUGUCUGUCAAUUAAUUAUUUGUUUUUCAAAGAUGCAAUUCUCCUCUAAAAAUUUGAGGGAGCGCUUUUCUAUUUUCAUUAACACAUACGAGAUAUUUUUCAUUUGCGUCCAAAUGUUUCACCAAAUCUUAUUGUGUGCACAUCUGUUUCAACAACUCUCACGGCUCACCGUUUUUGUUAAAUAUUGUUGUUGCCGUUAAUUUUGACAAUUUUGAUGUUAAAUGAUAAUUUUACCAGUCAUUGGAAUUAGGUGUAAAAUUACCAGAAAAUCACGACACUUGUUUCAAAUUCGAAUUUUGACCUAUGUGGAUAUUAAAAUUUCGUAAAGGUUUUUUUUUUUUUUAAAAAAAAAAGAAGUGUAAAAAUGUUUUCUUAUGGGAAUCAAAACAUCCCCUCUACCAUCAUCCAUAAUCAUAUAUUCUUGACAACAAUCUAAUAAACUUGAAAAGCAAGAAAUCCAAUCCGAAUCAAUAAAACAAUCAAAUUUCUUCAUAAAGCUUAGCUCUUGCUUUUGAAAUUUCCAAUUCUUGAGACUCUAAAUAAACCGAUAUUCAAAAUUACAUAUUUCUAGAAUAAAAACCUUCAAUUUACCCCUUUAAAUUUUUGAAAACAUCUAUUUGCCUCUAUUUAUCAGUCAAAAGAUUAGAAUAAAUGGAACCCCGUUGAUGACUAACUUUUUAUAUGCUUAAUGGUAUUUGAUAAAUAUAGCUAAAUUGGGGUAAAUUGAAAUUUUAUUCUACAUUUAGAGUGCUUUAAUAAGAGAAAGAAAGAAAGCAGCAAACCUGAUCUAUUUUAAUAAUAAUAAUAAUAAUAAUAAUAAUAAUAAUAAUAAUAAUAAUAAUAUUAUUAUUAUUAUUAUUAUUAUUAUUAUUAUUAUUAUUAUUAUUAUUAUUAAAUAAAUAAAUAAAUAAAAUUAACAUGUAAACUCAGCUUGAAACUUGGGAGAAAUAAAUAUGUGAAUUUUAUUACAUGUUGAUUCUUCAAAUUAAAAUGUAAACACACUCAAUAAACAUUAGACAUAAUACAACUAAUUAAUGCAUGUAUGAUAUGUAUCAUUGAAUUUUUUUACAUGCUGAUUCUUCAAAUUAAUUGCACACAUAUUAGAAAAUCAUGUGUUUGUUGUAUGAUGGACAUAGUAUCUAAAGAUAUUUUAAAAUUUUUCCUCUGAUAAUGCUCAAUCAAAUUAAGGGUAAAGGUUAAAUUAUGAUAGAAAAAGUCUUUGAAUAAUAUUGAACAAAGCAUUUACUUGUAUACUAAAAGAAUGCAUAUGAGGGGCCAAAAAGAGUGAAGAUAUGAGUUUGACUAUUAUCACAUCAAUUAUUACUAUUUCAAACAUAGAAAGAUGAAACUAACAUAUUUUGUGGAAUUUCCUCUGUUACUUACUUAAAAUUACUACGUUACAUGUGAUGAUUGCUUGUUAUUGUCUAAGGUGAAACAUUUAAUUUGAAAAAGAUUAGUUCCUUCUAGAUUGGUAGUACUGAUUGUUGCUGCCCUGUCGAGGAAGUAUUAUUAGCUUGAAACCUAUUGCAAAUGUCAAUGCACAAUGGCUUCAAGGUUUCGCUGUAGAGCUGACGACAAGCUUCAGAAAACAAUGUCCUGUAUUGAUACACAACAAUAAUGACAGUGCCAUUCCACGCAGCGCACAAAAUGAUAUGGCCAGUAUUAGAAUGUGGAAAAAAGGUGGAGAUCAAAGAGAUUGCAGAAGUAGAUCCUGAGACAACAGCAACAAGGCACCAGAACUGGGAAGAAUUUUCUCGACGAAGUCGAGACUUGAGGUCCACUGAAUGUGCAUAACAAUAUAUGACUGUGGCAAUGAGAAAAGACCAUAUAUUUAUUGAGUGUGUUUCAAGUAAGGGCUUAGCUUGGUUGCCUUGCGCAUUCGCACCCACAAUGCCGAUGAGAGCCGGAAUGAGAUAUCCAAAAAUAUUGGGAUAUGACAUCGAGCAGAAGAAAUUUCGCCCACUGCAAAUCAUUAAACUGCAUGAUUAACCAUCUUCUAUAUAUCCCAUUUCCUUUGAAAAAAAAAAUAAUAAAUAAAACUUAAAAAAGACCUCGUAUUAAUUUCCACUCAAAUUGUCAGUCAAUUAAUUUAUUACUUAUUUUCUUUUGGCUGAUGUAAUCUCCUCUAAAAAUUUGAGAGAGCACUUUUCUAUUUUCAUUAGCACAUGUAUAUGAGAUAUUUUUCAUCUGCGUCCAAAUUUUUCAUUAGAUUUUAUUGUGCGCGGACUUGUUUCAAUAACUCUCAUGACUCACCUUUUUUGUUAAAUAUUGUUGUUGCCAUUAGUUUUGAUGAUUAGUGUAAAAUUAUUAGAAAACCACAACACCUGUUUCAAAUUCCAAUUUUGACCUACAUGGAAAUUAAAAUUUCUUAAAGGUUAAAAAAAAGAGUAAAAAUGUUUUCUUAUGGGAAUCAAAAUAUCCCCUCUACCAUCAUCCAUAAUCAUCUAUUCUUGAUAUUAAUCUAAUAAACCGAUAUUCAAAAUUACAUGUUUCUAGAAUGAAAAAAACUUCUAUUUAUCCCUUUAAAUUUUUUAAAACAUCUAUUUACCUCUAUUUAUCAGUCAAAAGAUUAGAAUAAAUAGAAGCGCGUUGAUGACUAACUUUUUAUCUGCUUAAUGGUAUUUGAUAAAUGUAGAUAAAUUGGGGUAAAUUGAAAUUUUAUUCCACAUUUAGAGUGCUUUAAUAAGGGAAAGAAAGAAAACAGAAAACAAAUCCCUUCGAUACGAGGCUUAACAAAAUUUUCAGCAUGGACCUAACCAAAAUUUUUUCACGCGAAUUAAAUUAGGAGAACAAAAACAAUUUGAAAUGGACUGCAUAUGUAUACUCAAAAAUAAAAUACAGCUUGAGUCAAUAAUGGUAAAGAAAAUGACCAUACACCGAAAGGUUUGGAUCUUGAUGAUGCAGAAUGCAGUGGCAGCUUUGCAUUUGCAUUUAUAUACCUCGCCAAACCCCGGAUUGGGUUUUCUUUUUCACGGCAAAUAAGGCAGGGACAAGCAAACCUGAUCGAUUUUAGAACAAAAAUAAUUAAAUAAAUAAAUAAAAGUAAAAUGUAGACUCAGCUUGAAACCUUGGAGAAAAAAAUAACAAUAACAAAGUAAAAAAAAUCACUUACCUUAAGAACAUCUCAAUUAUCUCGUGGAUUGGGUGUUUAUACGGGCAAAAUGAGGGCCAAUUCAACCCCAAUGUAAUCCCGAUUCCGGAACACGUUUGGUCAAGCUCAAGUGCGGCCGAAUGGGGAGGGUUUCCUAGAAAGGUCGCACGGUAGUCCCCCUUAGAAAGUGAAAAUGAAGCCUAUCCUCAAUCAUACUGAUGCAACACAAGGGAGAUUUUUUUUUGGUUAGAUGUAGAGAAUGAUUAAACAGGUCCCAUCAAGUUCAGCGGGCAAGGGCCCCCCGGUAGCUACACGUGAAGAGGGGGCCCCCAGCGCCCCGGCGGGGAAAUUUAAGUGGUACGGUGCCAAUUAAAAUGUGAUUAACUUAUCAAAUAUCAAGAUUUUUUCCAAUAAGGACAUUAGUUUUGCAUUCGUUCGUCUCAAUUAAAUGGUACGGUCCAAUUAAAAUGUUACUAACUUAUCAAAUAUCAAGAUUUUUUUCCAAUAAGGGCAUUAGUUUUGCAUUCGUCUCAAAUAGGUCCCUAACCUUGUAUGACGACUAAGAUACCCUUAGGCGUUAUAUAACUUAGGAAAAUGAUGUUUGUCUCGGGUUAAAUCCCAAAAAUAACUUAAACGGCGUCGUUUUGAGUUUUUUUUUUCUUUUUUAUACUCCAAAACGUUGCCGUUUCUGAUGGACGAUUUUGAGAAGAAUUAAACAAACCUCUUCCUCUUCGUUUCUUCGUUUCAGCUGGGAAAGCCACAGAUAGAAGAGCAAGUUCGUUAAAAAAAUUUGUUUUUUCGUUUCUUCGUUUCUUCGUUUGUUAAAAAAUUUCGUUACUUUCCUUCCUCGACCAAGGUCCAGGCAUUCGGGAUCCACCAACGGUCACCGUCAACGCUGACAGCCACGGUCACCGUCAACGCUGACAGCCACGGUCACCGUCAACGCUGGUAACGCUGGUAGCCGAAACUUGUUUGGGAAAUUAAACUCACGAAGCGGCAAAGUUCACAGCCUGAGGUAAUGCUUCGUUUUUUCCUCUUUAGGUUAUGGCAAAAUGGGGAAGAUCUAGGUUAGGACAGUUAUGAUUAUUUUUCGGCUGAAUUUGGAUAGCUAUUGUGAUUCCCGUUUUAUUUAAGUGUGUUAAAUUGCAAUUGAUUUUCGGCUGAAUUUGGGUACAAUUUUGAAUUUGCUAAUGUUGAGGUUGAGGAUGAGGAUGAGGAUUAGUAUUAUUGAUGGAGGCUUCUAUUGUGUGCAUUUUGGUAUAUAGAUUGUGUGCAUUUUGGUAUAUAGAUUGCUGGCUGGCUGGUUGAUUGUCGAAUUUAUUGGUAACUUGUUGAACUUGGUUGCUGGUUGUUUGCUUGUACAGUUUAUUGGUAACUUUGUUGAACUUGGUUGCUGGCUGGUUGCUGGUUGCUUGUAGCCUUUCUGGCAUAUUGGUUGUAGUUUCAAACCUUUGUGAUUGUGUGUGUGUGUGUGUGUGUGUCUGUGUGUGUGUGUCUGUGUCUCUGUGUGUGUGUGUGUGUGGUUCUGUGUGUGUGUGUGUCUGUGUGUGUGUAUGGUUGUGUGUGUGUGUGGUUGUGUGUGUGUGUGUGUGUGUGUGUGUGUGUCUGUGUGUCUGUGUGUGUGUGUCUGUGUGUCUGUGUCUGUGUGUCUGUGUCUGUGUGUGGUUCUCUGUGUGUGUGUGUGUGUCUGUGUCUGUGUUUUGAAUGUUUGGAAGAGGUUUUAGUAUGUUAUCUGUUUUUGGAAUAAUAGUUUCCCACCAUACCAAUAAAUCAGGGCUGCAUUGGCUGCCGUCAGGAACUGCCUGAUAAAUAAUUCGAGCCCUGCAUACCAGGAUUGCUUCUGGCUUUCUUUUUUGGGGCUUAUCUCUGUAUGCUUAUGAAGUUUCAGAAUCAUUUGUAAAUCAAAUGCUGUAAUGAUGUUGUGGUUUCCAACAGCCUCACUUGCUAAUCCACUGCUCUUGCUCUUGCUCUGCCAACAACCAAUAUGCCAGAAAUAACACACACACACACAGACACACACACACACACACACACACACACACAGAACCCCACACACACACAUACACACAGAACCACACACACACACACAGAGAACCACACACACACACACAGACAAACACACACACACACACAGAGAACCACAGACACACACACACAGAACCAUACACACACACAAGACACACACACACACACAGAAUUUGACACACAUUGUUCUGGUUUUCUUUUCAUUAUUAACUGUAAUUGUAUCCCUUUUCGGCAGUUUCUUUCCAACGGUAUAUGGCUUCACAAACAAUGUCAUCCAACACAAGCGAGAAUCGAAUGUGUAAUGGAUGCGGUGAUCAGAUGGAGCUGUUAACGUCACACAUAACAAAAAAUCCAAAUCGCAAAUUUUGGAUUUGUAGAGGAUAUAACAACUUUCAAUGGGCAGAAGAUCGUAAAUCUAGCGAAGAGAAGAUAAACUUGUUAGUGGAUGAGGUUAGGAAGUUGGCCUUGGAGAUUGAGUGUUUGGCCGUAAAAUUUCAAUUAUUGCAUAAAGAACUUGAGCAUAUGCGAGAUCGUGAAGUGCAGAGGCAAUUGUUGGACAACGAACUUCGAAAGAGAGAGGCACCACGAUAUGAUUUUAUUAAAUUAAUCAUGAUUGUUGUAUUAUGUUAUCUAUUUAAGUACUGUUUUUAAGUUGUUUGUAUUUGUACUAUGUUACUGGAAAAUACUUCUAUUGUAGAAUUUGACCACGAUAUGUAAUAACAUUUUCAUGUAAUAACAUUUUCAUGCAAUGCUCGGACUCACGGCAUGGUUGUGUUCAAGGAUCAAAUUUCCAAUUACCCAUUUUCCACUAACAAUAUCCAAACGUCCUCCAAUUUUAGCAUUGCAUCCAAUUUUUUGGUUUGGUUGAAGCCGCAAAACAUUAGUGGCUUUGGCUUUUGACUUCCCGUUUCUCCCACAAGUAAAUGUAACAUAUCUCAAACUCCCAUCUUCCCCUUUUCUACAAGAUCUCCGCAUCACUGGAAACCCCUCUUGUAGACCAUACGUUUUAUAAUAUUCAAACAUUUCAUCAGGACUAUCAAAAGACAUCCCAACUGUAGGCUCAACAACAUUUUCCACCACCAAUUCCUCAUUGUUUUCUUCCAAAUUAGCCCCCCAGUAAAUCCUGCAAUUCCCCAACUUCAUCAACCUCCUCCACUUGUUCGAAAUUAUCCAUUAACUGCUGCAAAUGAAAAUGGGAAGAGUUAAUCGAAAUUAUCCACUUGUUCGAAAUUCCCCAAUGCAAAUGCAUGUUAAUUUGCCUAAAGUUUUCAUAUGAUUCUAGGCAGUAAAAGAUGAGAAAAAAGAUUUUAAUCAACAAUGCAAACCCUCCCACCCCAAUUCGUAAGUAUUGCGCAAGUUCUGUAGUUCUUUAAUUGCUCAUGCCGAUUCCAAAAUUUAGUAAUAAUAAUAAUAGAAUAAGAAGAGGAAUUUUAUUCUCGAGCAUUAUCAUACUUUAAUGCAUGUACCCAUUAUAUUAACUUAAUUGUCAAAUAACGGCAAUAUCACCCAAAACAAAGUUUCAUACAAUGUUGUAAAAAAUAAAUUAUGAUUUGAGAACUGAAAAAAUAAUAUGAGAACUGAAAAAAUGAGACAAAUCAAGAAUAUGAGAACUGAAAAAAUUAAUUCAAUGUUACAAUGUUCUAAAAACGAAGGCCAACUUCCUAAAAUAAAAUUAAAAAACAAAAUGCUACAAUGUUAAUCUUCCGUCCAAACUCAGCUUUCAACCGUCCAAAUUCAGCUUGUCCAAACUCAGCUUUCAACCGUCCAAACUCAUCUUGUCCAAACUCAUCUUUCAACCGUCCAAACUCAUCUUUCAAGGACACAUUUCGCAGCCGAAACUCAGCUGCUGUUGGUCUUGUUCUUCAAUGGGUGCGAAACGAAAAAGAAACUCAGACGCUUUCAACUCAGCUUACAAGGACAAAUUUCGCAGCCGAAACUCAGCUGCUGUUGGUCUUGUUCUUCAAUGGGUGCGAAACGAAAAACAAACUCAGACGAAGAGGAUGGAGCUUUAAUUAGUAGAUCCCGUUCUGCUGUCGAUGAGUGCUCCGGCUGUGGAUCUCGGUCGAGGAUGGAAGAAACGAAAAAGAAACGAACAAACGAAAAAGAAAAUAAAAGAAAACGACGCAAAUCAUUCAAUAAACAAACGAAAAAGAAAAAAAAAAAAAAAAGAAACGACGCCAUUUUGUAUUUUUCGGGGUUUGACCCGGGGCAAACAUCAGCACUCUAUAACCUAUACACUUGCUGUUUUGUUCUGCAAAGGAAGGACAACACCCUUUACCUCAGAGCCUUUGAGCUCAGUCUGAGGGCACAUAAAAGGUCGCUUGAAGAACAAGCGGAGUUGAUGUGAGUGUUGCGUUGCCGCAUGGCAAAGAAUAAGAGGGUAUCGCACUAUCGCUAAUCCCUGCGGCAUUUGACGACUAUUAUUAUCAAAACAAGUAUAAAAUUUGACGAAAAUAUCACAACAAUUAUUACCUUCGAUAAAAUUUAACAAAAAUAUAUAUCAUUGGUAUUUCAAAUAUAGAAAUCCGAGUAUAAUAGAAAUAUUUCAAUCUAGAAUCAUAGAUUUCUUAAAGUCUGAAAAAGUUAUGAUUUAAUACAAUAAUAGUUGGAAAAGCUAUUAAGGCAUAAGAUUUUAGUAGUAUAAUAACAUUAUACUAUUAAAUCAUAUGUCUUAAUAACUUUCCCAAACUAUAAUAAAAUUUAGGAUCAUGAAUCAAAUUAGUACACCUGAACACAAAUAUAAUAUAAAUAUAUAUGUUUACGGAAUUUCUCCACUACAUUUCUUUUUGUUCUAAGGAGGUUGUUCCUUAUCACUAGACCUAUAACUUGACAUAGCAGUUAUGAUGAUUGCUACUAGCAGGUGAAACAUUUAAAGAAGAGUUAUUAGCUUGAACCUAUUGCAAAUGUCAGAGCCAAAAGGCUUCAAUGUUUCAUGGUAGAGCUGAUGACAAGUGGUGGCAGCGGUUCAAGCUUUUGUGGGGGCUAAAUGUUCUUAAUAUUUAUAAAUUAUUUUCUCUUUCGAAAUGCGAGUGGGAUAUGAAUAUCCCUCCUUUGUGAGAGGUUAUUUGUCUGGACAUGUACUUCACAUAAUUUAAUAUAAUAAUGUAAGUCUCAAUCAUGUACUUCACAGAAUUCAAUGUAAUAAUGUAAAUCUCAAUCAUGUAUAUCUGAUUGUAAAUAUCAGUGUAAUAUAUUUACUAUAAUAAUAAUUGUAAAUAUUUAUGUAAUGUAGUAAUCUGAUGUGUAAUCAGUAUUUAAAAAAAAAAAAAAAGACUGGUGACAAGCAUAAAUAAACAAUAUGAGAUAGUGAUACACGACAAUGAUAAUAGCAAAGCAAAUCCAUUAAAGUGUGCAAAAUGAUGUGACCGCUGACCAGUAUUUGACCAAUAUUAAUAUUAGAGCGUUGGCUGUUGAGACCAAAGAGAGUGCAGAAACAGACCCUUGGACAACAACAAGGCCCCCGCCACCAAAAUCAGGAAGAAACUUUUCGAUGAAGUUUAGACCUCAGUGCCAGCUAAACAUGCAUAACAAUAAAUGGUUAUGGCUAUCAGAAAAGACCAUAUAUUUACUAAGUGUGUUUUAAGUAAGAGCUUAGUUUUACCUUACAUAUUUGUAGUGUCGCAUUCAGAAUUAAAGCCUAAUAGCAGCAAAUAUAAUUUCUUUAAUUUAUUUUCCUAAAAUGUUUUAAAAUAAUUUUGGAUAUAACAUACUCAUUUAAAAUGAUUUUAAUGAUGAUAAUUUAAUUUUCAGUAUAUAAUCUUAUAAAUUACUUAAAGUCGGUGGAGUAAAUUAAAAAUUUUAUUAGGACAAAAAUUUUUUUAUUGAAUUUUAGAAAAUAUUUUUAGAAAAAAGAUUAAGACUUACGGGGACAACUGCCACAGCUUGUCUUUACGUGACUCCACCAGUGCCGAUAUUUGCACCCACAAUGCCGAUAGGAGCUGCAAUGAGAUAUCCAAAAAUACUAAGGUAUGUGAAUAAAGAAAUCAUCUUAGACCCACCAGUCCUUUGAACUAAAACCACCAACAUGCGAAGAAGAAGGAUUUAGAAUAAAUAAAUAAAUACAAAGUUUUGCUUUUUUUUUUUGCUACAAGAGAAGAAAAUUUGAAUUAGCUAUUUGGAAGAGAUAGGCAUGCUCAAACUAAAUUUUUCCCUUGGGUAUUAAUCAAUGGUCAUAACCCGGAUUUGAAAUGGUAAUUUAAUUUCGCUGUUACCCAGAUUUGAAAGACAGUAUUAAGUGCAAUUUAUGUUUCAGCAGUUUAUGGUCGAAAAUGUAAGUGAAGUCGUUAGCAGAUUGCCUAUUAUUAGGAUUUUUAUUGAUCUAAAUUCUCUUGAAUUUUUAAGAUGCGUACUGUAGUAGUAAGGUAUGGAUAGAAUUUAAGUUCUUAAUUUUUUUUUUAUGUAUUAACCACCAAUCAACGUAUGAAUUUAAGAAAUUUAGAUCAGAAGAGAAUUUCAUCCUUUUGUAUUGAGAUGUUAUAAUUUAAAAAACUGAAAAUAAAUUAUAAUUAUAAAAUAAAAAUUAACAUCUUAAUAAUUUUGACCGAAAAGUAAAAAUACUGUAGAUUUUUCAUUAUAUAUGUAGUAAAUUAAAUCAAUUUAAUUUUUAAGCCACAAUUAUUAUUAUCUACCAAAUAUUUAGGGCUAUAGCUAACCUUAACACUAAAUGGGGGCAUUCGGCUCCCACGAUUAAUCUGUUGAGGCUGCAUUGGUUGGAAUGUACGAUGAGGAUGGCAUUUUUUGUCUUAUUCGUGCUUCAUAAAUCAUUAUAAAGCCGAUUAUUCGUGGCAGACAUUUGAUUAAUAUCUCCUCGCGGUUUCAUAUGGAAAAUUGGGAUGUUACCAGCGUUGUGUUGUCUUAAUAUUUUCCUGUAGUUUUUGCAACCCAGUACGCCACCUGUCAUCUUGUUUGCCCUCGAGGAUGAACAGAAGCCCAGUGCGCAAUGGGCAAAAGGAUUGACAGUGACUUGGUUUCAGGUACAAUUUGUCCGCAACAGCAAAUUAAAUAAAAUAAAGUAAUAAUUAAUAAAUAGAUUAAUUUGAAGAAAUUUAAAUUUUUAUUAAUAUAUUUUUCGUAUUUCAAGGAUUAAAUACCUCUCUAGUUUUUUUUAUACACUUAUUUAUUACAAUAUUGAUAUUUAGAAUCAGAAAUUUAUCAGAACUUAUUUGAGUAAUUCUAUUAUAGCACAAGCUGAAUAUCAAUCCUCACUAAAUUGGAGAAAAAUUUGUCUUCACUAUUAUUAAAGAGAAAUCGAUCAUAUUCCUACCCCAAUAUGGGGAGUCAAUUAACUCCCAUUAUAUAGAAAAAUAAAUCCCAACGAUGACCCUAAGCUGGGACUUGAAUCCAUGCCCUCAAGGUUGUUGAGGGCAUGGGCACACCAAUGGGCUUGUAGCCCAUUGGCAAAUACCUCUCUAGUUGAUAAAUAAUAUUCCAGAUUUUUAUUACUAUAGUUGAUGCUAGUUAGUCCACAUAUAAAACUUAAAAAUUAAGAAUAGGAAUAAAAACUAGACACCAUUAAUUUAAACUAAAACAAAUAAUUUGUUCACUAACCAACCACAAGUUUACUAAGUCCAAGUACACGUUAAUCACGACCAAUAGGAUGAAUACAGUUUAAAACAAAUAAAAAUAUAGAAUUAGGGAUCGUAACACUCCUUCACCUUAAAAGUACUCUUUGCCGUCAAGGGUGGACUUUGUUAAGGAGUCUUCUCUCGUCAACAUACUUCUCCGAAUUUGACCACGACAACAUAAUAAUGGCUAGAGUCCCGUCACCGUCCAACCAUAAUGGCCACUUCAAGGCCAAAGGUUUUGCGUGUGUGCAUGCUUCUUGACUUUUUCAUUGGUGCAUUAAAUUUUGUUUUGUAUUCCGAAAUCAAGCAUGCAUGCAUGCUCCUUGGCUCUUUUCAUAUUCCACAAGGAUGCAUUAAAAAAUAAAACUCUCACUUUAAGAACAUCUCAACUAUCUCUGCUUAAAAAAAUUAUCUCAUCUCGUGUGUGUGUGUGUAGGUAAAACGAGCCUCAUUUUUUAAUUCAAUUUAAUCUCCAAUCGCGAAAAUUUGGUUAAGCAAAAAUGCGGUGCGACUGGGGGGAGUUUCGUCGGAAGGUAAUCAGAUAUUAAAACGAACUCAAUAAGUUAUCAUGAAGCCUAUCGGCAUCAUACUGAAUUACUGACGCAAAUGACUUCCGAGUUUCCAUUUCCCUGUUCCCAUCAAGGGUCAAAGGGCUCCAGUAGCUGCGCGUAAAGGGCCCCAGUGGGAAAUUUAAUCGGUAAGGGGUCCCAGUCAAAAAUGUGAAGGCAUUAAACUAUAGGGGUAAUUUGGGUAUUCGUUUAUUUAAUUUAAUUCGAUUUAAAGUAAAUAAGUUUGAGUUUAAAAAAAAUUAAUUUAUUUAAUAAAUGGUGAAUUCGACUUCAUUUUCACUUUUAGGUUAAUCUGUAUUAAUUAUUUUUAUACUUAUUUAAUUCUUUAUUUAUUGUUAUUGAAGUUUGUCCAGUCAUUUAUUUAUAAGUUUUUCUUUUAUGGAUAUAGUUUAAUAAUUUGGUUGAUGAUUAUGUUAAUCAAUUCUUUUAGGCUCAAUAUUUGAUUCUCUAAUCAUUUAAUUUAGACUUUGAAUUAAGUGUCUAUUUCUUUUUACAGUUCUAAGAGCUGGUUUUGUAGGUUGGACUUGAUCCUUUCAAAACGGUGUUAUUUAUUCAUUAAGUGUACAUGAUUUCUUUAAGAUACUGACAGCCAAAGGGAGAACAAAAGAAAAAAAGAUUGGAAUGCAUAUAAAGAUACAAAUUAACGAUGAAAUAUGUAGGGAUAACCAAAAAUAAACAAAUAGUUAAGCAACUUUUCUUGAAUCUAUAGAUAUAUUUUUUUUAUCUUCUCAUAUUUUUUACAAAAUUAUUUGAAGAAUUAUUAUAUUUUUUAAUAUAAGAAUUUAUUAAAGUUGAUUAAUUAUUAUGCUCUCUCAUGCAAGCAAGAAUCAUUAAUGAAUAUGUGAUGAUUUGAUUACUAGGUGUCCAAUAAUAUCCUACAAUAGCUUUUUUUUUUUUUUUUUUGAUACACUGAUAUAGUAAAAUCAGAAUUUUUACUGAUAUUUACAAUCAGAAAUUAGUCGGGACCAUCCUGAAUAAGCCUAUUACAGCACAACCCGAAGUCAACGCUCACUUAAAAGCUGGAGGUGAUCAAUCCUACCCCAAUGUGGGUAGAUAACUAACCCCUAUUAUAUAGGGGAGUCAAUCCUACAAUAGCUUAUUGAAUUGCAAUACUUGGAUUAAAUCUCUUAAGAAAUUGGCUUUCUCAUCUUGUUGCAGAACUCAGUUAGCAACUUAAACACUAUUUCAUGUUGUUUGUCAAAUUUUAUCCCUCUUAUUUUGCCUUGUGUCUUCUUCUUAGUCUAAUAAACUGCAUAUUAUAUUAUUACGUAUGAAUACAAGAAAUAGGAAAACAUAUAUAUAAUAAAAAAAUUUAAUAUUACCAGAAAUGUCUAGAGCACUAGGUAGUGCAACAUAUUUGUCAUUUAUUUGUAUAUACAUCAACUGUUGGAGAUGUUUGAAAGAAAUAUGAUCCAAGAGCCAUGCUACAAUGUAUUAUAAUUAUAUAAACCAAAUGACUAAACCAACUAUAUAAAUUCUUUCUCGCAAACAAGAUGAAGCACUAGAAAGUCAGCCAUAAGAUGUGCUUACCAUUUGGUUUCUUUUUUUUUUCAAAGUGAGUUUGAUAGUCUUUUUAUGUUAAAAAUCAACUUUAGUAUAUUAUGUGAUGAUUUUUCAAGUUGGAUUAUUUUAUUAUACUUUGAUUAAUUUUAUUAGUAUCCGAUCAUAUUAUGCAUUGUCGCACAAAAGGUUCUCGUACACAAGUUAUUUUUAAUUUAAAGUUUUUGUUAUUAGAUUUCAAUUUGUAGGACUGAAAUUUGUAAUCACGACUGCUUAUUCUUAACAAUGAGACAAAAAGUUUUCUAAUACAAUAUAUGACUUGCCAUUUGCCAAAAAGGUAAUGGUCACAAGAUAACAAUUUUUCGACUAAAAAUUUUUUCAUUACUGGAUAUCAAUUUACGUGACUAAAAUACGUCAUCAUAGAUGCUUGUUUUAAAUGAUGGUUAAAAACAGUCAUUAAACUUUUCAGUUAUAAUGUAAAUAGUCGUGAAAAAAAUAUAUUGUUGUUAAAAAUCAUUUAAGACAAUAUUUAAUAUACUUUGCAACAAAAGAACAGUCACAAAAUAACAUUUUUCGAUUCAAAAUUGUUUUGCCACGAGAUAUCAAUUUAAGUGACUAACCAUUGUAGUCGUGGAUGUUUGCUUCUAAUACCGAGAAAAUAGUCACAUACGAUGUUACUAGUCAUAAGUGACAACUUGACAAUAAUAUAACGUCGUGAUAGGUAUACUUUAGCGACAAAAACAUAAUGUUGCUAAUUAUAUUUUUGAACCUCUAAAUUGACGAUUUUGAGUAGCAAUUACUACUAUUUUUACUUACCCUUAAGACAAACAUUUUAGUCAUUAUAAAUCACUAAUAGUAACGAAAAUAGAAUGUCGCUAAUUGCACUUUUGACUUUUGAACAUCUAAAUUGACCACUUUGAAUAUCAUUCACGACGUGUUAAAUUUAAAUUUAGGACAAAUGGUUUAGUCAUAAAAACAUACUAUUUUAUGUGACAAAUAAUUUUGGUUGCUAUAACCUAAUGUGACACACUUGGUGUGUUUAAUUGUAAUUUACUUUUUGUUAUUCCUGGAUUUGAAAGACAAUUAAUGGUGCACUUACUAAACGAGAGUCAGAAUGGGGUAGAAUCAGAAUGAAUUGGAAUCGAAAUGAGGAAUGAGAAUCAUAAUAAAUUGUCUAUUUUAUUUGUAGGAAUCAGAUUUGGAAUGAGCUGAAUUGCAAUUGAUGUGUUUACUUUUUCUUGGAAUUUAAAUAGAAAUGAAUUAGAUUGUUGCAAAUUACUAAAAAAAAUUAAUUAACUAUUAUCAUAAUUAUUACUUUUUAUUUUAAUUAUUGUGAUUAUUAUUAUUCUUAUUAUUAAAUAUUGUUAAUGAUAAUUAUUAUUAUUAACAUUAAUAUAAUAAUAAUGGUGAUGAUGAUGAUCAUCAUAAUCAUCAUCAACAAUAUCAUUGUUGGCAUAAUCAUCAUCGUCGGCAUUAGAUUAAAACGCGACUGCUACUGUUGCCGCUUGUGACACAACGGCUGCUCAUGACUACUACUGCUUGUGAUGUGACGACUGGCAACUAGUUGUUGCUCCACAAGCAAUGACCGACAGCAACAAGGGGGCUCAUCCACGGAUUGCGUGCUUUUUUUUUUUUUUUUUAACUGAGGACAAAGUUGGGAUUAUUGAUUAUGUUGGGGGGCAAAAUUGUCGCUCCUGGAAUGAGAGACUGAUUCCCACCUCCUUAGGAAUCAGUCUCUCAUUUCCUAUUUCUAAAUUUAGGUGGACUCCAUAAUUUCGAUUUUAAUAUUCGCUCUUUUUAUAAAAUAAAUACUAUCAAUGAUUUCGAUUUUGGAUUCUACUUGUCAUUUCUGGCAGUUUCAUGGUCGAAAAGUUUUGGUUCGAUUUGGAAUGCCUAGCCCUCUAAUGUUUCACACACACAUGGUCCUCUACUUGUCAUUUCUACAAUUGGUCAUAUGUUUCUAGUCAAUUGCAAGAAGUAAUGUACUCUAGCUAAGUACAUGCAAAGGUCAAAAUCUUAAUCUUAAUUAAUUAAGAUUUAAUUUAUUUUAUAUUUUUAUCUAAUAACUAUCAAUUAUUUUUUCAUAAUAAUUAGAAAAAAAAUUAGUUUAGUAUUGAAAUCAAAUCCACAUUAGAGUUGGGAUGUUACAAAUAUUUGUCAUAGCUGGAAGUUGAACAUGCAAAGGUUCCAGCAAGUGCCUACCAUCAAACUAGGUCAAAGUACAAAAUGUACCCAACAGAUGGAUAUGUUAGAUUUAUUUCUCAUAUUAUGUGGACUGACAUAAAUCAUUCUAAUUGUUUUCUAUAUUUUACCGAAUUAAUACGUGACUAAUGUCAAAUAUUAUGGAGCAAUUUUGACAGACUGAUCAAAUAUUGUGUUAAUGAGUCUGAUUUUGACAUACCCUAUACAGUAGUAUAGUAUGGACAAGUAUAAUCCUUAAUUGUGUUAUUUUAGCUCAUAAUGGGAUGGGCAAUUUUGUACUAACACAUGAGGGGUCCAUGCGCUCAACCACUGUGUUUAAGUAACUUCAGCCCAUUGGCAGGUUACUGUUCAAGAAAUCUGUGGCAUGAGUGCAGUGCACCUCUCUCUCUCUCUCCCUCUUGUCUCCCGUGUGUGCACAGUGACUUGUUGAGGAAAGCUGAAGGAAAGGAAGCGGGAAUUCAUAAGCUGGAUCAAAGUUGUAGCAACUCUGUUAAAGCUCCAUAACAAGCUUCCAAGCUCGGAUCCAUGGGAGAUCAUGGUAAAUUUUCGAAAUGACCUAAAAUAUGUGUUUAUUUGGAAAUGCAAUAUUAAGGGUAUAAAGUUUAUUUUUGUUUCAUCAGGAUAUGCAUGUCCUUUUGUUUGAGAUCUUGUGAGUACAAUGCUCCUAAUCCUCAAUACCAUAUACAUAAAAAAAUGGCCUAUAUAUAAACGCCGUUGUGAUUGAAGAAAAGCGGUAUUGCUAUUACUGACUCUUGCCAAAGGCCUUGAUGGACCACUUCUUCACAUCAAACUAACGCAUAAGAGGUAUAAAGCCUAGGUGUAGGAGAGAGAGCCACAACAUAUAUACAAAAACGCAAUUUGGAUAGACCUUGCCGAUCAUGCUAAGUUAAUUAAUCUGUCUGUGAAUGAAGAAGAUUCACCCUAAUUAAUGCUGAGUAAAUUAUUAGUAACCAGGAUGGACAUGUCAUAUGGUUAAUGGGAGCUUUAAAUCUGAAACUCACCUGGCUACCUGAACCAAGUGAGUAAGUUAACCACUUUGGUGGAGUUCGACUAUCUAGUUGACUAACAUCUCAAAGAAAAAGGUAUGUUGAUUAUCAGAAUUUUACAUUCAGUUAAGCCAUUCUGAACAGAGAACUUUUCUUGCAAUGUGAAUUUGUUUUGUUUUUUUUUUUUUUUUUUUCUCUUUCCUUUCUUUUGAAGGCACGUGAAUUUGUUCUUAAACCCAUCUUAAUCUAGAUAAGCUUGCUGGAUGCUAUAGUCAUUACAGGAUCAGGUAUCUCAAUCAUGUGAGAUUUCUCCUUGGGUUGUUUGUGCCUAAAUAUCCAAGUAGCUAUGCCUGUUGUUGCCUCUGAAUUCUGAUCAUCCAUGUGUGUUUUUUCUCAGUCACAGCAAUUGCGAACAUACACUUAGUUAGUUCAAUCAGUAAGAUUUCUUGAGAUAGUACGUAAAAUCGUUAAAUCAAAAUGGUUACGACCUAAGGCGGAUUCAUUUACUUUGAACUAGUCCUCUUUCUAUGUGGAUUACAAUUUGAAAUUAGACGAACCUAUUUUUUCAUUCAGAAAGAAAAAAAAAAUAUUUUUUUCCCUAUUACAGGUUUUCUCAUUGUUGAAGGAACUAGAGUCUCUCACAAGAGAAAUUCUAGAAUACAUCAGAUGUAAUACAACCAAUUAAUGCAUGUAUGAUAUGUGUAGUUGAAUUUUAUAUAAUCAUCAAUUACAUGUUGAUUCUCAAAGUAAUUGCACAUAUGUUAAAACAUCAUUUACUUGUUGUACAUUAGAUAUAAUACAACCAAUUAAUGCAUGUAUGAUAAGUGUAGUUGAAUUUUAUAUAACCACCUAUUACAUGUUGAUUCUCAAAGUAAUUGCACAUAUGUCAUAACAUCAUUUGCUUGUUAUAUGACUGACAUAGUACCUCAGAGAUAUUUCAGAAUUUUUCCUCCAACAAUACUCAAUCAAUGGUAAAGUUUAAAUUAUGUCAGAAAAAACAUUUGCACAAUUAUUGCUAUUUCAAACAUAGAAAUGUGAAGAGUAAUAUAUUUUAUGGAAUUUUCUCCGUUAAUUCUUAAAAUUACUACGUGUACAUGUGAUGAUUGCUUGCUACUGUGUAAGGUGAAACAUUUAAUUUGAAGAAGAUUAAUUCCUUCUAGACUGGUAGUAUAGGUCGUUGCUGCCCUGUCGAGGAAUUCUUAUUAGCUUGAAACCUAUCGCAAAUGUCAAUGCAAAAUGGCUUCAAGGUUUUGUUGUAGAGCUGACGACAAGCUUCUAAAAACAACAUACCAUAUUGGUACACAACUACAAUAAUGGUAGUCCCAAUCCAUGCAGUGUACAAAAUGAUAUGGUCAAUAUUAGAACGUGGAACAAAUGUAAAGACCAAAGAGAUUGCAGAAAUAGAUCCUAAGACAAUAGCAACAAGGCUCCACAACUGGGAAGAAUUUUCUCCAUGAAGUCGAGAUCUCAGGUCAGCUGAAUGUGCAUAGCAAUAUACGACAGUGGCUAUCCGAAAAGACCAUAUGUCCGUUGAAUGUGUUUCAGGCAAGGGCUUAGUUUGGUCUUGCAUAUGACAUGGAGCAGAAGAGAUUUUACCCACUGCAAAAUCAUAAAAAUGCAUGAUUAACCAUCUUCUGUAUAUCCCAUUUCCUUUGAAAAAAAAUAAAUGAAACUUAAAAAGACCUUGUAUUAAUUUCCAGUCAAAUUGUCUAUCAAUUAAUUAUUUGCUUUUGACAAAUGCAAUUCUCAUCUAAAAAUUUGAGGGAGCGCUUUUCUAUUUUCAUUAACACAUACGAGAUAUUUUUCAUUUGCGUCCAAAUGUUUCAUCAAAUUUUAUUGUGUGCACCUCUGUCCUCUGUUUCAACAACUCUUACGGCUCAUCGUUUCUGUUAAAAAAUAUUGUUGCCGUUAAUUUUGACAAUUUUGAUGUUAAAAGACAAUUUUACCAGUCAUUGGAAUUAGGUGUAAAAUUACCAGAAAACCACAGCACUUGUUUCAAAUUCCAAUUUUGACCUAUGUGGAUAUUAAAAUUUCUUAAAGGUUUGAAAAAAAAAAAAGAAUUGUAAAAAUGUUUUCUUAUGGGAAUCAAAACAUCCCCUCUACCAUCAUCCAUAAUCAUAUAUUCUUGAUAAUGAUCUAAUAAACUUGAAAAAGCAAGAAAUCCAAUCCUAAUCAAUAAAACAAUCAAAUUUCUUCAUAAAGUUUAGCUCUUGCUUUUGAAAAUUCCAAUUCUUGAGACUCUAAAUAAACCGAUAUUCAAAAUUACAUAUUUCUAGAAUGAAAAAUCUUCAAUUUAUCCCUUUAAUUUUUUUAAAACAUCUUUAAAUUUUUGAAAACAUCUAUUUGCCUCUAUUUAUCAGUCAAAAGAUUAGGAUAAAUGGAAGCGCGUUGAUGACUAACUUUUUAUCUACUUAAUGGUAUUUGAUAAAUAUAGCUAAAUUGGGGUAAAUUGAAAUUUUAUUCUACAUUUAGAGUGCUUUAAUAAGAGAAAGAAAGAAAGCAGCAAACCUGGUCUAUUUAAAUAAUAAUAUUAUUAUUAUUAAAUAAAUAAAUAAAAUUAACAUGCAAACUCAGCUUGAAACUUGGGAGAAAAAAAUAUGUGAAUUUUAUUACAUGCUGAUUCUUCAAAUUAAAAUGUAAACACACUCAAUAAACAUUAGACAUAAUACAACUAAUUAAUGCAUGUAUGAUAUGUAUCAUUGAAUUUUAUUACAUGCUGAUUCUUCAAAUUAAUUGCACACAUAUUAGAAAAUCAUGAGUUUGUUGUAUGAUGGACAUAGUAUCUAAAGAUAUUUUAAAAUUUUUCCUCUGAUAAUGCUCAAUCAAAUUAAGGGUAAAGGUUAAAUUAUGAUAGAAAAAGUCUUUGAAUAAUAUUGAACAAAGCAUUUACUUGUAUACUAAAAGAAUGCAUAUGAGGGGCCAAAAAGAGUGAAGAUAUGAGUUUGACUAUUAUCACAUCAAUUAUUACUAUUUAAAACAUAGAAAGAUGAAACUAACAUAUUUUGUGGAAUUUCCUCCGUUACUUACUUAAAAUUACUACGUUACAUGUGAUGAUUGCUUGUUAUUGUCUAAGGUGAACAUUUAAUUUGAAAAAGAUUAGUUCCUUCUAGAUAGGUAGUACUGAUUGUUGCUGCCCUGUCGAGGAAGUAUUAUUAGCUUGAAACCUAUUGCAAAUGUCAAUGCACAAUGGCUUCAAGGUUUCGAUAUAGAGCUGAUGACAAGCUUCUGAAAACAAUGUCCUAUAUUGAUACACAACAAUAAUGACAGUGCCAAUCCACGCAGCGCACAAAAUGAUAUGGCCAGUAUUAGAAUGUGGAAAAAAGGUGGAGAUCAAAGAGAUUGCAGAAGUAGAUCCUGAGACAACAGCAACGAGGCACCAGAACUGGGAAGAAUUUUCUCGACGAAGUCGAGACUUGAGGUCCGCUGAAUAUGCAUAGCAAUAUAUGGCUGUGGCAAUGAGAAAAGACCAUAUAUUUAUUGAGUGUGUUUCAAGCAAGGGCUUAGCUUGGCUGGCUUGCGCAUUUGCACCCACAAUGCCGAUGAGAGCCGGAAUGAGAUAUCCAAAAAUAUUGGGAUAUGACAUCGAGUAGAAGAAAUUUCGCCCACUGCAAAUCAUUAAAAUGCAUGAUUAACCAUCUUCUAUAUAUCCCAUUUCCUUUGAAAAAAAAAUAAUGAAUAAAACUUAAAAAAGACCUCGUAUUAAUUUCCACUCAAAUUGUCUGUCAAUUAAUUAUUUGCUUUUGGCUGAUGUAAUUCUCCUCUAAAAAUUGAGAGAGCACUUUUCUAUUUUCAUUAGCACAUGUAUAUGAGAUAUUUUUCAUCUGCGUCCAAAGUUUUCAUUAGAUUUUAUUGUGCGCGGACUUGUUUCAAUAACUCUCAUGACUCACCUUUUUUGUUAAAUAUUGUUGUUGCCAUUAGUUUUGAUGAUUAGUGUAAAAUUAUUAGAAAACCACAACACCUGUUUCAAAUUCCAAUUUUGACCUACAUGGAAAUUAAAAUUUCUUAAAGGUUAAAAAAAAGAGUAAAAAUGUUUUCUUAUGGGAAUCAAAAUAUCCCCUCUACCAUCAUCCAUAAUCAUCUAUUCUUAAUAUUAAUCUAAUAAACCGAUAUUCAAAAUUACAUGUUUCUAGAAAGAAAAAACUUCUAUUUAUCCCUUUAAAUUUUUGAAAACAUCUAUUUACCUCUAUUUAUCAGUCAAAAGAUUAGAAUAAAUAGAAGCGUGUUGAUGACUAACUUUUUAUCUGCUUAAUGGUAUUUGAUAAAUGUAGAUAAAUUGGGGUAAAUUGAAAUUUUAUUCCACAUUUAGAGUGCUUUAAUAAGGGAAAGAAAGAAAACAGAAAACAAAUCCCUUCGAUACGAGGCUUAACAAAAUUUUCAGCAUGGACCUAACCAAAUUUUUUUCGCGCAAAUUAAAUUAGGAGAACAAAAAUAAUUUGAAAUGGACUGCAUAUGUAUACUCAAAAAUAAUAUACAGCUUGAGUCAAUAAUGGUAAAGAAAAUGACCAUACACCGAAAGGUUUGGAUCUGGAUGAUGCAGAAUGCAGUGGCAGCUUUGCAUUUGCAGUUAUAUACCUCGCCAAACCCUGGAUUGGGUUUUCUUUUUCACGGCAAAUAAGGCAGGGACAAGCAAACCUGAUCGAUUUUAGAACAAAAAUAAAUAAAUAAAUAAAAGUAAAAUGUAAACUCAGCUUGAAACCUGGGAGAAAAAAAUAACAAUAACAAAGUAAAAAAAAUCACUUACUUUAAGAACAUCUCAAUUAUCUCAUGGAUUGGGUAUUUAUACGGGCAAAAUGAGGGUCAAUUGAACCCCAAUGUAAUCCCGAUUCCGGAACACGUUUGGUCAAGCUCAAGUGCGGCCGAAUGGGGAGGGUUUCCUAGAAAGGUAGCAAGGUAGUCCCCCUUAGAAAGUGAAAAUGAAGCCUAUCCACAAUCAUAGGGAUGCAACACAAGGUAGAUUUUUUUUUUUUGUUAGAUGUAGAAAAUGAUUAAAGAGGUCCCAUCAAGUUCAGCGGGCAAGGGCCGCUCGGUAGCUACACGUGAAGAGGGGCCCCCCAGCGCCCCGGCGGUGAAAUUUAAGUGGUACGGUCCCAAUUAAAAUGUGAUUAACUUAUCAAAUAUCAAGAUCUUUUCCAAUAAGGACAUUAGUUUUGCAUUCGUUCGUCUCAAAUAGGUCCCUAACCUUGUAUGACGACUAAGAUACCCUUAACCCGUUGGACCAAUCUACCUUACAGAUUCUGUAAGUAACGGCCUGUGAGUUGACAAGAGGAUAUAUGGAUGCGUAGCACGUGGACGGCGGAUGGAAUGGGAUAUUAUAUAUGGAACCAGACAUUCCGGUUUUCUUCGGGUGACAAAAUGAAUUCCUUCCCGGUUGCUGACCGGUAACCCAUCACUGAAAGUGGUAAAAAAAAUUAGGCUGAUGGGCCGUGUAUUGAAAAUCCAAAUAUUUGCAAUUUGAUAGUGGAAAAAUGUUGGUGGUUAUAGGCUUCCAGCGUAUCGAAUUAUUAUUCAGACUCGUGCAUAUAGCAAGUGAGGCGACGUUGCAUCUCCUGCAACAGCAUGGUGUGAAAAAACCCCUUCAAAAUAUUUUCUCACUUUGGAUCCACGGUGUGUGAUCCAGUUUAAGCAAUCGCGGCUGCCUCGGAGGUAGCAUGACCUAAACUGUUUUUUUUUUACCGACACCAACCUAAUUAAAAUACAAUUAAUUCUGUAAAUUUCUCCAACCACGUGUCCUUUUGUUACUUCUCACAUCCGGUUGCACAUUAACCAUUAAAAUCGGUUUCCCCAUGCUUUGGGUUUUCUUUCCCCUUAUUUUUCUGACCGUUGCCAACCCUCCAUCUUUCUCUAUCCACAUUCAACGAUUGAGAUUACAGGUCUGUUACUUACAGAAUCUGUAAGGUAGACAGGUCCCUUAACCCGUUGGACCAAUCUACAGGUCUGUUACUUACAGAAUCUGUAAGGUAGACAGGUCCUUAACCGUUAUAUGAUUUACACACUUGCCGUUUUGUUCUGCAAAGGAGGACACCACCCGUUACCUCAAAGCCUUUGAGCUCAGUCUGAGGGCACAUAAAAGGUCGCUUGAAGACCAAGCGGAGUUGAUGUGAUUGUUGGGUUGCCGCAUGGCUAAGAAUAAGAAAUUUCGCCGUCAAAAUGAAACGUAUCCUGUAAUAUAUAAUAUUCAUUUAUCAGUGAAGUAAAUAUACAGAAGGUUUACGGAGUUGCAUUAUAUGUAUAUUUAGCUAUUAUCAAAUGUCAACAGUAAUCAUUGGUAUUAAUUCUUGUAAAAUUAAGUUCUUAUCCACUUUCCCAAAAAAAAAAAAAUCUUAUUCAUUAUUCAAAGGCUUCCGAGUGCAUUUGGUGUUAGUUUUAUUCAUAUGUGAGAGUACAUCUUGCAUAUUAAACAAAUGAGUAAUGAUAUAGUAACAAACUCUUGUACAAACUUAUUUUGUACACUCUUGUACAAACUCAUUUUGUACACUCUUGUACAAACUCAUUUUGUACACUCUUGUACAAACUCAUUUUGUAUAAACUGAUGUGGUAUGAUAAGAUUGGUUGAAUUAAAUAUCACUUGGCCCACAUGAUUUAUUUUUAUUAUUUUAUAUUUUCAUUCAACCAAUGAAUUAAUAUCACGUUAGUUUGUACAAGAGUUUGUGGUUGUAUCAUCACUCUAAACAAAUUGUUAUUUAGUCCCGCCCUUAUUUGAUCAGAGUGGACCACGGUGGUUUUUUAACUCCGAAUAUUUAAGCACAAAUCAUUUUUAAAUAGUGAUUUACGAAUAUGAAUGGAAUUAAUUCUUCCAUACUGUUCAUGUUCUUAGGAUAAUUGUGGAAUUAGUUCAAAGAAAGCAAAAUUUCCUAAUUCACAAAUUUUGCAUUUUAUUAAAGGUUGGGAUAGUAUUUACAACAUUGUAAACUGACUUUCAUAUAACAACGUUAUAAAACGGUAAAAACGAUAGUUUACAAUGUUAUAAAACAAUGAAAAAAAAAAAUAGUUUACAAUGUUGUAAACACAUCCUGCACUUUAAUAGCCCGAGAUUUUUAGACCGGAAGCAGACACUUCAAAAAGUAAUGAUGUUUAUUUAUUUUUUUCUGAAAAAGGAUACCGACAACUCUUGAUUUAAAAAAUGAUCACAUAAAUUAAUCUUUUAGGAUAAUAUCACCUUUGAUUGCAAUAACCCAACUGUAUUUCAUCUGAUCAUAUAUAAUUAUAAAAAAUAUAUAUAUAAAGGUUGUUUUCCCUUUGACUGCUAAUCACACGAGCCUCGUUGAUCUUUUGCUGGAAUGAUGACCAGAGGAUGGUAUUUUUGCCUUAUUUGUGCUUCUGGGUGAAGCAAAAUAUUGGUAGCAGGCUUUCGCUUAUACGUCUGAUGUGCAGCAGCCAUACACACUGUUGUGAUUGUAGAAAAGAGGGUAUCGCUAAUCCCUGUGGCAUUCGAUGACUAUUAUUAUCAAAACAAGUAUAAAAUUUGACGAAAAUAUCGCAACAAUUAUUACCUUAAAUAAAAUUUAACGAAAAUAUAUAUCAUUGGUAUUCCAAAUAUAGAAAUCCGAACAUAAUAAAAAUAUUUCAAUCCAGAAUCACAGACUUGUUUAAGUCUGAAAAAGUUAUGAUUUGAUAGCAUAAUAGUCGGAAAAGCUAUUAAAGUAUAAUAUUUUAAUAGUAUAAUGACAUUAUAUUAUAAAAUUAUACGUCUUAAUAACUUUUUAAAAUUAUAAUAAAGUUUAAAAUCUUAGAUUAAAUUAGUGCACGAACACAAAUAUAAUAUAAUUAAAUAUAUAUGUUUACGGAAUUUCUCCACUACAUUUCUUUUGUUGUUGUUCCUUAUCACUAGAGCUAUAACUUGACAUAGCCGCAAUGUUUAAAAUUAGUACACGCACCACGUGAUGAUUGUUACUAGCAGGUGAAACAUUUAAAGAAGAGUUAUUAGCUUGAACCUGUUGCAAAUGUCAGAGCAAAAAGGCUUUAAUGUUUCAUGGUGGAGCCGAUGACAGGCAUAAAUAACAAUGUGGGAUAUUGAUACACGAGCAACACGACAAUGGUAAUAGCAAAGCAAAUCCAUUAAGUGUGCAAAAUGAUGUGACCGCUGACCAGUAUUUGACCAAUAUUAAUAUCAGAGCGUUGGCUGUCGAGACCAAAGAGAGUGCAGAAACAGGCCCCAGCCCCCAAAAUCAGGAAGAAACUUUUCGAUGAAGUUGAGACCUCAGCGCCGGCCAAAUAUGCAUAACAAUAAAUGAUUAUGGCUAUCAGAAAAGGGACUCGCCUAUCGUGCAACAGAAGCACCAUACCACCGUUUUUAUCUUUUUUUUAUAAAAUUUUAUGAAGUCCUUUUCAUUUAUUCUUAUUUGAAUUUUUCUUAACAAAUAUUAAGUUCAUUUCUCCCAAAUCUAUGAAUCCUUCAACGGCCGAUCAAUAGCAAAUCGGCUCCUCUGGUGGCUGUGGUUGGUCAGAAAAGAUAGAGAGAACUGUGGAUAACAAAAUUCAAGUGGUGACGUCACCGGAAAUCAGAGAAACCACAGUGAAUUGAAGUGGAGAUUCUGUGACUUUUCACGGCUUCGAUCGACGGCUUUCUGAAUGUUUUACGACGACAAGGAUGGCAUGGAGAUGAUCGGCGUCGCACGAGCUUCCGAUCGGUACCAACCUUGGCCAGUGGAGUAGCCAGAAACAAACAAAAUUCGGGUUGGGUUGACCUAGUUAUUUUUGCGACAAGGAUGGCGUGGAGAUGACUGAGGUCGUACGAUUUUCUGAUCGGUACCAACCUUGGGCGGUGGCGUGGAUGGAAAUGGAAACGAAAUUCGGGUUGGGUUCACCGAUAUUUUGAUAAAGAGAGGGGGGUAUUGUGAUAAAUGUGCAAUAUAGAAUAAAAAUGUGUAAAUAGUAAAUAGUAUAAGGUGCUAAUUAUAAUGUUUAUAUGGAUGCAAUAGAAAUUAAUUUAAUAUUUAUGAGGUAAAGUUUAAAUAAAAAUGAAUUAAAGGGGUUCAAUGAAAUUUUACAACACUACUAGCACAAAAGACAAAACCAGUGAUACGAUACCACGGUGGUACCGCAGCUGGAUCCAAAAGAAAAGAUCAUAUAUUUACUAAGGUAAUUCUUAUCUUACAUGCAUGUAAGAUAGGGGGAUCCAUUUACUAAAUGUGUUUUAAGUAAGAGCUUAGUUUUAUCUUACGUAUUUGUAGUGUCGCAUUCAGAAUUAAAGCCUAAUAAGUAAUAGCAGCAAAUAUAAUUUCUUUAAAAAAAAUUAUUUUCCUAAAAUGUUUUACAAUAAUUUUGGAUAUAACAUACUCAUUUAAAAUGAUUUUAAUGAUGAUAAUUUAAUUUUCAGUAUAUAAUCUUAUAAAUUACUUAAAGUCGGUAGAGUAAAUUAAAAAUUUUAUUAGGACAAAAAAAUUUAUUGAAUUUUGGAAAAUAUUUUUUGAAAAAGAUUCAGACUUACGGGGACAACUGCCGCAGCUUGUCUUUACGUGACUCCACCAGUAUCGAUAUUUGCACCCACAAUGCCGAUAGGAGCUGCAAUGAGAUAUCCAAAAAUACUAAGGUAUGUGAAUAAAGAAAUCAUCUUAGACCCACUAGUCCUUUGAACUAAAACCACCAACCCACCUCAUUUUGACAACUCUUAACCGCAUAUCAAACAACAUGCGAAGAAGAAGGAUUUAGAAUAAAUAAAUAAAUACAAAGUUUUGCUCUUUUUUGCUACAAGAGGAGAAAAUUUGAAUUAGCUAUUUGGAAGAGAUAGGGAUGAUCGAACAAAAUUUUUCCCUUGGGUAUUAAUCAAUGGUCAUAACCCGGAUUUGAAAUGGAGAGUUUUUUUUUUUUUUGAUGACAUGAGACUAUUGUUUAAAUUACAACUCAUAUUACAUGAUAGUAUAACUGAUAUGUACAAGCAUAUAUAUAUACUGAGACCUGUUGAGAUCAAUGCUGAUAUGACAUCGCUCAUAUUUGUAACCCUCUCAAAUAGUCGAGGGACGUCAACUCCCAGCCUGGGAGAAAGACUGCCUUCACUCAAGCUCUGGGGCUCCAAAGAAGGACAUUUAAAUUAAACCACAGCAAUGCGUCUGCGGAGGCUCGAAUCACUUCCCUCACAUUUGUGAGUGAGUGGCUCUAGCCACUUGGGCUAAGCCCAAGUGGUUAAAUGGAGAGUUAAUUUCGCUGUUACCCAGAUUUGAAAGACAGUAUUAAGUGCAAUUUAUGUUCCAGCAGUUUAUGAUCGAAAAUGUAAGUGAAGUGAAGUCGUUAUUAUUAGGAUUUCUCUUGAUCUAAGUUCUCCUGAAUUUUUAAGAUGUGUAAGGUAAUAAUAUUGUAUGGAUGGAAUUUAAGUUCUUUAUUUUUUUUUAUUUUAAUCACCAAUCAACUUGUGAAUUUGAGAAAUUUAGAUCAGAAGAGGAUCUUAUCUCUUUGUAUUUUAGUGUCAUAAUUUUAAAAACUAAAAAUGAACUACAAUUAUAAAAUAAAAAUUGACAUUUUAAUAAUUUUGACAGAAAAGUAAAAAUACUGCAGAAUUUUUAUUAUAUAUGUAAUAAAUUAAAUCAACUUAAUUUUUAAACCACAAUUAUUAUUAUCUACCAAAUAUUUAGGGCCAUAGCUAACCUUAAUACUAAAUGGGGGCAUUCGGCUCCCACGAUCAAUCUGUUGAGGCUGCAUUGGUUGGAAUGUACGAUGAGGAUGGCAUGUUUUGUCUUAUUCGUGCUUCAUAAAUCAUAAUAAAGCCGAUUUUUCGUGGCAGACAUUUGAUUAAUAUCUCCUUGCGGUUUCAUAUGGAAAUUUGGGAUGUUACCAGCGUUGUGUUGUCUUAAUAUUUCCUGUAGUUUUGGCAACCCAGUACGCCACCUGUCAUCUUGUUUGCCCUCAAGGAUGAACAGAAGCCCGGUGCGCAAUGGGCAAAAGGAUUGACAGUGACUUGGUUUCAGGUACAAAUUGUCGGCAACAGCAAAUUAAAUAAAAUAAAGUAAUAAAUAGAUUAAUUCGAACAAAUUUAAAUUUUUAUUAAUAUAUUUUUCGUAUUUCAAGGAUUAAAUACCUCUCUAGUUUUUUUUUAAACACUUAUAUAUUACAAUAUUGAUAUUUACAAUCAAAAAUUUAUCAGAACUUAUCUGAGUAAUUCUAUUACAAUACAACCCAAAUAUCAAUAUUCACUAAAUUGAAGAGAGAUUUAUCUUCACUAUUAUUGAAAGGAAAUCAAUUCUACUUCAAUGUGGGGAGUCAGUUAACUCCCAUUAUAUAAGAAAACAAGUCCCAACGAUGACUCUAAGCUGAGACUUGAAUCCAUGCCCUCAAGGUUAUUUAUCAACUCUCUAGUUGAUAAAUAAUAUUCCAGAUUUUUAUUGUUAUAGUUGAUGCUAGUUAGUCCACAUAUAAAACUUAAAAAUUAAGAAUAGGAAUAAAAACUAGACACCAUUAAUUUAAACUAAAACAAAUAAUUUGUUCACUAACCAACCACAAGUUUACUAAGUCCAAGUACACGUUAAUCACGACCAAUAGGAUGAAUACAGUUUAAAACAAAUAAAAAUAUAGAAUUAGGGAUCGUAACACUCCUUCACCUUAAAAGUACUCUUUGCCGUCAAGGGUGGACUUUGUUAAGGAGUCUUCUCUCGUCAACAUACUUCUCCGAAUUUGACCACGACAACAUAAUAAUGGCUAGAGUCCCGUCACCGUCCAACCAUAAUGGCCACUUCAAGGCCAAAGGUUUUGCGUGUGUGCAUGCUUCUUGACUUUUUCAUUGGUGCAUUAAAUUUUGUUUUGUAUUCCGAAAUCAAGCAUGCAUGCAUGCUCCUUGGCUCUUUUCAUAUUCCACAAGGAUGCAUUAAUUUAUUUUUAUUUUUUUUGUUUGUUUGUGCGCCAGGGGUUACCAAUUACGAUCAUGAUUCUCUUCUGAUCUGAUUAUUUUCUAAGUAAAUAAUUUAAUCACUGAUUGAGUGUUAAUAAAUAAAAAAGUAAAAAAAAUUAAAUCUUACACAUACACUACUACUAAAAGACACAUGACAAAAGAUUAUUUAAAUCUCAAUAAUAUUCAGAUCAUGAGAGGAUCUUGUUCCUACUAAUUACUUCAUCGUUAGGAUUUGUUCCUUAUUAAUUGCUUAGUUCUGAUACCAAAUGUUACGGAAACAAAUUAUUUACAACAAUAAAUCAAAUAAAAUAAAAAGAACAAGUAACAAAUGGGUUAAUUUGAGAAAACCAAAAAUUUCAUAAAUAUAUUUUUAGCACUUCAAGAGAGCAACUACCUCUCAAUACAACUAAUCAGUUGCCAAAUAAUAUUCCAAAUUUUUAUUAUUGAGUUUGAUACUAGUUUCAAUAUUGGUUUGCUAAUAAAACUUAAAACUAAAGAAUAAGAGUAAAACUAGACACUACUAGCCUUUACUAACACAAAUAAUUAGCUAAUUAACGAACUACUAAUUUACUAAGUCCAAGUACACCUUAAUCACAACCGUUAGGAUAAAUACAAUUUAAAAUCAAUAAAAAUAUAAGAUUGGAGAUCGUAAGUCGUAACAGACUUCUAAAGAGAGUCGAGAGAAAAACUUACUUGGGACAAUCCAAAAAAUACUACUUGCAUUUAUAUGACUGGCCAAUUUGAAAACAUAUGAAUGCUUAGCUGUCAAAAUAUAAAUGGAUGAGCACACCACGUGAAACGUGGGCUUCUCCCACCUAAAUACUUCUCAAUCUGAGUAGGGGGAAAUGUCCGAAGAGUGACUCCAAAAUCUGCUUCUUAUGCUAAAAACACAUGUAUGAAUACUCUGAAUGAAUUAACAGAAUUUUAUACAUGCCAAAACCAACUAAUCAUAUGUAAAAUUUAUUAGCAUGCGAUUGUAUGGAUCAUAGUCUUGAGGCAGCUUACAAGGAUAACAAAAUAAUAGUGUGAGGAAAUAAGUUGCUGAUGUACUGGGUUUAAAUGCAAGAUAUGAAGAAUUCUUGGGGCUAUAUGUAGAUCGACUUCAGUAGGAGGGAUCUUGUUGCAAAUUUAUGCUGAUGUGGCAGAAUUCGUUGAGAGUUCGUUAUGCCCUUUCCAGAAAUAUCAGAAUAAAAGGCACUUGUGACUAGCCUCUUAUAUCAGAUCGAUAUCUUCUUCAUUUCAUGUUCAUUUUGCUUGCAAUUUGGUUCUUUGUGAUCCUUAUAAUUUCUUUUUGUUAAUCAAUCUGUAAUCCGAUUGUUGAGAUCAAUAAAAGAGCAGUUUUUUCCUUCAUCAAUUUGUGUACUUGAAACUGUGCUCUGAGUCUGAUUCUUGUGAUUGCUUUCUUGUGUUGAUUAAUCUGGUCUGUUUCUUUCAAGUCUGAUUCAUCAAAGUUCUUCACGAAAUAACUUGUGUAGCUAUUAAAGGUUAUAACAAAUAGAAUGGUGCAAUAAAAGUACAAUAGCUGAUUCACUAAGGCUACAUAUAACCAGAGAAUAUGGUCAAUAAACUGGAAUAACCAACUGUUCUUGAAUCAAGUCCCUCCCCAGGGUUCUCAAGAACAAAACCAAUGAAGUUUGUCAGGACAGCAAUCCAUCAGCUGCAGUGACCCAGUGGUUCAACGGUGGUUCAUUCCAUCAUUUACAUGUAUAACAGAUUAUCUUCCGGUCUUGGCGCGUUUCAUUCCAGCACUGUUGAAGGGCCACAUGCUAGGACUCAUACUCGGACUCAUGCAUGGACUUUCUUCUCUUAGAGUACCAUUCAGCGUAGCAAAUUCACGCAAUUGUUGCUUCUUGUAAUGAUCCAAGGAUUCAUCCUGCAUAAAGAGAUUAGUUUGAACAAGCGGGAAUUAGGAGAGAUGCUGAAGGAAAGAAUAUCGACAAAGUUCACAGAAAAUACAAGAGUUUUUUUUGUUCAUACCACAGGCUUCAAAAGGUUCUCUAGUAUCGCUACAGCAUGAUCCAAGCGGGAAUUUAUUAUAUCCUCUGGAAAUUCGGCCUCCCCUAACACGUGCAGUGGCUCAUUAAGAUGCUCAUAUCCAGGUUUAUCUUUAAGUUUUUCUUCCUAAAGAACCAAAAAGUAAAGAAUUAUCAAGAGAAACCAAGAUGGUAUAAUAAUGUAAGGCAACAUCGAACAUUAGGAAAUACGAAGAAAUGGUUUGCUAAUGCAAGACGCACUCUCCCAUUUGUAGAACACAAAGAACAUGAAAUGAGUCUUGAUUUCCACUUAAUAGAUAAACUAGUAAUAAUAUAAAUUCAUUUCCAGUACAUAUGCCAUCAAUGUAAAACAAAACUACUCAAAAUAUCUAGCUACUCCUACCACAACGAAAGAAAACCACCAUAAUCAUACCAGUUGUCUCCACGAAAAAGAAUUAUGAGGGGCCCAAAAAAAAAAAAAAAAGCUAUAGUUCAUCUGGAAAUCAUUAUUCCAAAGCAACAUAAUUUAUAUGUGUGUAAUUUCAUGCUCAGUACAUCUUUCUCCAGUUAAAUCAAUCAGCAAAAUGUCACAAUCCUCCAUUGAAUAUCAUAGAACUACAUCAUGCAUGAUCAUAAGCAAAUCUAGUCAUACCAUGACCAGUAUCGGUACUAAACUACAAAUUAAAGCAUCUGAUAGAUUGUUACAUAAAACCAGGAUAAUUACAGUGCUAAUCAAAUAACCCGAAUUGCAGAUUCCCUAAUCAAACAAACAUAACAAAAAAAUCUGAAUUACAUUUUUUUUUUUUUUAACCAGAGAUGCACAUUGGCAGCGGAUAAAAUUGAGCAUGUCCUACAAGUUAACAUGGUCCUCCUUUAGCAAGGUCUAGAUGGGAAGGACCAUAGUAAAAAUAAGAGGAAAUACUUUACUUCAUCUAUAAAUCCUACAAUUUAGUUGCAAGUAAAAUAACUCCAAUCUAAAACAUCAAAUGCAUAAGAUUCACAAGGCAAAAGCAGCUUUAGCUAUUAAAAUUUCACAUUCUCAUGCUUUAAGUGUUCAAAUCCACUUUAGCUUGAUUAGAUUGAAUCAGCAACUUAUUCCAAAAUGCACAGCUUCACCACAUUAUGAUAGAUCAGGCCUUUAAAGAAUCCUCGACUGAACCCCGUCCUCUAAUGAACACCCUACAUUCUGUCAUGGCUUCAAUUCUUUUUGAGGGAGUUCCCAUGCGUUCCCAAAAUCCGGCCAACAAAAUUAAACUGCUGUGUGUUUAAGUUAGAAACUAUUAUUAUAAGGAAUUUAAAUAUAUCAAUAUAACUACCUUUUAAAUUGGAAAGCAAAGUUUAAACUUACAUUUGGAUAUUUAUCUACGGUAACAUCAAGUCUAAUAACUCUCUUCACAACAGGUGUGGUUGGAAUUCCGGGAACACCUAGCCCGCCCAUUGAAGGAGGAGUUUGAAAAAGGGGCCAUUUUUUGAAUAUGCCCAUUUUCCUGAAUCAAGGCAUCUAAUGAUAUAAGGAUUCCUCUCUUCAGAAUGAUAUAAGGAAUCCUUUCUUUUAUGCUUGAAAACUUUAUCAUCAAAUCCAAAACAGCACAUGAUUCUCAAACUCGAUGAAACAAUCAAGAGCCCUCUAAAAAGUGAUGUGCAAGAUCCAAAACAGAAAGCUUAGUCAUUUAAAAAAUAGCAUUCAGCUAUGAGCAAUAAUAACUUAAAUCUUAAACAUGGAUGUAAUUUAUCUUCAGCUGACAGCUAGACAUACGAGGCAAGUUCAAAGAACAUUUCUCUUUUAUACCCAAAAAAAAAAUAGCUGAACUAGAAGAUACUCUCAGUUGAUUAGAGAAUGAGUAUAUCGAUCUAUGUGUGACAAUUUACUUUAGGUAUACCAUAGAUUCUAACCUUUGUUACACUAAAAGAUGGUCAUCCCCUCAUUUAAAAGGAACAUAGCGAUUAGAAGAAAAGCAUACAGUCAGAAUUCCAAGAAAUUGCAAUAUAGAAUUUUCUGGCAUCAAUCUCACAAUUACAGGAUAAAAAUACAUGGCAAGUAUAAAACCGUGAACAGGCAUUAUUAGCUCAGUUUGCGUUGUAGAUGAACCCUCCAAAUCCAUUGGUCUUCCAUUCGGCUGACCUGAUGACCUAAAUGGACUAUCAUGCUCAAACCCUUCAUGAUCAACAAAACUUGGAUUGCAACCUGUCGUUUGUCUGAUUAGGUAUACCAUGUAAUAUAUACAACUGAAUCCAGGUAAUAACUAACUGUGCUACAAAUGUCAAUGACAAAUAAAGUUCCUAGUUUUUUCAAAAAACUGCCUAGGCAGUGCCCACCCCGCCACACAAGUAGUCCAGGUAAUUUGCUCACGCUGUUGCCAGCCAAAGAACCAUGAAGAGGAAAAGCUGCAAGGAGCCUUUGCCAGGUUGGUCAGGAAGGGCUUCAAUAGAGUGUAACAUCUCAGUAGCUCAAUUCAUGUACCCCUAGCUGUGCAUGUAAGAAGAAAUGCUCUUCUGAAUAAAGUAUUGAUACCAGAUCUACUGUUGUUUCUUCACAACUUGUUAGGAAAGAUUACUAGCAGCUAAGUUAGACGCAUAUACAUACUACUAUAGGAAAUUGAACAGCUUCUUACAUAAUCGGUGCAACUUCUUAUACAAGUAACUUCUUAUACAAACAAGUUCCCCUCCCGGCAAUAGAUAGACAUCAAUAUUCAGACACCUGAGGGUGCUGAAUGUUAGAAACUUUACUUCCUCCCAACGUAAGCUCCCAGUUUAGACACAUUAGGAUUCCAAAAUGAUAGCUCAGAUAACCCCGUAACAAACAUGAGACUUCCAGGGGCCCAUUUUAUGACAGGAGGCUCUGUAUGAAAACUCAUCCAACUAACAACCCUGACAAGAAAAAUAAACAAAACCAAACAAUGUUUAUAUAAUAACAAUACCAACAUCAAAAGAAUAUAGUCUUUGGAUACAGAACUCAUUAUGCAAACUGGUGCUUAAGGUGAAUGCCCAAAUGUAGAUUCAAAAGCAUUGUUGGUUUGCCUAGAAGACAAUGAAUGCUAUGACUCGGUCAAUGUAGGGGAAAUAACAUCCCUUUGAAUUCUAAGCAUUCAAAAGGCAUUAGAAUCAAGGAAUUUUGCUUAUCAUACCCCUUUCCCGCUCCGUACGCUCCAAGCAUAUCCACUACCAUCAUUAGAACCUUCCAAAACCAAGAAAGUAAAAUUAGCAUAAAGAGUGCAACAAACCAAUAGUAUCACAUAAAACUAAUAAGACGUGCUUGGCCACACUAGGCUGCUUCCACAUGUGUGGGUGCACUUGCUAUUUGAGCAUUUCAUUGAUUUAUUUUGAUUAACAAGCACAACCAGAUGAAAAUACGUACGCAUUUGGAUUUGCAUGGAUGGGAGUGGGUUUUAAACCAAGUCAAUGAAGAAGAGAAAUUGAAUUUAUUGCAAAGAAUUCUGUGGGAACAAGCUUGAUGCUGAAUGCUUUUCUUCUAAUUGCUAUGUUUCUGUUAACAAGGUGGUAACAAAUUUGAGAAUUAUAUACAGCACAAGUGCAAGAACUUUAAUAUAAAAUAUCAAAACAGCCGAAAGCAAAUAUUAACAAAAUAUCCACAAGUCACUGUGCCCUAAGAACUGAAAGGAGAAACUCUACUGGGCUGAAAGAUGCCUCCAAUGUGGAAUUGUGAGAAACUGGCUUGGCAUCAUAAGUGGAUAAAUAAAAAGGGUAAUUUUUAGAGACCUCCCCUGAGGUUUGGUGUAUUAACACUUAAAUAGAAUGUAUUCAUGUAAUUACAUAUAUUUUCCCUACAAUUAAUAUAAAAAUACGUAUAGCGUCAGAUAGAAGGGUAAAUGUGUAAAAAUAUAUUUAAAAUUAAAAAUAUUUGCUUUUACCAAAUCAUUAAAAUUUUGACCCACUUGCCCGCUGUCGGCCCAAACUUGACCAGUCGGUCAUGGCUCCACCGGCGGCUGGUGGUGGUGCGCCACUGCCGGAGUCCUCUCCUCACACCAACAACCAACCCCAUUCACGGCAGCCUUUGAAUCAACUGCGUCCACCAACACACAUUAACCCAAGUACACGACUUUUUGAAGUGUCUCUUUUGCUUUGCGUUUUCCCUUCACUGAGAAGAUUCAUCAGCUAAUAUAAUAAGCUUUGUUGCCUUAGAUUUGAGAUUACAGAGGCCUGAGCAGAUGUGGCUGUGAUGUGGGCUUUAUUGUAUUUGACUAAUAGGCAAAACACAUUUUAUUGGCCUACAAGGACGGUGCCUUUUUCUUCUUGUUGGGGAACUUCGUGAAGAAUCCAGCUUGCUUCUUUCUUCCUUUUCUUUCUUCAUUUUAAUUCAUUUUUUUAAUUUAUAAUAACUUUUUGAGAUUGAAUUAUUGGCUUCACAUGUAAAUCAAUGGUAUUUGGUAUGUCACAAGUGUAUAGUUAUUCUUUUUUUAUUUAUUUUUUCUGAUGUUUUUGUGUUGGAAUUAAUUUCUCAAGGUUUUGGCACCACUCCCCAUUGGAUUUGCUGUGUUCAUGGUACACUUGGCCACAAUCCCAAUCACUCGCACUGGAAUUAACCCAGCAACGAGUCUCGAGGCUGCUGUUAUUUACAACAAGGACAGGGCUUGGGGUGGCCAAUGGCUCUUCUGGGUGGUGGUGCUUUGCCACUGCCGGAGUCCUCUCCUAACACCGGCGACCAACCCCAUUCACGACAGCCUUUGAAUCAACUGCGUCCACCAACACAGUAACCCAAGUAGGCUUUUGUCUCAUCACAACCCCCACACCCCCACCGCCCCUUUGGCCAUCGCCGAAGCCACCCAACAACCGCUAACAUCACCAUUAAAGUGGGUUCAAUGGAAUUCUCACUGCCAAUGGAAUUCCCAAAGUUAUAUAUAAUAAUUUAUUAUUUCAGCAGGAAGGAUAUUUUAGUAAUUUUAAAUGUUUACUAACGGUCAACUUAAUUAGUAACUAACGGCAGGGGAGGUAUAUGUAAUUACAUAGAUACAUUCCAUCUAGGUGUUAAUACACCAAAUCUCAGGGGAGAUCUCUAAAAAUUACCCUAAAUAAAAACAAGAGUAAAUAGAAGCUCAUUAACAGAGAUUCCACUGUAUAGAGGGGUAUAUAUGUACAAUAUGUUACAUUUGGGAGAUGAAGAAAGAAAAAGUAAACUCACAAGUGUGCCUUGGAAUGAGUCAAGCACACGAAUAUGUCCUUCCAUAGUGGUCGGAAGCAUAAUUCUCCCAUCAUUGCUGAACUUUAUGACAUCAGAAUCUGAUACAUCUUCCCCAUCAGAGAAGAUGUCAAAAGGACCCUAACAGCAUCCAAGCUUAACCAAAUUAGUGCAUGAUAAAAGUACUACGACAUAUAAACUUCCAAGAUAUUCUUAAAUAUUAAUUUUAACCUUCUCAUACUUACGAGCAUCAAACAUUCUUAUGUAUCCUCCAAAGGCAACUGCAAAGACAAGCCCUUGAUCAUCGUAUGCUGUAGCAGGCCUUCCUUGAACAUUCAAAAGACCCGGAUUUGCCAACAGAGAUCAUAAACACAAUUGAAAAUGGGGGAAAAAAUACUUUGAAUGUGACCGUGGAUGGCAUGAUAUCCACCUAGCAUUUCUCAGCCCGUUGAUCCCAGAGCAGAACAGUUUGAUCAAGAGAACCAGAGAUAAAGAAAUCUUUGGAGGAGCACAGGCUAAACAACCCUAGAAGCAAUAAAACAUAUAUACAGAUGAUAAUAAUUACAAAAUAUUUACAAGAAUCAGUGAAUUACAAACCUGUCAUGGUGACCUUUGAAGUAACGCAAGUACUUGUUAUCGUGCAAGGAAAGAAACUGUAGAGAUUCUUAAUAAAUGAACGUAUCAAACAGCACUACAAGUGGUUUCGUAAUCCAAAAAGUUCUAUCCAUGAAAGCAGAUAUCAAGCACUUCCCCAGAAAAACAAUUCAAGGGUUCCUUUGAUUUCAAAAGACACUUUAUUAUUUCUGCAAUUUCAAACAAACAUUGCAAAAUUGAAACCAGCUUCUUAUACUUAUUUAAAAGCCAUUUCUUAGUUAAAAGCACUUCCAAAGAGACAACAUAAAAUCCUAAGAAACAGAGGAUCAACUUACGUGGCAGCAGAGACAUCGUACGGCCGUAUAGAUUCAUCAUCACUAGCCGUCACCAAAUAACUCGACGAUUUAUGAAAAUCCAUGGAACUAAUUCUCCCAUUCUGUUGAAACACAAAUCAAUACAAAACGACACUGAAUUAACAAACAGAUACAUUUAAAACGCAAAUCGAGUAUGUUCCUCGAAUAGAAACUUAUUAGAAGAUUCUCUUACAUAAUCUCUAAAAGAAAUGCCCACUUCCAUGCUCUGAAGAAUUUCUUCAAAGAGUUCCAACGAGACCUUGUCUUCUCUCUCCGAUUGUGACCCUAAAACCCAGAAAUAAAAACACAAAGCAAAUAAGUAUAUCACAGCAAUUAUGCCAAAAACGACAACGUUUCAAGUAAAAUUUCCACAUACCAACAUUUUUUUUCCUUCAGAUUAAUUCAAUUCCACUGCACUGAAAACAAAUUUUUCACGGAAACGGGAGGAGGUUGAGAAUUUAUUUAUACUUCUGUGUCAAAUAAGGACGGUAGUUUUCUAUUCGUCCCAAAUGGGUGCCUAAACCCAUACAAUGACUACGAUACCCUUAAGCGUCAGCUCUUGUACACUUAAAUGUCAAGGGUAUUUUGAUCAUUUAAUAAUUAGUGACCUAUUUUCCGAUGCAUAUGUAAAGUCAAACUUCACGAAGAAAACGCUAAUAAAAAUGAUUAAGAAAAAACGCUCAAAUUGGAUCAAAGCUUUGAAUGACAACGUAAGUCUCGAUUUUUUUUUUUUUUUGCUUUCUAUUAUGCGUUAUUUUAUUCAUCAUCUAGUAGUAAUUUAAUCUGCAAAAUUCCAAUUUUUGACGCGCGCGCACCAACAAAAAAAUUUUGAAAGAAUUUUAUUUGAAUUUUAUAUGUGUUCCUAUUUGUUUUAUGAAUCGAAUCUGAUAAGAAAUUGUGGGGAUGCAAAUAUCACACGAUGCCUCCGUUCAGUCAAGUUUAUUCUUGAUUUGUUGAAAUUGUGUAAAUAGAUUUAUAAUAGUUUUUAUGAUGUGUCAGGGUUCGCGCUCUUUGGAUAAUCAUGGAAGUAUGGUGAUUUCUAUUUAUUGUUGUGGGGAAAGGACACCGACUUCUUUGCGUGGUUUUAGAAAUGAUCGCAUAGACUUGUAUUAGGAUAAUUAUACCCUUUGACUGUAGUGAUUUCAUCUUGGCAUAUUUAUCAAAAUGGGUAUUUUCCCUUUCAGCUACUCAUCACACGAGCUUUAACCUUCCACCAGUGAUCAAGUUGAACAUGCAAGAUUCCAACAAGUCCCUUUGAGAUCCCGUCCAGUUGUUGCAGCCCAGAUCCCACCAUCAAAUCAGGUCAAAUUACAAGAUAUACCUAACUUAUGGAUUAACUUUCGUGUCUUUUAGUUUGAGAUCUAGUGAGUACAAUGCUCGUAAUGCCCAAUACCAUAUGGUUCAAGAGGAUAUGAGAGCAUAAAGGUUCAAAUUUAUGAGUUUAACUGGUUGAAAAUGGUGUAAUAUGCCUCUGUGGUUUGUACAUAAUGGAUUAGAUAAUCCUCUUUUUUUGGCCCUCCAAAGAAUUAUUCGUAGGAGACUGAAAAUUGAAUCUCUGAUGCAGUUUAUCCUUGAACUGGUAAGACAAUGUAGCUGAAGUAAUUUUUCAUAUUUCAUAUAGUAUUUGCUAUCACUUAAGUGGAAGACUGACUUUUGUAUAUUUACUUUUUCUGGUGGCUUCAAACAGUCUCAACCAUUUGGAAUGUGACAAACUUUGAACUACUAUAUUAAUAAGAAGAUUAUUAAUCCUGCAUGCCCUAUACUCGCUGCUGUGAUUGAAGAAAGGCGGAUAUUACUAUUGCUGACUGACUGACUCUUACCAAUGGCCUUGACAAACCUUUUGUUCGCAUCAAACUGAGGCAUAAGAGGUGUAAAGGUGUAGGAGUGAAAGCUACAACAUAUGCAAAAACAAUAUGGAUGGACCUUGCCAAUGCCGAGUUGAUCUCUGGAAAUAAGAUUCACAUAAAUAGAUUGGGAAUGCAAUUGUGGAGCAAAUUAGUAGGAACCAGGAUGGAAAUUUCACAGGGGUUGUGCAUCUUGAAGGAUACAAGACGACCGUGUUGAAGCUGACCUGGCUGCUUGAAAUAAUCGAGUUAGUGGGGUUCGACUACCUAAUCACAAAGAAAAAGGUAUGUUGAUUUUCAGAUUUUUUUUCUUCCACUUAUCUCUUUGCUGUCAUACAGAGUGCCAUUCUGAAUAGUAAACUUUUCAUGUAAUGUGAAUUUGAUCCAUAAAGCACCUGAAUCUAGAUAAGUUUGCUGCAUGCUGAGCAUUGGGUCUUGUGUCUCAUGUGGGUUUUUUUCUUGAGUUCUUUAUGCCCAAAGAUGCUAGAAGGCUGGUUCUUACCACCGACCAACCAUCUAUUUAUACUUAGUCAUAGCAAUUGCAAACAUACCCCCUUGGUUGGUUCACGCAGUAAAAUCUCUUGAGGCAGUACCUAAUUGCCAUUUCCAAGUGUUUAACCCUAAAUUUUUAAUAACGUUUUGGUGGAUUCAUGUACAUUGAACUAGUCUUCUUUCUAUAUUACAUGGAUUAAAUUUUGAAACUAGGCCAACCUGUUGUUAAAUCUGCCUUUCAAAUUAUUGACUUAAUAUUGCCAAAAAAGAACUUUUUACCGAUUACAGAAUUUUUCAUUUUUGCAGGAAACUGGAGUCGCAGCUGACAGUGCUCAAGGGCAAUCCUUAAAUUAAAUUUCAUUGCAAUCUUUAAACUUUAAAUUAUUUGAGAAAAAAAAAAUCUUGGCAUAAUAUUGAACAGUGCAUUUACUUGUAUAAUAUCAAUAAAACAAUGCAUGUGAGGGAAUAAAAAGAAUAAGAUGAAAUUUGACGACAGUAAUUGGCACUAUUUCAAGCAAAGAAAUCUGGACACUAAUAUGUUUUCUCUGUUACUUUCCAAAAUUACUGCAUGUACAUGAGAUGAUUGUUUGCUACUGUUGUACUGUAUAAGGUGAAACAUUUGAAGAAGCCCCCUUCUAAACUGGUAGUGUUGGUCGUUGUUGUCCUGCCGAGGAAGUGUCAUUAGAUUGAAACCUACUGCAAAUAUUGAUACAAAAUGGCUUCAAGGUUUCGUUAUAGAGCUGACUGCAAAAUGGCUUCAAGGUUUCGUUGUAGAGCUGACGACAAGCUUCUGUAAACAGCGCCCCAUAUUGAUGCACAACAAUGGUAAUGGACGAGCAAAGCCACGCAGUGUACAAUAUGAUAUGACCAAUAUCAGAGCGAGGAACAAAUGUGGAGAUCAAGGAGACUGCAGAAACAGAUCCAGAGACAACUGCUACAAGGGCCCAAGAUUGGGAAGAAUUCUCUUGAUGAGCUAAAUAUGCAUAACAAUAAAUGGCUGUGGUUAUGAGAAAAGACCAUAUAUUUGUUGUGUGUGUUUCAAGCAAGCGCUCAGUUGUGCCGUGCAUAUUUGCUCCCACGAUGCCGAUGAGAGCUGGAAUGAGAUAUCCAAACACGUUAUGGUAUGCGUUUGACAUCGCGGACAAAUAAAUUUUGUUCCUGCAGAACCAUUAAAAUACUAUAUUAAGGAAAGUAUUAGAUCCAUUCCUUUAGAAAAACAAGAAUUUAAGAGAUCAUUAUGUAUUUAGUCCCAUUUAAUAUUAGUUUAAUUUUUUCAAGUUAUUGUGAAAAAAAAAAAUUAUCAAAUACUUUUAUCGAUCCAUUCCUUUAGAAAAAAAAUAUAUAUAUAUAUAUAUAUAUUUUCAGUGCACACACAACAUUUCUUUACUGUUUCAAACAAUCUGGUUCUAACUAUUAUAUUGUAUCAAACUCUUCUUGAGUUCGACUUUCUUUCAAACCCAAAUAUUAUAUUUGACUUUGGCUUUUCUCUUUAUUUUCAAGAUGCAAUGGGUUUCUAUCAGCUUUCCAAGCCUUAUAAAAUCUUGACAAAGACUUGAAGAAGAAAACAAAUUAUUUUCAGUGCAUAUUGAUUGGUAAGAAUUUAAAAAGGAAAUUUGGGAUUUUUUUUGUUUUCUUUUGAACAUUGUCUGUAUAUAUAUAGGGUAAAGUUUUAUUUUUAAAUACACGUUGUGGCUCAGUUCAGAGAGAGAAGGGAGACGGUGAAGAUUGAUGGGUUGACUUUCUUUUCCCGUCAGCCAUUUUGUAAUAGAUUGAUCAGAGCAAUCAUUACCUGCAAAACUCAACACAUCACCAAAUUAACAACCAACAUUUCAAUUUCAAACCCAACCUUAAAUUGAAACAAAUCUUCUUGAAAAAUAAAGGAAAAAGCAACUCCAAAUCAAAAUCGAAAUGAAACCUUAACAGAGAGACAGCCGCAAGUAUGAGGAGACAAGCACGAUCCUAAAAGAUCUGAAGUCCUGUUGGUAUAUGAGAGAUGAACUGACCUCAAUUUAUAUAGGAUGGAUUCCCUUUGCUCAUUGGCUGCUGCAGCCCUGGACCGUUGAGGGGGGACACGUGGAGGGAUCGUGGGGCGGGAUGGAAGUAACUGUGGUUGAGUUAAGGUUGGACUUUUCAUUAACAUACCUUUGAAAAAGGUAUGUUAAUCAACCUUUCAAAGGUACUUCCACCCCUCACAUAACUCCAGUCAACCACAGUUACUUCCAUCCCGCCCCACGAUCCCUCCACGUGAGCUGCUGCAGCCAAUGAGCAAAGGGAAUCCAUCCUAUAUAAAUUGAGAUCCCUGUUGAAACACAUAAAACGACGCUGAAUUAACACACAAAUACACUUAAAAGUCUGUUUCCCAAACAAAAACUUUUUAGAAGAUUCUCUUACGUAAUCUCCAAAACACAUGCCCACUUCCAUGCUCUGAAGAAUUUCUUCAGAGAGUUCCAACGAGACCUUGUCUUUUCUCUCUGAUUGUGAGCCCAAAAACCAGAAAAAAAAACUAAAUAAAUAAAUCACAACAAUUGCGAGAAAACGACAAUGUUUCAAGUAUAAUUUCCACAUACCAACCAUUUUUUUCCUUCAGAUUAAUUCAAUUCCACUGGAUUGAAAAUAAAUUUUCUGCGGGAACGGGAGGAAGUUGAUAAUUUAUUUAUACUUCUGUGUCAAACAGCAUGAUUUCCCAAAUAAGGACUAUAGUUUUCUACUCGUCCCAAAUGGGUGCCUAAACCCGAGCAAUGACUACGAUACCCUUAAGCGUCAGCUCCUGUACACUUAAAUGCAAGGGUAUUUUGAUCAUUUAAUAAUUAGUGACCUACUUUCUGAUGCAUAUAAAAGCACACUUCACGAAGAAAACAUCAAGAAUGAGGAAGAAAAACGCCGAUUGAGGAUGCUCAAAUUGGAUCAAAGCUUUGAAUGACAACGUAAGUCUCGAUUUUUUUUGUUUUCUAUUAUGUGUUAUUGUGGGGAAAGGACACCGGCUUCUUUGCGUGGUUUUAGAAAUGAUCACAUAGACUUGUAUUAGGCUAAUUAUACCCUUUGACUGCAGUGAUUUCAUCUUGGCAUAUUUAUGAAAAUGGGUAUUUUCCCUUUUAACUACUCAUCACACGAGCUUUAACCUUCCAUCAGUGAUCUGUUGAGGCCGAAUGAUGAGCGGAGGAUAGCGUGUUUGGCUUAUUCGUGCGUCAAGGUGAAGCAGAUUAUUGGUGGCAGGAUUAAGCUCGUCGGAUAUUGCAACCAAUUCCUUGGAAAAUGUUUGUGAAUGGCUUGAAGCAUUGAGAUAUCAUUCUAUUAUCUCCGUGUGUUUUCAUAAGCAAAAUUGGGAUGCUAAUAGUGUUGUCAUAGCAGGAAGUUGAACAUGCAAGAUUCCAGCAAGUCCCUUUGAGAUCCCGUCCAGUCGUUGCAACCCAGAUCCCGCCAUCAAAUCAGGUCAAAUUACAGGAUAUACCUAACUUAUGGAUUAAUUUUCAUGUCUUUUAGUUUGAGAUGUGGUGAGUACAAUGCUCGUAAUGCUCAAUACCAUGUGGUUCAAGACAAUAUGGGAUAUAAAGGUUCAAAUUUUUGAGUUUAGCCGGUUGAAAAUGGUGUAAUCUGCCUCUUAGCAAGCUUUUGUGGUAUGUACAGAUGGAUUAGAUAAUCCUCUUUUUUUCACCGUUCAAAGAAUUAUUCGUAGGGGACUGAAAAUUGAGUCUCUGAUGCAGUUUAUCCUUGAACUAGUAAGACAAUGUAGCUGAAGUAAUUUUUCAUAUUCCAUAUAGUAUUUGCUAUCACUUAAGUGGAAGACUAACUUUUUUAUCUCUACUUUUUCUGGCGACUUCAAACAGUCUCAACCUUUUGGAAUGUGACAAAAUUUGAACUACUAUAGUAAUAAGAAGAUUACUAACCCUGUGUGCCGGGUACACACUGCUGUGAUUGAAGAAAGGCUAACCCUGUGUGCCCUAUACACACUGCUGUGAUUGAAGAAAGGCUGAUAUUACUUUUGCUGACUGACUGAGUGUAAAGGUGUGGGAGUGAAAGCUACAACAUACACAAACAAUAUGGAUGGACCUUGCCAAUGCUGAGUUGAUCUCUGCGAAUGAAGAUUCACCUAAAUAGAUUGGGAAUGCCAUUGUGGAGCAAAUUAGUAGGAACCAGGAUGGAAAUUCCACAGUGGUUAUGCAUCUUGAAGGAUACAAGACGACUGUGUUGAAGCUGACCCAGCUACUUGAAAUAACCGAGUUAGUGGGGUUUGACUACCCAAUCACAAAGAAAAAGGUAUGUUGAUUAUCAGAAUUUUUCUACCACUUAUCUCUUUGCUGUCAAACAGAGUGCCAUUUUGAAUAGUGAACUUUUCAUGUAAUGUGAAUUUGAUUCUUAAAGCACCUGAAUCUAGAUAAGCUUGCUGCAUGCUGAGUAAAGAGUCUUGUGUCUCAUGUGGGCUUUUUUCUUGAGUUCUUUGUGCCUGAAGAUGCCAGUAGGCUGGUUCUUACCACUGACCAACUAUCUCUUUGUAGUUAGUCACAGCAAUCACAAACAUACCCCUUGGUCGGUUCAAGCGGUAAGAUCUCUUGAGGUAGUACCUAAUUGCCGUUUCCAAGUGUUUCACCCUAAAUUUUUAAAACUUUUUGGUGGAUUCAUAUACAUUGAACUAGUCUUCUUUCUAUAUCACAUGGAUUAAAUUUUGAAAUUAGGCCAACCUAUUGUUAAAUCUGCCUUUCAAAUUAUUGACUUAAUAUUGCCAAAAAAGAACUUUUUACCUAUUACAGAAUUUUUCAUUGUUGCAGGAAACUGGAGUCGCAGCUGACAGUGCUCAAGGGCAAUCCUUAAAUUAAAUUUCAUUGCAAUCUUUAAAAUUUAAAUUAUUUGAGGAAAAAAAAUCUUGGCAUAAUAUUGAACAAUGCAUUUACUUGUAUAAUAUCAAUAAAACAAUGCAUGUGAGAUUGUGAGGGAAUAAAAAGAAUAAGACGAAAUUUGACGACAGUAAUUAGCACUAUUUCAAGCAAAGAAAUCUGGACACUAAUAUGUUUUCUCUGUUACUUUCCAAAAUUACUGCAUGUACAUGAGAUGAUUGUUUGCUACUGUUGUACUGUAUAAGGUGAAACAUUUGAAGAAGCCCCCUUCUAAACUGGUAGUGUUGGUCGUUGUUGUCCUGCCGAGGAAGUGUCAUUAGAUUGAAACCUACUGCAAAUAUUGAUACAAAAUGGCUUCAAGGUUUCGAUAUAGAGCUGACUGCAAAAUGGCUUCAAGGUUUCAUUGUAGAGCUGACGACAAGCUUCUGUAAACAGCGCUCCAUAUUGAUGCACAACAAUGAUAAUGGACGAGCAAAGCCAGGCAGUGUACAAUAUGAUAUGACCAAUAUCAGAGCGUGGAACAAAUGUGGAGGCUAGUGAGACUGCAGAAACAGAUCCGGAGACUCGUGCUACAAGGGCCCAAGAUUGGGAAGAAUUCUCUUGAUGAGCUAAAUGUGCAUAACAAUAAAUGGCUGUGGUUAUAAGAAAAGACCAUAUAUAUGUUGUGUGUGUUUCAAGCAAGCGCUCAGUUGUGCCUUGCAUAUUUGCUCCCACGAUGCCGAUGAGAACUGGAAUGAGAUAUCCAAACACGUUAUGGUAUGCGUUUGACAUCGCGGACAAAUAAAUUUUGUUCCUGCGGAACCAUUAAAAUACUAUAUUAAGGAAAGUAUUAGAUCCAUUCCUUUAGAAAAACAAGAAUUUAAGAGAUCAUUAUGUAUUUAGUCCCAUUUAAUAUUAGUUUAAUUUUUUCAAGUUAUUGUGAAAAAAAAAAUUAUCAAAUACUUUUAUCGAUCCAUUCCUUUAGAAAAAAUAUAUAUAUAUAUAUAUUUUCAGUGCACACACAACAUUUCUUUACUGUUUCAAACAAUCUGGUUCUAACUAUUAUAUUGUAUCAAACUCUUCUUGAGUUCGACUUUCUUUCAAACCCAAAUAUUAUAUUUGACUUUGGCUUUUCUCUUUAUUUUCAAGAUGCAAUGGGUUUCUAUCAGCUUUCCAAGCCUUAUAAAAUCUUGACAAAGACUUGAAGAAGAAAACAAAUUAUUUUCAGUGCAUAUUGAUUGGUAAGAAUUUAAAAAGGAAAUUUGGGAUUUUUUUUGUUUUCUUUUGAACAUUGUCUGUAUAUAUAUAGGGUAAAGUUUUAUUUUUAAAUACACGUUGUGGCUCAGUUCAGAAAGAGAAGGGAGACUGUCAAGAUUGCUGGGUUGACUUCCUUUUCCCGUCAGCCAUUUUGUAAUAGAUUGAUCAGAGCAAUCAUUACCUGCAAAACUCAACACAACACCAAAUUAACAACCAACAUUUCAAUUUCAAACCCGACCUUAAAUUGAAACAAAUCUACUUGAAAAUAAAAGAAAAAGCAACUCCAAAUCAAAAUCGAAAUAAAACCUUUUAUAACAGAGACAGCCGCGAGUAUGAAGAGAGAAGCGCCAUCCUAAAAGAUCUGAAGUCGUGUUGUAUAUGUCUUGUAUAGAUUGACAGAGCAAUCAAAGGCCGUGUCGACUAGAGCGAUCGAAGAGGAGAAGAGAUAAGAGAGGAAAAAAGAUAGUUAAUUUGAUGCUGCAGCUCUGGAGCGUUGCUCAAUUUAUUAAGGAGGGAUUCCCUUCGCUUGCUCAAUUUAUACAGGAGGAUUUUCCCUUCGCUCAUUUGUUGCUGCAGCUCUGGACCGUUGAGGGGGGACACGUGGAGGGAUCGUGGGGCGGGGUGGAUUAGUGGAAGUAACUGUGGUUGAGUUAAGGUUGACUAGAGUUAUGUGACGGAUCUAAGGCUGGGUGUUUUCGUUUUGGAUAUGUCGUUUUGUCAGUGGGAAUGGCGUCGUUUGUUUGGGUUUAAAAUUGCGCACAUUUAUUAUACGUAGCGGAAUCGUACAAAAAUUGCUGCUGCAGCUCUCCUUUAUUAAUCUGAAGGAAAAAAAAAUUGGUUGGUAUGUGGAAAUUAUACUUGAAACGUUGUCGUUUUUGGCAUAAUUGCUGUGAUAUUUUUUUGUUUGUGUUUUUUUUUUUCUUUUUUCUGGGUUUUAGGGUCAAAAUUGGCUCAUUUCACAUCAUAAUAGACAACAAAAUAAAAUAAAAUAAAAUGAUUAAUUGAUUUAAUCAAUAAUUUGGUUCUGCCUACUUGAAAAAUGAAACGGAUAUCGUGGGAAAUUGGCAGCCCGCCAGUCCCCGGUUCCCACUCCCCAUCGCGCUUCUCUUACUAUUAAAAUACGAGUCAAGUUAGUACACAACGAAAGACAUUGCACAAUUAGCACAGCUUCCCUCUCUGUCUCUUUCACUUCCUCCUUCGUUAUUCAUCUCGCGCUCACUACUGAAUAUUGGAUCGCACCAACUAUGGCUCUCUCUUCCGGGAUUGCUAUUGGAGCUAAACAAUCUAUUUCUCCAUUUUUCACUGUUUCACAACCGAGCCUUAGUUACAGAAAACAGGUCGGUUCAUCCGCAUGCAGUAUUCAAGAUUUUGUUUUUGUUGCUUUUUCUAUCUGGGUUCUCAAUUCUUUUGCUUGCUUGUUUAAAGAUUCUUGUUUUUCGUAUCUGUAUCUGUAUCUGUAUCUGUGUUAUGUGCGUUUCUUGGUUUCUCACACAUGAUCAUCACCAUUGAGUUUGUAUGUAUUGACUGUGGUUGGUUGGUUCGUUGUCGUGGUGAUGUGUUUCAGAAUUUCUGUUUGAGAGCGUCCGCUGAGAAUCUUCUAAUAAGUUUCUGUUUGAGGAACAUACUUGAUUUGCGUUUUAAAUGUAUCUGUUUGUUAAUCCAGUGUCGUUUUGUAUUGAUUCGUGUUUUAACAGAAUGGGAGAAUUAGUUCCUUGGAUUUUCAUAAAUCAUUGAGUUAUUUGGUGAUGGCUAGUGAUGAUGAAUCUAUACGGCCGUACGAUGUCUCUGCUUCCACGUAAGUUGAUCCUCUGUUUCUUAGGAUUUUAUGUUGUCUCUUGGGAAUGCUUUUAAAUAAGAAAUGGCUUUUGAAUAAGUAUAAAAAGCUGGUUUCAAUCUUGCAAUGUUUGUUUGAAAUUGCAGGAAUAAUAAAGUAUCUUUUGACAUCAAAGGAACCCUUGAAGUGUUUUCUGGGGAAGUGCUUGAUAUCUGCUUUCAUCGAUAGAACUUUUUGGAUUAGGAAACCACUUGUAGUGCCGUUUGAAGAAGUGCUUCAUAUAUGUUUGAAAGUGAUUUUACUCGAGGGUACUUGCCAUUAAAGCACUGCUGAACGUAUCCUCUGCGUGUUUGAUGAGCUCAUGAAAGCUACUGUCUUUCUAAGAUGGAGAAAAAUGCUUUUUAGAUGAAACAGAAAAAAAAAAAAAGGAGAACCUUGGAGUGGUUUUCAGGGAAGUGCUUAAGGGAAAUGUAAUUGAUAUAUUUUUCAAGAACUUUUGUAAAAAGGCCUUUUCUUUUUCUUUUUGUUUUGUUUGCAUAAGCUCUUUCUAUAAGAGCACUGCCAAAUGCACUUCAGUUGUCUUAGCUGAGCUCAUGAUAGUUAGUAUUGCAAUUGUUGCUGAGAGCCUUAAUUGAAAUUUCAGAUGUUUGAAGACAAUUAACAGCAAAAAAUAUGGGAAUAUUUGUGUUUUGCAUGUUGGUGGAUUGCUUUACUAGGCACUUAUUUGAUACGUUCAUUUAUUCAGAAUCUCUACGGCUUCUUUCCUCGCACGAUAACAAGUACUUGCGUUACUUCAAAGGUCAUCAUAACAGGUUUGUAAUUCACUUAUUCUUGUAAAUAUUUCGUAAUUAUUAUUAUCUGUAUAUAUGUUUUACUGCUUCUAGGGUUGUUUCACUUAGCCUGUGCUCCUCCAAAGAUUGCUUUAUCUCUGGUUCUCUUGAUCAAACUGUUCUGCUCUGGGAUCAACGGGCUGAGAAAUGCAAGGUGGAUAUCAUGCCAUCCACCAUUUUCAAUUGUAUUUAUGAUCUCUGUUGGCAAAUACGGGUCUUUUGCAUGUUCAAGCAAGGCCAACAGCAUGUGAUGAUCAAGGGCCUGUCUUUGCAGUUGCCUUUGGAGGAUACAUAAGAAUGUUUGAUGCUCGUAAGUAGGAGAAGGUUAAAAUUAAUAUUUAAGAACAUCUUGGAAGUUUAUAUGUCGUACUUUUAUCAUGCACUAAUUUGGUUAAAUUUGGAUACAUCUUCUCUGAUGGUGGAGAUGUAUCAGAUUCUGAUGCUGUAAAGUUCAGCAAUGAUGGGAGACUUAUGCUUCCGACCUCUAUGGAAGGACAUAUUCAUGUGCUUGACUCAUUCCAAGGCACACUUGUGAGUUGACUUUUUCUUUCUUCAUCUCCCAAAUGUAACAUAUCGUACAUAUAUACCCCUCUAUACACUGGAAUCUCUGUUAAUGAGCUUCUGUUUACUCUUGUUUUUAUUUAUCCACUUAUGAUGCCAAGCCAGUUUCUCGCAAUUCCACAUUGGAGGCAUCUUUCAGCCCGGUGGAGUUUCUCCUUUCAGUUCUUAGGGCACAGUGACUUGGAUAUUUUGUUGAUGUUUGCUUUUGGCUGUUUUGAUAUUUUAUAUUAAAGUUCUUGCACUUGUGCUGUAUAUAAUUCUCAAAUUUGUUACCACCUUGUUGGCAUAUUGAAAUACACGACUUGAAAUGUUGGGCAUCAAGCUUGUUUCCGCAGAAUUCUUUGAAAUAAAUUCAUUUUCUCUUCUUCAUUGACUUGGUUUGAAACCCACUCCCAUCCAUGCAAAUCCAAAUGCAUAUGUAUUUUCAUCUGGUUGUGCUUAUUAAUAAAAAUAAAUCAAUGAAAUGCUGAAAUAACAAGUGCACCCACACGUGGAAGCAGCCUAGUGUGGCCAAGCACCUCUCAUUCGUUUUAUGUGAUACAAUUGGUUUGUUGCACUCUUUGUGCUAAUUUUACUUUCUCGGUUUUGGAAGGUUCUGAUGAUGGUAGCGGAUAUGCUUGGAGUGUACGGAGCGGGAAAGGGGUAUGAUAAGCAAAAUUCCUUGAUUCUCAUGCCUUUUGAAUGCUUAGAAUUCAAAGGGAUGUUAUUUCCCUUACAUUGACCCCAGUCAUAGCAUUCAUUGUCUUCUAGCCAAACCAACAAUGCUUUUGAAUCUACAUUUGAGCAUUUACCUUAAGCACCAGUUUGCAUAAUGAGUUCUGUAUCCAAAUACUAUAUUCUUUUGACAUUGGUAUUGUUAUUAUAUAAACAUUGUUUGGUUUUGUUUAUUUUUCUUGUCAGGGUUGCAAGUUGGAUGAGUUUUCAUAGUGAGCCUCCUGUCAUAAAAUGGGCCCCCGGAAGUCUCAUGUUUGUUACGGGGUCAUCUGAGCUAUCAUUUUGGAAUCCUAAUGUGUCUAAACUAGGAGCUUACGUUGGGAGGAAGUAAAGUUUCUAACACUCACCACCCUUAAGUAUCUGAAUAUUGAUGUCUAUCUAUUGCCGGGAGGGGAACUUGUUUGUAUAAGAAGUUGCACCGAUUAUGUAAGGAGAUGUUCAAUUUCCUAUGGUAGUAUGUAAAUGCAUCUGACUUACCUGCUAGUAACCUUUCCUAACAAGUUCUGAAGAAACAACAGUAGAUCUGGUAUCAAUACUUUAUUCAGAAGAGCAUUUCUUCUUACAUGCACAGCUAAGAGUACAUGAAUUGAGCUACUGAAGCCCUUCCUGACCAACCUGGCUAAGGCUCCUUGCAGUUUGUCCUCUUCAUGGUUCUUUGGCAGGCAACAGCGUAAGCAAUUGCCUGGACUAUGAGGCCUUUUGUAGCGGGGUGGGCACUGCCUAGGCAGUUUUUUGAAAAAACUAGGAGCUUUAUUUGUCUUUGACAUUUGUAGCACGAUUAGUUAUUACCUGGAUUAAGUUGUAUAUAUUACAUCGUAUACCUAAUCUGACAAAUAACAGGUUGCAAUCCAAGUUUUGUUGAUCAUGAAGGGUUUGAGCAUGAUAGUCCAUUUAGGUCAUUAGGUCAGCCGAAUGGAAGACCAAUGGAUUUGGAGGGUUUGUCUACAACGCAAACUAAGCUAAUAAUGCCUGUUCAUUGUUUUAUACUUGCCAUGUAUUUUUUUCCUGUAAUUGUCAGAUUGAUGUACAAGUUAAAAUGAUUGUAAAUAAAUUAUAUAUUAUAAUUUUAAAAAUAUUAUAAGCCCAUUGGUUUCAUAUAUAUAUAUAUAUAUAUAUUAGCUUUCUCUCCUACACCCAGGCUUUAUGCCUCUCGUGCCUCAGUUUGAUGUGAAGAAAUGGUCCAUCAAGGCCAUUGGUAAUAGUCAGCAAUAGCAAUAUUGCCUUUCUUCAAUCACAGCAAUGUUUAUUGGGUACGCAGGAUCAAUUAUCUUCAGUAAUUAACAAUUUAACAUAAUAAUAUAUCAUGUUUAUAAAUAUGUAAAUAAAUUUUAUUCAAUAUUUAUAGUUUUAUAGUAAUUUAAUAAUAAAAUUUACCAAACAUAUACAACUAUUUUUAUAACUCACAGCUCCUUUAAAAAGAAGUUUUUGUAAACGUUUAAUUAAUUUUCUUUACAAUUGAUUAUUUCUAUAGCACAGCUAACAUCAAUUAUUUUAAAAGCUACAACAUUACCAAAUUGGCCCCUUACUCUUUUUAUCAAAAUUAUUAUUUAAAAGUUCUAACUAUUUUUAUAACUCACAACUCCUUUAAAAAGAAGUUUUUGUAAACGUUUAAUUAAUUUUCUUUACAAUUGAUUAUUUCUAUAGCACAGCUAACAUAAAUUAUUUUAAAAACUACAACAUUACCAAAUUGACCCCUUACUCUUUUUAUCAAAAUUAUUAUUUAAAAAUUCUAAUUGCAACACGUUACCAACUUUUAUUUCACAUCUACAAUUUUUUUUCACAACAGCUAUACCUUAAAAGUCGCAUCAUCUUAAUACCAAAUAGGGCCAUAGUAAUUUGGGACCUUUUUUUCCCCCUUUCUCCUCUUCUUCAUCAACUUAAAAAAAAACUAGAAACAAAUCAGAGAAAUUGAGUAUGAAAUUAAGCAUUAGUCGAGUAUGAAGUUGGGUGAGUCGAGUAUAAAAUUAAGUACUUUUCUAUAUGAUUUUAAAUAAAGGGUAUUUUAAUAUUUUUCUGUGUGAUUUUGGAUAUAUUUCUAUAAUACCAGUAAACUAUGUAAUAAGCAUAUAUUUGUUAUUUUGUUGUGAAUGGGACAUAUCUGGCGCCAUUUGCUCCCGUGACCGAUCUUUAUAACAGAUCCAAUUACCCUCGUUAUAUUCACUGGAUCGAAAGCUGACAUAGCACAAUUCUGAUAUGUAAUGUGAGUGAUGGGAGAGUCACAAAUUAUUGUAUAAAUUUAUUUGAUCUAAAUUAAUUAGUAUAAAUUGAUAGAAAUAUAAAAUAAUAAAAAUAUAAAUCACGUAGACCAAGGUGUAUUUAAUAAAACUAAUAAAAUUUUACUCAAUCAGUUAAUAUAAGAAUUUGUAAUUUUAUUAUUACUCAUGGUACUUGAACAGUGGCUGAUUGGUCAACUAGUGAUAUAAGUGGCAACGACUAAACUGUUGAGUCUCUACGUGGGUUUUCAAAAUGAGUCAAGAGUCAAGAAAUUAGCUGUAAACAUGUCUUUGAGAUGAUACAUUGUCAUCAUCAGCAUCAUAUCCUAAUUGACAAAGAAGGAUUGCGAGGGAAACUAAGCAUGUGCCUUCAUUUUCACUUGAAAUAAAGCGCAAGGGAAAGAUCUCAUGUUAUCACAUGAUGCCGUGUGAUCACCUAGAAGCCCUUCCACGUAUAUUUCUUCUCAAAUUGUCUUCUUCUAAUUUCUUGGGCCACCGCGGAACCACAAUGUCAAUGGAUGAGCGAGUGUUGCUCAGCUCGCAGCAUUUGGAGCCGGAGCUCAGCUUCCCUUAUUUGUUGGUCGUUUGGUAGGCGUCGCCAAAGGGCAAAGAGGAUCCUCUGGCGUUCGUGGAGCUGGUCCUCAAUGCGAUUGAUUUCUUCUCCAAGUUGAGCAAGUCUUUGUACCAUAGCCAUAGAAUUAUUUACUUUGGACCGAUGCAAUUCUCUUCUAAAAAUUUCAGGGAGCACUUUUCAUCUGCACCCAAAGAUUUCAUCAUAAUUUUAUUGUAUACACACUUGCUUCAACAGCUAUCACGGCUCACUCUUUUUUUGUUAAAUAUUGUUGUUGCCAUUAAUUUUGACAUAUUUGACGUUAAAAGACAACUUUACCUUUAUUUAUAUUUUUUAAUACAAAAUUACCAAAAAACCACAACACCAAUUUCUAAUUCCAAUUGACUUGUGGGGAUAUUAAAAUUUAAUUUUGGCAUCUUUGACCUUAAAAGAUAAUUUUACCCUUAUUUAUAUUUUUUAAUGCAAAAUUACCAGAAAAACCACAACACUAGUUUCCAAUUCUAACUCACCUAUGUGGAUAUUAAAAUUUCUUAAAGGUUAGAAAAAAAGUAAAAAUGUGUUGUUCAAAAUAUCUCCUCUGCCAUCAUCCAUAAACGUCCAUUCUUCAUAACAAUCUAGUAAACUUGCAAAAAGCAAGAUCCCAGUCAAUCAACCAGCCAAAAUUCUUCAUAAAGUUUAGCUUUUCUUAAAAAAACUUAAAUCUUGAGUUAAAAAUUUUAAUUCCUGAGACCCUAAAUUAACUGGUAUUGAAAGUCGCAUGUUUCUAUAACAAAAAUCUUCAAAAAUAACACUACAAUGAAAAUCUUCAAGUUAAAUAAAAAUUUAUAUUCAUAAUAUUUAUGAAUAAAUUAUAAAUAAUAUAGAGUGGUUUAAUUGAAUAUAGAGUAGUUUACAAUUUUAUAGUGUAUUCACUAAAUAGGAAUCGAAAUUAUUUGGAAACAUAAUGAGUUAGAAUCAGAAUAUGUAGAAUCGAAAUAAGGAAUUAGAAUCAGAAUAAUUUAUUUACUUGAACUGUAGGAAUCGUAAUUAGAAUGAGUUGUUUACGUGUUUACUUUGUCUUAGAAUCAAAAUCGGAAUUAGUUAAAUUGUAACAAAUUACUAUAAAAUCCUUAAUUAAUUUUUAUCAUAAUUAUUAUUUCUUAUUUUAACUAUUGUGAUUAUUAUUAAUAAAAAAAUUAUUUAUUAACAAUAAUUAUUGUUAAUUAUUAUUAUUAUUAAAAAGUUAACUAAAAAUUAUUAUUAAUUAUUGUUAAUAGAUUAAUUAAUUAUAAUACUUUUUAUUCUUGUUAUUAAUAAUAAUAAUAAUCCAUUUAUAAUUUAUAAUUUUAUUUAUAAUUAAGUGGAAAUUAAAGUGGUAGGGUCCCAAUCAAAAUGUGGCACGAACACAUUUAUCCAACAGCAAGAUUUUUCGAUUGCCAUCCCCACUAAUUUGGUGUAAUGACUAAGAGUUAAUUGAAAAAUAUUUAGUUUAAUUUUACAUUUAAUUUUUUUCAUUUUUGUAUUAAGAAUUAUUUGAAAAAUUAUUAUAUUCCCUUAAUUUUACCAGAAUCCCGUUGACUUAGCCCCGAGUCUCUUGAUUAAAGCGUUUUAAAAAAAAAAAAGUUCAAAAGAUUCAGAUAGCUCACUCGAUUAUAGGGCGUCUGCACCUUACGCUCGCUUUUGUUGUGCUGCCAGUAGCUGCUGCUUCCUUCAAGACCGAGCUCUCUGCCGCUGUUGCUUCCUUCAAGACCGAGCUCUCUAAGCCCCUCACUGUCGAUUUUGACCUUUGCUUCCUUUUGGCUUCACGAUCUAGAAGCCAUCGUCGCUUCAUUCAAGCCAUCACUUCACGAAAGAAAAAAUAAUAAUAAUAAUAGUGGUAAUAAUAAAUACUCUUACAGAUCUCUUCUUCAUCAAAUUUGUAAAAUUUAGAGAAAAUGCAAAACAGCAAUAAUGAUGAAGCUUCGGUGACAAAGACGACGGAGAAGCCGCCGCUGCCGAAGCGAUCGAAGACGAUCUCGACGACACUCACUUCCCAGGCCCACUUUUUCCCGCCGUUCGCCAAACCGACAAGCCGUUCGAUCUCCGCGUGUCCCUUGACUCCGAUGCUGUGGCGUCGUCUUCUUCGUCGUCGUCGUCGAGUAAUGGGUUUAACGAAAGAGACUGGAUGUACCCGUCGUUCUUGGGCCCGCAUAUGGGUCGGAGGCGGAUCAAAGUCAAACCCAAUAAGCUUGAAUUUAAAGGAAAUGAGGAGCAGAAGAAGAUUCAAGAGUUGGGUUCGAAGAAAGAAGAGAAGGAGGUGGCGAGUUUUUCAGUGACUCAGACGAGUUCAGUGAGUCAGUUGAGUGGAAAGACUCGUGGGUUAAAGAGCUCCUUGAUGACGUAUUACAUGGUUAGUAGUUUGAGUUGAGCUCAACUGCUGUAAAUUUCUUUAUAUUUUAGCUUAAAACGUUGACAAAUUAAACUUAAAAAAUCAAUGAAAUGUAAAGCUGGUAUUUUUCUUUUUCUUUUUUUCUUUCUAUCACUAAAGAAGAUAAAGAAUCGUGAUCAUAAAAUCUAAGUAUUACGAAUGCAAUCUUCAUCGCAAUUGAACAUUGUAGGACUAUUUUCUAAAGUUGAAUGAAAUCAACAUAUUCACGCAUACAGCCCAGCAAAAGAAAACUUCACUCAAUGAAAACCGACGCCAAUGCUUAAUUAAAGUCAAACACAUGACAUUAAGAAAUUUCUAAUAAUCUUAGAAAUAAGCUAGUCCAUAAUCACUUGAGAUCAUUUCCUCACCCCAUAAUCCAUCAACUAACUGAGAAAUGACAACUCACCAAUUAGUUUUUCAUCAGAACUCAUAACACAGCACUUACCCAUUCACAUAAUAAAAGUAUUGACAUUAAUGAGAGCGUAACUUAAUCAAAUAAUAAUCCAUUAAUAAAAUGAAAAUUAACAACUUAUACCUUCAUAGAUGAUUCUUGUGCACUUGACUUUCUAAGCAAAGAACGUCACUAUUCUUUUCAAGAAGGCAGCCACCACAAAGCAUAGAAGCUUCUUCAUAUAAUAGUACAACAAUCAAAACCUGAAACAUACGCAUUAGUAUUAAUUUAUUAUAAUUUAGCAGCAGUAAAUAUUUUUAUAAAAAAGUUAUCUGCAGUAAAUAUAAGAAUAACAAAGAAUAAAAUCUUAGAUCAACAACAGAGAACCUAAACUCUACAACUUGCUUGAACUACUAUCAACAUCAUACUGCAUAAUCAAAUAGACAAAAUAGUUUAAUAUAUAAUUUGUAUUGACCUGCAUACUAUCACGUAAAAAAUAUUGUAACAAAAACAAAACAUAAAAUUGUUUGGUGAUCACAAUGGAUCCUGGAAUGACAACAACUACAUUAUUAUAAUGAGUUUGACAUGUCAUUGUACAUGGAUUCGUUAUGAUGAAUCAUGAAACACCGUUGAGUAGUUAAUUCAGCCACUUUUCACCUAUAAAUUUGAUGGCAUACUUUGAAUACACAACAUGGUUAUAAAUAUAAGUUUAGAGAAUUUUUGUGGGAAAGAAUAAUUUUGUUGACAAAAGAUUAAGUACAAAAAUUAUAACAUCUCCAUUUUUAAUAUAGCUGACAUAAGUUAUUCGAGUGAAAAAAAAAAAAGAGGGAACUUAGAUACGCCAUAUUAAAUAGGGCAGUAAUAAAAAAAAUCUAAUUGACAUAAAUUAUUUGAGCAAAUGACAAAUUUUUGCUAAGAAACUCGUUUUCAUUUUUUCCCAAAUAAUAAUCAAUGUUUUUUUCCACUACGCAUCGAAAGAGCUCGCAUCGACAUCAAUCAUGAACCAGUCGUGGCCUAGCUAUAUUGCCUGCAUUAUGAAUACCACCUAUGACCUUUACAGCCUAACCGUUUAUCUCAGUCUAUUUUUAAUACUCAGUCACAGGUCCAGACCAUUCAAGUUCAGGACAUGACCCUACUGGUCCCAUUAUAUAUCUAUUUAAAUUUCUUUUUUUUUAGAAUGUCUAUUUAGAUUUCUUAAAUUUAAAAAACAAAUCAACUUCUAGCCCUUUAAAAAAAAAAAAAUCUAAAAUCAACAAAGCUAUUAAUUUGAAGAUAUUUUGAAUUCCAAUUCCCAAUUAAAAUCAUGAAUAUAUCAGCUAUAUCAUAGCUUCAGCAUAACUAGUAAGUGGUGACAUCAAAUUUUCAAAUAUUUGGAACUGGAAGCAAAUAUCUAGUUAAUGAUUAAAGUAGUUGACGAAUAAAACCUCUCGUAUUAUCAUAGAGGCUACCCCAAUAGCUUGCAAUAACUAUGUAUGGUGCAGUAAAGUUUCAGGAUAGAUGAAUAAACUAAAAAGCAAAAGAGAAAUAUCAGUUGCAGCAAGAACUACGUCAUCUCCACCUCGAUUAUUAUUCAAAUAUUAACACCAAAUGUCACUGAACAACACAAGAGAAACAUGAUCCAUAUUUUAAAUGUAUCUGAAUAGCAUAAAUAUGAAAAUCAUUGCAGAAAGUAAAAAAAAAAAAAGAAAAAAGUAAAGAGAAAUUUAUCUCACAGCAUUCCUAUUAUUAAAAAAUAUCAAAUAAAUGUGCUCCGAGAUAUAACUUCAUGCACAUUCAGAAGUUCUCAGGCCAAAGAACAUUAUAGCAACUACAAAAACUCAUGAGCCAGCAGGUCUUGUCCCAGUACAAGGUGAAGCAACUAAAAUUAUGCUUUAAGAACUUUAUAUAUAUAUAUCACGAACGCAGGAAGAAAAUUAUUUCUAUAUCAAAAUCAAGAUCACCCAACCAAACAAUGGUACCUUCCAAUAUACCUAGUGUAUGUAUAUAGGCAUCCAUUGAUUGAUACUUUGAAUUUAAUUAAUAAAUCAAUUUCAGGUGUCAUGUUUCCACAUUAAAGAGAGAUAAUAACAAUUAACUAGAUAUGACAGGACUGGAUAAAAAUUUGCUCAAAAUAUACUACAAAGAUCAAAUUUUAUUACUUUUCACCUGCUGUCAUUUCUCUCCAACGUCAGAUCAUGACCUCGAGCAACUCUUUCGGCUUUCUUCGCCCAUUUUUCUUCUUUUUACAGCAUGAAGCUAAUACGAAGCCAAAUGAAAAGUAGAUUAGUCAUUUCAAAUUCAAUUUAAUUGUCAAUUGAAAAGUUCAAUUGUUACCUUCAUCAGCUGUAGAAUCAAUAGUUAAUGAAAUAUACAAUAAGAAGAGUAAAAAAUUUCACCUGCAAAUUAGGACAGCCGAGGAAGCAUCCGUAAACAUAAGAGUAAUUAUAUCACUCUGAAAUUUCAUAAGAGAGAAUUAGGACAGCAGCGAAAGAAAUAAACAAAGCAAUUUGCAAAGGACACAGGCAUAAACAUGAUAGUAAGAAUAAAAUAUCAAACUGUAAGAAGAAGCGAGAAAAACAAAUCAAAAACAAACUGAGAAGCAGGAAGAGCUGUGAUGGUAAAUUCUUCAUCUAAAGCAGUUGAAGAACGAGCAAUGGAUACCGGUCCUUCUUCGUGCUAUCGAGAAAGGAGUCAGAGUUGAGAUCGAGAGAACAACGGAGACCGAUUCUUCGUCUCCGUAAUUUUCCCCUUUUUCUAAAAUGCUAUUUCGCAUUUCCUUUGCUUUUUGGUUUCCGUAUUUCGAUUUUGUUUUUAAUUAGGUAAGAAAAAAAGAUCGGGCCCUAUUUCAAAAGAAAAAUAAGAAGGGGCCCUAAAAGUAAUUUUUCCGAGCCCAUGCAUUCGAUUAAAAUAUUUCAUUAUCUUAGUGGACAGAUUGCCCAAGAAAAAAUAUUCGAUUAAAGCACAUAUUUUAAAAGGUAAAUAACGCGCUCAGAGAUGUUUAAUCAAUAAUACAGUUGUUUAUUAUAGUGAUAACUACUACUUAUAUAUUAAUUCUUCAAAAUAAUUCCACAUUUAUCAUAUUAUCAUUUACUUAUUUUGUAAGCGUUUUAAAGAUAUUUAAAAAUUUUUCCAUUUGACAAUGCUCAAUUAAGGGUAAAGUUUAAAUUAUGUCACAAAAAGUUUUUGAACAGCAUUACACAAAGCAUUUACUGUUUUAACAAAAGAAUGCAUAUGAGGGGACAAAAAAAAGUAAAAGUAUGAGUUUGACUAUUAUCACAGUAAUUAUUUCUAUUUCAAAAGUUGAAAUGUGAACCUUAACAUAUUUUGCGGAAUUUUUUCAAUUACUUUUUAAAAUUACAUGUACAUGGAUGAUUGCUUACUAUUGUGAAAGGCGAUAUAUUUAAUUUGAAGAAAAUUCCUUCUAGACCGGUAGCGUUGGUCGUAGUUGCCCUGUCGAAGAAGUGUUGUUAGCUCGAAACCUAUUGCAAAUGUCAAUGCAAAAUGGUUUCAAUGUUUCGUUGUAGAGCUGACGACAAGCUUCUGAAAACAACGUGCCAUAUUGAAACACAACAACAAUAAUGGCAGUGCCAAUCCAUGUCGUGUACAAAAUGAAAUGGCCAAUAUUGGAACGUGGAAUAAAUGUGGAGACCAAUGAUAUUGCCGAAUUCGAUCCUGAGACAAUAGCAACAAGGCCCCAGAAUUGGGAAGAAUUUUCUAGAUGAAGCCGAGACUUGAGGUCUGCUGAAUGUGCAUAACAAUAUAUGGCUGUGGCAAUGAGAAAAGACAAUAUAUUUAUUGAGUGUGUUUCAAGCAAGGGCUUAGUUUUGCCUUGCACAUUUGCACCCACAAUGCCAAUGAGAGCUGGAAUCAGAUAUCCAAAAAUGCUGGGAUAUGACAUCGACCAGAAGAGAUUUCGCCCACUGCAAGAUCAUUAAAAUGAUUAAAUCAUCUUUUGUAUAUCCCAUUUUUUGACAAAAAAUUAAAAUUGAAAAGCUCUUGUAUUAAUUUCCUCUCAGUUUGUCUAUCAAUUUUUUUUCUUUUGACUGAAGCAAUUCUCCUCUAAAAAUUUGAGGGAACACUUUUCAUCUGCACCCAAAUGUUUCAUCAAAAUAUUAUUGUAUACCCAAAUGUUUCAUCAAAAUUUUAUUGUAUACACACUUGUUUCAAUAGCUAUCACGGCUCACCCAUUUAUGUUAAAUAUUUUUUUUUUUGCCAUUAAUUUUGACAUCUUUGACAUUGAAAGACAGUUUUGCCCUUACUUAAAAUUUUUAAGUGUAAAAUCACCAAAAAAAACUACAACACUAGUUUCAAAUUCCAAUUGACGUGUGUGAAUAUUAAAAUUUCUUAAAAGUUAAAGAAAAAAAGUAAAAAUAUUUUGUUAUGGGAAUCAAAAUAUCCCCUGUACCAUCAUCAUCCAUAAUCGUCCAUCCAUGAUAACAAUUUAAUAAACUUGAAAAAGCUAGAAAUCCAAUCCCAGUGCAUCAAACAGCCAAUUUUCUUCAUAAAGUUUAGCUUUUGCUUUUAAAAAUUCUAACUCUUGAGACCCUAAAUAAACCCAUAUUCAAAGUUACAUGUUUCCAUAUAACGAAAAUCUUCAAUUUACCCCUUUAAAAUUUUGAAAACAUUAAUUUACUUCUAUUUAUCAGUCAAAAGAUUAAAAUAAAUGGAGACACGUUGAGGAUAAACUUUUUAACUUCAAAGUGGUAUUUGAUAAAUAUAAAUAAAUUGAAAAUUAUCAUUUUUUAGUGGGAAUAAGUUACUAAGAGAAAGAAAGAAAACAGAAAACAAAUCUCUUCUAUAGCAGUCUUAACAAAAUUUUCAGCAGGGACUUGAACCAAUUUUUUCACGGAAAUUAAUUAACAGAACAAAAACGCUUUGAAGUGGACUGCACAUAUAUAUAUAUAUACUCAAAAAUAAAUAUACAACUGGAGUCAAUAACGGUAAAUAAAAUGAACGUACACAGAAGGGUUUGGAUUUGGAUGAUGAAGAAUGCACUGACAGCUUUGCAUUUGCAUGCAUAUAUAUCUCAGCAAACCCUGGAUUGAGUUCUUUUUCUCUCGGUAAAUAAGGUAGGGAACAGCAAACCCGAUCAAUUUUCAAAAAAGAAAAAACAAAAACAAAAACUGAAAUGUAAACUCAGCAUGAAACUUGGGAGGGAAAGGGGAGGGGUGAAAAACGGUCACCUUGAGAACCGUCUCAAUUAUCUCUGCUUCAAAAAAUCAUCCCGUGGGUAUUUAUAUUUUAUUUUCAAGUCGUUGAUGCCGCGAGUCCACGGCUGGAUAAGUACGGGGUUUCGAAGAAAUAACGUGCGCGAUUCUAAACAUUGUUUAAUUACAAUUCCAAAGUGUUGAAAAUGACUGCGUUAUCCCCCGACUUUUUCAAUUCCUACCGAGUGUUGAAAAUGACUGCGUUAUCCCGUCUUUUUCAAUUCCGACCGAGUGCUGAAAAUGACAGCGUUAUCCCCUGUCUUUUUCAAUUCAAAAGUGUGUGGCAUCUCUGUAGCUCAAUUCAUGUACCCCUAGAUGUACAUGUAAGAAGAAAUGCUCUUCCAAAUAACAUAUUGAUACUAGAUCUACUGUUGUUUCUUCAGAACUUGUUAGGAAAGGUUACUAGCAGGUAAAUUAGAUGCAUAUACAUACUGCUAUAGGAAAUUGAACAGCUCCUUACAUAAUUGGUGUAACUUCUUAUACAAACAAGAUCCCUUCCCGGCAAUAGAUAGACAUCAAUAUUCAGAUACUCAAGAAAUUAUAAGGGUGUUGAAUGUUAGAAACUUUACUUCCCCCCAACAUAAGCUCCCAGUUUAGACAGAUCAGGAUUCCAAAAUGAUAGCUCAGAUGAUCCGAUACAAACAUGAGACUUCCAGGGGCCCAUUUUAUGACAGGAGGCUCUGUAUGAAAACUCAUCCAACUUGCAACCCUGACA
Molecule: long non-coding RNA, 103296 nt
Filed under: Citrus maxima (pomelo)
Lineage: Eukaryota; Viridiplantae; Streptophyta; Magnoliopsida; Sapindales; Rutaceae
Description: long non-coding RNA (CMAX_LNC001180)
Rfam family: Plant small nucleolar RNA R71 (bases 5011-5117)
Source: RNAcentral